RNAcentral lists this long non-coding RNA (108903 nucleotides) under Vitis vinifera (wine grape). RNAcentral describes it as "long non-coding RNA (VVIN_LNC007435)". The record is from RNAcentral. Lineage: Eukaryota; Viridiplantae; Streptophyta; Magnoliopsida; Vitales; Vitaceae.
UUGGAGAAGUUCAUAUUUUCAAAAGUUGUCAAGAACUAUUCACUUAGUUGGAAGAAACUUCAAGAAAUUGCUAUAGGUAUAGCAAAAGGAAUUGAGUAUCUUCAUCAAGGUUGUGAUCAAAGAAUCCUUCAUUUUGAUAUCAAACCUCAUAAUAUUUUACUUGACCACAACUUUAAUCCAAAGAUUUCUGACUUUGGUUUAGCCAAAUUGUGCUCCAAGGAACAAAGUGCAGUCUCUAUGACAAUUGUAAGGGGAACAAUGGGCUAUAUCGCUCCAGAAGUGUUAUCUAGGAAUUUUGGGAAUGUGUCUUAUAAGUCAGAUGUUUAUAGUUUUGGAAUGUUGUUACUUGAAAUGGUUGGAGGAAGGAAGAACAUUGAUGUUAGUGUGGAGAGUACUAGCCAAGUAUAUUUCCCAGAAUGGAUUUAUAAUCAUUUGGAUAUAGGGGAAGAAUUGCAUAUUCGAAUUGAAGAAGAAGGAGACGUUGAAAUUGCAAAGAAAUUAGCAAUUGUGGGACUUUCAUGUAUUCAGUGGUGUCCAGUGGAUCGUCCUUCCAUGAAAAUUGUGGUUCAAAUGUUGGAAGGAGAAGGAGACAAGUUAACCAUGCCUCCUAACCCUUUUGCUUCAACAGUUCCAACAAACUUGAGCAAGCCAGGUAGAGUUUUUCAACAAGAGUUGGCAAUAAUUUCAGAACUAGAGUAAAAAUAAUUGUUUAUAUGUUCAACUUAUUAUGAAUGUAUAGUUUAAUAAAAAUUCAUAUUGUAGUUGUUCAUCAUCAUAGCAUCUUUAUUUAUAUUUCUGUUAAUUGAACAUAUGAUUGUAUAAAAUGAUUAUACUAGUGGCUCAAUUGAUGUUAGAUUCCAGAAGUUCUUAUUCCCAUGUAAUGUAUUUCUUGUGUAUUAAAUUUUAAUGAAUAUGUCCAAGAAUAUUCUCGCAACCCAAUUUAUAGUUCAGCUACACACAACUCUAUAGAUCACCUUUCAAUCAAGUAAGAGUAACUAAUGUCCAUCACAUUCAAGAUAGAAAGUAUUGCACGAAAUAGUAAUAGAAUUAGAUCUAGGAAACUUGAAAAUAAGAGUCCCAUCCACUACACCUAUAUAGAGUUUCUUUUGUUUCUUUUUUCUUCUUCUUCUUUUUUCUUUUUUACCUUUACCACUUUUUUAUUGGAUUGAGAAGUAAGCCUAAUUAGUUAUGUAAUCACUAAAUUAUACUGAAUGGUGAUGGCUCGUUGGAGAACUUUGCAUCGAAUAAAAUGGAGAUCGAUUUCGAUGUGUUUUCUCCUUGCAUGAAACACUGGAUUUGCUGCUAGCUAAGUAGCACUUCGGUUAUGACACCAUAUCAAUGGUGAAGAUAAGGCAUGUAUCCUAACAAUAAAGGAGUUAGAGAGUCAGGUGAAUGCUUGAUCUUGAACUUUAUCAAUACAAAUUACCAAUGGACCAUAUGUACUAGACCACGAAAAAUAUUAGAUUGUGGGAGAAAUGAACCAUAUGAUAUGUGACCAUGUAGUAAUCAUUGAGAAAGGAAAAAAACAUGGACUCAAUAGAUUAUUUAAUAAUAAUAAUAAUAAUAAUAAUAAUAGACUCAAACUCUCUCAAUAUAUGGUAUAUAUUGUUUAACCUAAACAACAAAAAGCCUAGUGGCUGAGGACCUUGUCUUAGCCGAGAGGUCUGAGGGUUCCUCCAUGUGUUUAAGAUUAAUUGCAUUUAGGCCAGAACAUCAAAUCAAUGGAACAAUCUACUUUGUUUCACUAGGCCAAGCCCAAUGGUAGGUCCAUAGCCAGAGCUUGGAUCAUGUGCUAGUCAGGCUGGGUUAGGCCUAAUACAGACCUAAUUUGAUCAUGGCAGCCCAAUAAGAUAAUGGAUUCUUUCCUAGCUACUUACAAUCAAUAUUUUUCUUUAUUUUCUUCAUAUUUUUCCAAGGAUAUGAACCUAAAAAUACAAAGUAAUACAAUUGCUAUUCAAGCAUUCCUUUGGGAUAUGGAAAUAUUUAAUAAAAGAACAUUACUAAGAUUAUUGAAUAUAGAUGAUUUUCUUAAUUUAUUUUUUCAUAUCCAAGUGGACCAUACUAACCCUAAAUUUUCCAAGCAAUUCAUCUUUAUUUCAACUCUCAAUAAUUACAAUUGUGUAAAAAACUCCAUAAACAUCAUUUUUCUAGUUUUAAUAGUUAUCCACAUGGAUGACUUUUCCCUUAUAUCUAAGAUGAGAAAUUAGAUGUUAAUGGUCAAUCGAAUCGCCGAGUGUUAUCGUACCUACCAAUUGGAUCACUAUAUACAAUGGUAUAGAAUAAGGAUAGAGGUUUCUCCACAUUCCUUUUACAUAGAGUUUCAUUUUUAUUUUAGUUUUUGUCAUAAAAUAUGAUGAAUUUGUGUCUGAGGGAGUCAUGGAGACAGCAAGUUAUUAUGAAACAUAGUGUAACUAUGAUACAUAAUAGGGAUUAGAAGGGUAUGUUGGAAUUUCCACUACAAGUUAGGAUAGAGUUAGCAGUAGAAUUGGUACUACCUCAAAAGUAAAAAUGUAGAAUACAAGAAAGAAACCAAAAGAUAAGGUUGAGGCCUAGCAUAAAAUUAAUUAGAUUAAAAUCAUAUCACAUGAACAUGUAAUUUAGCAUUUUUUUUUAAUUCCAAGAGCAUAACAAGCUAAUUACUUUUUUUCUUAAUUUUUUAUAGGUGUAUCGAAGAAAAUAAUUGUGACAGGUAAUAUUCUAUUCAUACAUAUUUUAUUAUAGAGAUAAAGAUUCUUAAUUUGGUUAUUUUAUCUAUUUAUUUAUAUAAAAAAGUUUAAGUUUUCUUCUUCUUAUGUACGCAAGUGCAAUCUUUGGUUUCUUUCUUCUCGUGUUAGUGAUUAUUAUGCUUUCUCGUGUCUAUAGCUCAGAUAAAGUAGAAAGAGAUAAUAGAGUAACGUUUAAAAAGUUUCUAGAAGACUAUGAAGCUCUCAAACCCUCAAGAUACUCCUAUGCUGAUGUUAAAAGGAUUACAAGUCAAUUCAAAGAUAAAUUAGGCCAAGGAGGAUAUGGAACUGUGUACAAAGGAAAGCUUUCAGAUGAAGUUUUUGUUGCAGUAAAAAUCCUUAACAAUUCUCAAGGAAAUGGGGAAGAGUUCAUCAAUGAAGUGGCAAUAAUGGGUACAAUCCACCAUGUUAAUAUAGUUCGCUUAAUUGGAUUUUGUGCUGAUAGAUUUAAACGAGCUCUAAUUUAUGAGUACUUACCAAAUGAGUCAUUAGAGAAGUUCAUAUUUUCAAGAGCUAUUAAGAACUAUUUACUUAGUUGGAAGAAACUUCAAGAAAUUGCUAUAGGUAUAGAGAAAGGAAUUGAGUAUCUUCAUCAAGGUUGUGAUCAAAGAAUCCUUCAUUUUGAUAUCAAACCUCAUAAUAUAUUACUUGAUCACAACUUUAAUCCAAAGAUUUCUGACUUUGGUUUAGCCAAAUUGUGCUCCAAGGAACAAAGUGCAGUCUCUAUGACAGUUAUAAGGGGAACAAUGGGCUAUAUCGCUCCAGAAGUGUUAUCUAGGAAUUUUGGGAAUGUGUCUUAUAAGUCAGAUGUUUAUAGUUUUGGAAUGUUGUUACUUGAAAUGGUUGGAGGAAGGAAGAACAUUGAUGUUAGUGUGGAGAGUAGUAGCCAAGUAUACUUCCUAGAAUGGAUUUAUAAUCAUUUGGAUAUAGGAGAAGAAUUGCAUAUUCGAAUUGAAGAAGAAAGAGAUGUUGAGAUUGCAAAGAAAUUAGCAAUUGUUGGACUUUCAUGUAUUCAAUGAUGUCCAGUGGAUCGUCCUUCCAUGAAUAUUGUGGUUCAGAUGUUGGAAGGAGGAGACAAGUUAACCAUGCCUCCUAACCCUUUUGCUUCUACAGUUUCAACAAAGACAAACUUGAGCAAGCCAAGGAGAGUUUUUCAACAAGAGUUGACAAUAAUUUCAGAAGUAGAGUAAAAAUAAUUGUCCACAUGUUCAAAUUAUUAUGAAUGUAUAAUUUGAUAAAAAUUCAUAUUGUAGUUGUUCAUCAUCAUAGCAUUUCUAUUUAUAUUUUUGUUAAUUGAACAAAUGAUUGUACAAAAUGAUUAUACCAAAAUUGAUGUUAGAUUCCAAAAGUUCUUGUUCCCAUGUAAUGUAUUUCUCCUGUAUGAUAUUUUAAUGAAUAUGUCCAAGAAUAUUCUCACUGCCCAAUUUAUAGUUCAACUACACUUGACUCUAUAGAUCCACCUUUCAAUCAAGUAAGAGUAACUAAUGUCCCUCACAUUUAUGAUAUAAUCAAAUCUAUGAAGCUUGAAAACAAGAGUCUCAUCCAUUAUACACAUAUAGAGUUUCUUUUGUUUUUUUUUUUUUCUUUACCACUUUUUAUUGGAAUGAGAAGUAAGACUAAUUAGUUAUGUAAUAACUAAAUUAAGUUGAUCCUUCAGUUAGACCAUAUUGCCCAAUAACUUGAUAAAACAUAUAAUAUUUUACUUUGCACAAAGAAACAAGAGUUUCCAAACAAAUAUUUGGCCUUUAAUCCAUGACUACAGUUUUAUAAAUUUAAGCUUAAUUCUCUACCAUCAUUUUCCUAAAUAUUGCAUUAAAAAUUGAAUUUCCUAACUAAAAUAACUACUCUUGAAUUUUAAUUCCCUUAUUCACCUUUUUAGCUAAGAAAACAAACUUCCUUUUACAAAUAAUAAUUGUUGCAAAUUGGUUAAAUUGUUAAAUUGGUUAUAUUUUGUUGUUACUAACUAGAUUGCACCAAGAAGGAUGGGGUGGAAUUUCACAUUAAGCCACUACAGGAGUCUUUUUCAAGGAACCUGACACAACUAAAUUUGAUCUCAAAAGUAAACCAAGAGAUGAAUUAAGAUCAAGUCUAAAAUUUCAAAAGGAGUGAAAAAAAUGUCAAAGAAAAACACUUACUUAUUGUAUAAACAUAUAAUAUAAUUUAUUUUUAUGAAUAUCUAGCCUCCAAGCUAGUUUAACAACGUCUAUCUUAUCUAUACAAUUUUUUUCAUGGAAUAUUAGGUAUCAAUCAAUGAAUUUCUUACUUAUUGUAGUACAAAUCUUAUCAUCUUUUUUUCGAUACCGAUUAUGACAAUGAAUGGCAAUUGGUACUUAGUCUCUCAAACUUGAUUGGUUUGGCCCAUUAGUUCUUGAAAUGCGAAGAGAAACUCAUGUAUGUAUCAUUUUUUAUGUGAGGGAGUGCAACUUGGACUUAUGAAAGAUCAUUUUUUGUUUGUAAUUGUAUAUCUUUCUCUAUAUACCCACCUUUGGAGUAACUAAAAUAAUUUAUAUCAAGUGAUUUUUAAACAAUUUUCUUUUUCUAAGAGUUUCAAUUGGGAUUCUAUCCUUGUGGAAUUUGCUUCUACAUUUCUGGUGAAACCCAAAAUGGUAUAUGUUAGGAAUUUUAAGCUAAUCCAACCUAUGGUAAUCACCCUAAAAGGGGGAGGAGGGGUGAAUAGGGUGAUGGUCUCUUUUUGCAAAUUUAGACUAAGUGAAAGUAAGAAACAUUUAUAUGCAAGUAUAUAAUAAAUAAUAGAAGGACAAUUGCAUAUAAUUUAAAAAAGUAAGGAAGAGAGAAUGCAAAUAGAAGAUUUUAUAGUGGUUUGGCGCAACCCAGCCUACAUCCACUCUCCUCUAGCUUCAAUCCCGAGCUUGAGGUUCCACUAAUUCAAGGCUUCCAAACCAAGCCUUCAAGCAAUACAAUUGGAUUAUGGUUCCAAUUCACCCUCUUGGACUUUUGGCUCCAAGCACCCUUUAUACUGCUCAAGAGAUAUCCCACUCUUGAACAACCCCUCAAGUGAUACCACACACUUAAGAAACUUCCUCUCAAAGAUUUACAAAUAAAUGAUCUCACAAAAUCCUAACACAAAACUUUUAAGCUCAAAUGAUACAAGAAAAACUAGGAUUGAAUGGUGCACUAAAGAUAUGCAAGUUUUAGAAUAAUGGUGCACUCAAAAACACUCUUCCAAGGCUUAAAUAUAUUCAAGAAAUGUUUGGAAAGGUUAAGCUUAUGAAACAAUAAAGAUUGGAGCCUUUUUAUAGAAGAAAAAAAACUAAACUAGCCGUUGGAGGUUCAACCGAUCGAGCUAGGGGUCGACCGGUUGACUAACCGUUAACAUUUAAUGUUGGCAGGUGCCCGUUGGGCCUCGACCGGACCUCAACCGGACCUCAACCUGUUGAGCUUCAACCUUGACCGAUUGAACAAGCGUUUUGGAAAAAAGAGAAAAUUUUUGUACCGGUUGACCAGUUACUGUUCAUGGGUCAACCGGUUACUGUUUAUGGGGUCAACCGAGUGCUGUUCAUGGGUAGACCAGUUACUGUUCAUACCUCAACUGGUUGAGCUAGGGGUCGACCGGUUACUGUUCAUCCAGUUCACCCGGUUGAGGCGUUUUUGGCUCAACAACCAACUUUUUCAACUUAAAACCUUUUAAACAAGUUUGAAACAACAUUUGACACAAGGUUUUAGUUGAAAACAUGAAAUCAUCCAAUUUUAAAAAUAUUUAAAACAAAAUAACUCUUGGAUGAUUUAGGUGCAUAAGUAAAGAAUGUAAUGCAUGAAAAUCCUAGUGCACCAACAACCUUACAAAGAGAUCUUAUGAAGCUUUGGUCUUGAAAAGCACUUCUCUUUGAGGUGGUCUUCUUCUUCAUGAUUUCUCUUUGGCUUGAAUUGUCUUUGUGAUUGCCACUUUGGAAAUCGUCUUGCCUAAUCACACUUAAAAUAUAGUCAUUAGUUCUAAACCUUAUUUUGUUAUGAUCAAAACCGAGAUUAACCAAACCUUGGUUUUACAGUAUCUUUUGCAUUUUCCCAUUUAGAAAAAAAAUUGUCUUUAAUUAACUAAGUAAAGUUGUCCAAAAUCUUGUUUUGAUUUUUAUUAAUUUCUUCAUCAAUCAUAUGAUAAGUUUUUCUUAUGAAUUUACUCUUAAUAAUAAGGAAACAGUGAGUUCUCUAGAGUAUUUCAUUACUUAAUAGGAAAAUUAAUGGUAAAAAAGGAAAACUAAAGUUGUAAGCCUCAAUUUCUCAAAUGUGAUUUGUUUAAUUUAUCUUAAAACUAAAUAAAUUGUAGUUUGACUGAAGUUUAAAUAGAACUUAAUUUUAUUAAAUAUUUUAUAAGACUUAAGUUAAAAGAUAAGCAUGACUUUAAUUCAAAAUUGAGCUUAAAAGUAGUCUAUUGUAAAAAUAUCCCAUUGAUCAUGAACCAUUGAUUACAACAUUUGCUAACCAUACAUUCAUAAAUAAUAAUAAAAAAGAAUUUUAUUUUUUCACUCUAAUUAUAAGAUGAUUGUAAAAUUAACUUGUAAAUAGGUGAAUGUUAGCCUAACUUGUUUUUGACCAUUGAAACAUUAAUGAUUAUUGUGCAUAGGUUAUUAGUUUUAAGAUUUCAUUGAAAUUAUUUGCUUACAAGGGGGUGACACCAUGACCAAACAGAACAAGGGAAAGGAGGGUAAACUUUAUGUAGAGAAAAUCAAUAUAGAAAAAUAGUAGAUUAAGAGGUUUGGGUUUAAAUUUUGCUUUAACUAUUGUCUUAAUUGGUUGGAGGUUUCAAUGAAGGACCAUACACUCAUUACAUACUAUAAUUUCAUCUAGAUUGAUUUGAAGUAGGAUAUAAGAUAAUCAUAAAAUUAUGACAAAAUUUAUUUUACAAAAAAAUAUUUUUAGUAAUUUCAAUCCUCACCUUAAUCAACUUCCAUGAUCUAUGUUUUUUUAUGAAAUAAUAGGUUUCUAGGUAAGAUGUGGAAAUGUGUACUUCAUGUUUUAAUUGAAUCAUAAUUUAUUCAUGACUUCAUAGAAUAAGGCAUUUGUUAGGACCUUGGCACUAGUUUAAUGUAUUUUCCCUUUUAUAGACUUUUUUUAAUAGACUUGUUUUUUUCUCUUUUUAUUUUUAUUUUUUUAUAGAAUAACGAGUAUGAAUGUGUCAUGUCUACUUUUAGUAGCAUUUUUCAAAAAUGAAUUUUGAGAAUAGUCCUAUAAAAUAGUUCUUUAUUAUUUUUAAGAAAAAAAAAUAUUUGCAAACUUAAUUUGAAAAAUAGUUUUCUCAUUCUAUGUUUCUUGAAAGUGCUAUACUUUUAUGUACAAUGUAAUAUUUUGAGUUCACUCUUUAUAUAUAUCUCUCAAAGUGGUUAUGGGUUUAGCACAACGAUCCCUUGAGUAAUAAUUGGUGGAAGCAUUGGACAAAUUAUCUUUUGUUCUUUUUUAGUAAUUAUACAUCUAUAUGACAUAUCCCAUCUCAGAUUAAUUAAAAUGACUUGUCUCCUUUCUUUGUGUGUUUUAUUUCUAUAUCUUGUAUUUUCUAAUCCAAGACCACACUUUUGUAAGAAUUAGCCUUCAUCCGACUCUAGAAUGCUUUUCAAGUAUUCAUGGGCACCAUGUUACUCAAAAUAAUUGAUUUAAACUUUAGUAUCUAAUAGUAGCAUAAAUUAUUGCAUUUCCAGAGAUAAAUUGAAAUUGAAAUUGAAAUUUCUGGAAAUAAAAGUACCAUAUUAUUGCAUUUCCAGAGAUAAAUUGUUUUUAUCCAGAGAGAGACUACUUUAGUAUCUAAUAGUAACAUAAAUUAUUAUUGAAACUCACUUUAUUUGAUCACUAUUUUCUUACUAUUUCUAAUCCAUGACAUAUUGCACAGACUAUCUAGCAUCUAACAAUUACCAACUUGAGUUUGUCCAGUGAUUGCAUUUCAAGUGGCAGUUUAAUAUUUCAGUCUUCAAAUUGAUAAAUGGUAGUUUUUUCAUUCAUACUUUCAUUCGUUCAUGUACAGAGUAUAUAUAGAGGGUAAUCACCAUUCUGAGAAUGGGAAAGAAUGAUACAAGGAAAGAAUGAUAUAAGGAAAUAACAACUAAUAUCCUAAUAUGUCAACUUUCCUAAUAUUUCAAUAUUCCUAAUAUCUCAAUAUUCCUAAUAUUUCAAUAUUCAUAAUAUCUCAACUUUCCUAAUAUCUAAACAUUCCUAAUAUCUCAACACUAAAUGAUAUAAGGAAAGAAUGAUAUGAGGAAAACAUUCCUAAUAUCUCAACACUCCCCCUCAAGUUGGUGCAUAGAUGUCAUACAUGCCCAACUUGUCUAAAAAUUUUGAGAACACUUGACUUGAGACAGCUUUGGUAAGGAUAUUGGCCAAUUGAUCUUCUGAUCGAAUCUUAGGCAAUUCCACAAUCUUAUCAUCCAACUUUUCCUUAAUGAAGAAUCUAUCCACGUCGACAUGCUUUGUACGAUCAUGUUGUACUGGAUUAUGAGCAAUGUCACAUGCGACUUUAUUAUCACAAAACAAUCAGAUUGGUUGCCUAGAUAAGUAACCUAAAUCCUGUAAGAGGAGUCUUAGCCAUAAUGUCUCACAAAGUCCUAGAGCCAUACCUCUAAAUUCCGCUUCUGCACUUGAACGAGCGACGACAUUCUGCUUCUUACUUUUCCAUGUCACAAGAUUACCACCUACAAAGGUAAAGUAACCAGAUGUAGAUCGCCUAUCAUCCACCGCACCGGCCCAAUCAGCAUCAGUAUAUACUUCUAUACUCUGAUGAUCAACAUUUUUAGCGAACAAAAUUCCCUUCCUAGGAGCAUUCUUCAAAUACCUCAAAAUACGCAUGAUUGCAUUCAUAUGUUGCUCUCCAGGAUUAUGCAUGUAUUGACUCACUACACUCAAUGCAUAAGCAAGAUCUGGUCUUGUAUGAGCUAAGUACAUUAAUCUCCCCACAAAUCUCUGGUAUCUUCCCUUAUCGGUUGAUACUUGAUUAGGCUCAACACACAAUUUCAGACCUUCUUCUAUUGGUGUAUUAACAGGUUGACAUCCCAACAUUCCAGUCUCUUGUAAAAGAUCUAAGGCAUAUUUUCUUUGAGACAGAAAAAUUCCUUCACUUGAUUGAGAAACUUCAAUCCCAAGAAAGUAUUUCAGAGGACCUAGAUCUUUCAUUUCGAAUUCUCUAGAUAGAUAAUUUUGUAGAGCUUUUCUUUCUUCAGGAUCAUUUCCUGUAACUACCAUGUCAUCCACAUAUACGAUGAGUGCCGUAAUCUUACCAUGUUGCUUUUUCAGGAACAAAGUGUGAUCUGAAUUACUUUGACGAUAGCCAAAAGCUCUCACUGACUUUGUGAACCUUCCAAACCAUGCUCUUGGGGAUUGCUUUAACCCAUACAAUGACUUCUUCAAUUUGCACACCUUCUGACAUUGCUUUUCUGGCACCAUGCAUCCUGGUGGAAGAUCCAUGUAUACUUCUUCAGAUAACUUGCCAUGCAGAAAGGCAUUUUUCACAUCGAAUUGUUGUAAUGGCCAAUCUAGGUUUGCAGCUAAAGACAGUAAUACUCGAACUGUUUUGAUCUUAGCUACAGGUGCAAAUGUCUCUGUGUAGUCAAUUCCAUAAGUUUGAGUGUACCCUUUUGCUACCAAUCUUGCUUUAAAUCGUUCAAUACUACCAUCUGCCUUGUACUUCACAGUAUAGAUCCAACAACACCCAACUGGCUUCUUUCCUGGUGGACAUUCUACGAGUUCCCAUGUUUCAUUUUUCUGCAAUGAUUCCAUCUCUUCAUUCAUGGUUGCUUUCCACCUUGGAUCAGCUAAGGCUUCCUGCACACUGUUAGGAAUAGCUACAGUAGAUAAUUGAUUUACAAAUGACUUAUUUGAUUCAGACAAACGAUGGUUAUACACAUAGUUGCUCAUGGGAUAUUUGACUUUGGUAGACAAUUCAGGUUCAUAUGUGGGUUUAGGAAUACCUCUAUUAUGACGGUGUGGUAACCGUUUCAUGAAUGGAUCAGGUUCCAAAUUAAGAACACCCUCAACAGACAACGAUUGGUUUGGUAUUUCAAUGAAGACAUCUUUGGACCUAAAUUGUUGACCACUCAUAUCCAACUCACCCGCUUCCUGGUUCACUAGUUCAGAUUGUCUAGAUUCAUCUUCCUCAGAGAUAUGAUAAUCAUAAUCGAGANNNNNNNNNNNNNNNNNNNNNNNNNNNNNNNNNNNNNNNNNNNNNNNNNNNNNNNNNNNNNNNNNNNNNNNNNNNNNNNNNNNNNNNNNNNNNNNNNNNNNNNNNNNNNNNNNNNNNNNNNNNNNNNNNNNNNNNNNNNNNNNNNNNNNNNNNNNNNNNNNNNNNNNNNNNNNNNNNNNNNNNNNNNNNNNNNNNNNNNNNNNNNNNNNNNNNNNNNNNNNNNNNNNNNNNNNNNNNNNNNNNNNNNNNNNNNAAAUAUCACUCUUUGCAAACAAACUAGGAAACAAUUUUUUUAAAUAACCAAAGGAAGCAUGUCCCAAACGUCGAUGCCACAACCAAAUUUCAGACUUUUUCUUCUCCCCCUCAGAUCCAUCUGUCAUCAAGGCUUGUUGCAACUUAUUUGAAUCCUUUGACUGCAAGUCCAAGUAAUAGAGUUUUCCCCGCUUAAUACCAUAACCAAUCGUCUGUCUUGUUUGGAUGUCUUUAAUCACACAAAAUUCAGGCCAAAAAAUGACAAUACAAGAUAAGGCUGCAGUGAUUUGAGAAACUGACAAAAGGUUGUAAUCUAAAGAUGGAACAACUAAAACAUAAUCCAAAUUCAAAGUAUCAGUAAGAGUUAAGGAUCCUUCCCCAAUGAUUGGGGUUGUGUUACCAUUGGCUGUGGAAACAAUUUUUUGUGAGGAAGGUCUAAGGGGUGAAACCUGUCUAGAAUCAAAAGUCAUAUCAUCUGUAGCACCAUAAUCAAUUAUCCAUGCACUAUUAAUAACAGGUGUAAAAGUAUUUAAAAACUUACCACCAUGAUCAGUAGCGGCUACCAAUGCAGAGGCUUUCUCAACAACAUUAGCCUCUGUUUUUAUUUCGGCAACAGUUGCAGUCAAGGUUUUCUUAGAAUCCUUCUUCCAUUGAUCACGAUUAUUAUCAUUAAUAACAAAGUGUUGAUAGCCUAAACAUGAUCUAAAGGUCCAUGGUUCAAACCCUCGAUUCCUCAUUAUUUUCCUGGUCAUACCAAGAGUUGUUGCUUUGAAAUUGUGGGAUAUCCAUACUGGUGGGACCAGUCUUAUUGCAGUGAGUGCAUUUGAAGGUUGACUUAUCAAUAUUAGGGCUUGUCUUAGGAUGGUUGAUCGCUGUCGGACUACCAUAGCGACAAAAUAUCCAGGAUUUUAGUUCCAUGGCUCUGAUACCAUCUUCAAAUUGAUAAAUGGUAGUUUUUUCAUUCAUACUUUCAUUCGUUCAUGUACAAAGUAUAUAUAGAGGGUAAUCACCAUUCUGAGAAUGGGAAAGAAUGAUACAAGGAAAGAAUGAUAUAAGGAAAUAACAACUAAUAUCCUAAUAUCUCAACUUUCCUAAUAUUUCAAUAUUCCUAAUAUCUCAAUAUUCCUAAUAUUUCAAUAUUCAUAAUAUCUCAACUUUCCUAAUAUCUAAACAUUCCUAAUAUCUCAACACUAAAUGAUAUAAGGAAAGAAUGAUAUGAGGAAAGCAUUCCUAAUAUCUCAACAUUCAGGCCACCUGAUGUGUCUAUUAUUAUUAUUAUUAUUGGUCUAGUAAUAUAUACAUGUGACCACUUCUAACUACUGCAAUUCAAAUUUUGGUAUGGUCUAUUGUACCUACAUAUGACCUAUUAUUAAUUUUUGUUCAAAAGUUGACCUCCCUUCGAUAUACCUGCCUUAAAUUGCCAACAACGCUAUUUAUUAUUUAAUAAAUGCCCUUUAUUUCAUUUUUUUCAAAAAUUAUUUGCAGGAGUAAUUUAUGAAAAAAAAAUAUUUAUGAAAUAUUUGAUUUAAAAAAUAGAAAUAGAUGAUUAUGUCAUAGAAUGAGCUAAAAGAUAAAUUCGUCAUCAAUGGCGAUGGACCUUCUAUUUUUCUUUCUUCAUAAUUAGAAUUUGUUUCUAUAAAAAUUCACUAAGGAUUUCAAAAUGUCUGUUGUACUUGUACCAAAAACAAAGAAAUAAUGAGAGAGGGAGAGUGAAAGAAGCUUCAUGAUAUCUUCCUUGUUACAUAAACAGGCUAGUGACCACGCCCCGACAUAAAAAGCGGUUGGGCACUGGCAUCGUAUACUAUUGGAUUUUUCUAGAUUCAAUCAAAUCACUAAAAUUAGUCGUUACUUAUUUAAUCAUACAUAACACUCCUUCAUCUGUAUCCAAAGCGUCGGAUUUGCACAAUUCCACACAUUAACAAAAAAAAAAAGAAAAAAAAAGAGAGAAAGUAAAACGGCCCAUACAAUACUCAUGCACCAUGAAGCACUAAAGUAGGGAAGGAUUUUAAAGAGGGGGGUUGGGGUGUGGUUGGGAAAGCGGAAAAGUCAUGGAAAAUGGGCGGUUUGGCAUGAAAUGUUGGGUGCUACAUGUUUCUCUCUCUUUUAAGGUCAUAUUAACUUUAUUAAUUCUUUUUAUCAUAUCAAAAUUUAACAAUCUCAUGAAAAAAUGGAAUCUACAUAUAUUUUGGAUAAUAUAUUUAUUUCUUAUAUUUAUUAGAUAUUUCUUUCAAAAAAAAUUUCAUGUUAAUCACUUUGAAUAACCAAAAAAAAAAAAAAAUCUAAUUUUAAAAUGAUAAAAUUUUGGUUCCAAAAAAGAAAAAAAAAGCAUAUAUAUAUAUAUAUAUAUAUAUAUAUAUAUAUAUAUAUAUAUAUAUAUAUAUAUAUAUAUAUAUAUUAUCAUAUUUCAUUAAUAGUUUGUCCUAGUCUAGACCGUAAAUUAAAUAUGUUCUUAGUUCACAUAAUUUCAUUAUUUACAUUUACAUGUGUUUAACAUUCAUAAGAAGAUUAUAAAUAAUAUUUUGUGUUUUUUUGACAAUGAUAGUGCAAACCAAACAAAUUUAAAUAUUGAAUUUUUCUAGUUACUUAAAAGAAGUUGCCAAGGAACUUUGGAAUCAGAUUAAUUAAUAUUUUAUUCGGUCAGUCAAGCAAGACAAAACCAAAAAAAAAUAUUUAUCACAUUCUUGAAAUAUUCUACCCACUUUUCCACUAAAAUCCAUAUUUGAAAACUUCAUAGAUCCUUCCUCUCUCAUAUAUCUUAAUGCAAAAGAGUCAAAGUCUUUCAAGUCAAGGUUCAUAGAUUCAUUUAUUGCUAAGAAAAUUCAUUGGUAGAUAUAUAUAUAUUUUUUUGAAAUUGAGACAUGUAUAAUGGACCAUAUGACUUAUGACAAUAUAGUGGUCAAUGUUAACAAAACUAGUCUUGUAAAAUUAAUCCAUUUAAGCCAAAACAUUAACAUAAAAGGCUUGUAAACAAGUUUAUCAACUCUUGGCUAUUUCAUUUAGUUCCAAAAUGCUCAUGGGGUAAGCCUAGUGAUCAGCCCAUACACAACUAGGCUAUUUCAUUCGAUUCCAAAAUGCCUCUCAAAGGAUCAACCCCAACAAUAGGCUCAUGGGCUAGUUUUUGGGCUUGUCCCCAUAGAAGGCAUUUUGGAACCCAAUGAAAUAGCCAGGAAUAUUUGUUUAUGAACUUAUUUAUAAACCACUAAAAGUUAAAUGUACUAACUUGAAAUGGAGAUAAUGUUUAAAUUUCUGGAAAUAAUAGAACCAUAUUAUUGCAUUUCCAGAGAUAGACUACUUUAGCAUCUAAUAGUAACAUAAAUUAUUAUUGAAACUCGCUUUAUUUGAUGACUAUUUUCUAACUAUUUCUAAUCCUUGGCAUAUUCCAUAGGCUAUCUAGCGUCUAACAAUUACCAACUUAAUAUUGUAAUAUUGAAUGCAUAGCCACCAGAAAAUAAUUUAAUAUUCUAGUGAUUUUUAUAUACUAUUUGGUCGUGCAUGUGAUUCUUCUUAAAGCACAUGAAAUAAUGUUUUUCUUAAAAAUUCCUCAUCAUGUGGUCAUCAUAGAAGAUAAACCAUGACUUGUAACUGAAGCAUAAGAAUUCCAACAGUAGAAAUUUCGUCCAAACAACCCCCCCAACAACAAAAAAAGAAACAAUAACAAUUGUUCAAUUGCUUCUUGCUUUCUUACUUUUAGGUUCUGCCUUUCCUGAAAGGACUCCAUUUGCAGACCAAAUUUUUAGUUUUUAAAGACAGGGUCUCUAGAAUUAAUAUGCAGUAUUUGGUCCUUAAAGGGCCAGUAGACCCAUGGGCUAGCUGGCAGGGCAGGGCUAGCUGGCAGGGCAGGGCUAGCUAGCUUGGAUUUGGGCUAGCCUAGCACGUUUGAGGCCUAGCAUCAUUAGAGCCCAAUUUGGCCGAGGAGGCAACUUUAGGGUCAACACAAACCUAUCUGCGCUACCCCUAAACUAAGAUUAAAUGGCUAGGACCCAAAGGGAGAGCUCAAAUGGGUCCAUAUUUGCCAUAAGAUGAGGAAUAUAUCAGUCAUUGCUAGAUUCUAGCAUGCUAUAUUUUAAAGAUUAUCUCCAAGUCUUUUUAUAUUUUUUCCUUUUUUCUUUGUUCUCACAUCUCCCUAACGUGGUUGAGACAUGUUUUUUCAUUUUAGCUCAUGUGGUAAAGUGGUGAAGUGGGGUUGUUGCUUUAGUUAAUCUUAGGAUACGUGGAACUUUGAUGGUAAACUUUAAAUUAAAUAAAAUUUAAUGUGUUGGAAUCAUGGAUAAAUCUAAUAUUUUUUAAAAAUAAUUUAAAACUCAAAUAAUAAAUUCACUAAUACUAGAAAUUUAUAGAUUAAAAUUAUUUCACAAUAACUUUAUUAAUUCUUUUCUACAUAUAAUUACAUUUUUAUAAAUUUUUCUAUUAGAAAAAUGAACUUCAAAAGUGAUAUAUUAUGAGUUAGACUAUAUUAUUUCUCCUAUACAAACUACCAUAUAUAUUUUUUUAUUUUUCUUACUAGGUAAAUAGAUUAUAAAUUAAGGAAUACAUAAUUAAUAAUUUAAAUAUUUUAAUGAAUCUUUUGAUUUUUAAGAAUAACUUGAUAAUAAUAAUUUUUAAGAAUAAUUUAUUAAUUAUUAUUUUUAAAUUAUGUUUUUUAACAAAAAAAAAUUACAAAGAUAUUAAUAUCCUUAUAUUUCUAACAUAAAUUAAAAUAGUGUAUUUCUUAAUAAAAAAAUAUAACUGAUGAUUUUAUCAUAAUAUUACUAUUUAUGUUCUACUAAAAGCUAUUCAUUUUUAGUUUAUUUGUAAUUACAAAACUAUUUUUAUUUUUAAUAAGAUUUGAAUUAAAUUUAAUUAACAUUAUAUAAAUUAAAUUUACAAUAUUUUUAUAAAAUCAAAACAAAAAAAAAUUUAUUUUGAAAAACAACUUAUCCAAACAAGUAUUUUGUUUUUAAAAAUUUAUGAACAUAUUAAUUUCAUUAUGCUUCUAACAUAUAUUGAAAUAAUGUAUUUUUUAAUAAAAAUAUAUAACCUAUGAUUUUAUUAUAAUAUUACUAUUUAUGUCUACUAAAAACUAUUCAUUUUAUUUAUUUAUUUAUUUGUAAUUACAAAAUUAUUUUCAUUUUUAAUAAGAUUUGAAUUAAAUUUAAUUAUUAUUAUAUAAAUUGAAUUUAUAAUGUUUUUUUAUAUAUAAAAUUAAAACAAUUUUUAAAAAAAAACUAGUUUGUCUCCACAACAACUAGUUUGUGAAAACAAGCUCUAAAGUUCGCAUGAUCAAUCAAAGCUUUCACCAGCACAACACAAGCUUCUCUUUCUAUUUUUUGUUCAUUUAAAACAUUCAAAGGAAUGAAGCAGCAUAAAGAGAAUAGGGCUUUUACUAGAAAAUUCAAAACUACUCUUAUGAUGGGAGACACCUAAGCAGAAAGUUGAUACAAACAAGGCCAGCAAUAUCAAGACACCGAAGCAGAAAGUUGAAACAAAAGACUGCCAGACUUCUUCAUUGAAACAAAACACUGCCAUAAAAUGCUUAAUCAAUAUAAUUUGUAAAGUUUGGACUUCAACAAAGUCCUCCAUUUUAAGUGUGCUUAAGCUCUUCUGGAGCUCGAGUGCAACACUUCAAGUGCUUUUUUUAGUUGAUCAAGUAUACUUGAGUGCUUAUUUUAUGUUAUCAACAACCUUAAAUAUAGCAAAUAUUUUUUUUUCUACAUUGAUACAUAAAUAUUAGUCUAACAAAAUAAAUAAUUUAUUUUUUUAUUUUAAAAAAUUAACAAAUAAAUAAACAUGUCACAUGGUGUUGUUAUUGUUUUCUCUUGGGGUACGUAGCUAACAUGAUAUUUUGUUAAUUGUGACUGGCGAUCACCAGAGCAGGUAACAUAAUAUUUUAUCUCCUAAAGUAUGAAUACAAUUUUGUGAGAUGAGCUAUUUUCCUAUGCAAUUAUUUUCUUGCUAGAAACAAACUACUUUUGGUAGUUUUCCCUCUAGAAUUCACUUUAGAAAAUAAAUAAAUAAAUAAUAAGAAUUUACUUCACAAAUCCGAAGAUGUAUGAUGCCUCAUUAGCAUUAAGCAAACUCCUCCCUGCAUCUUCUUCCAAUGCAUCUUGCUUUCUUACUUUUAAGUUCUCCCUUCUGACUCCAUUUGCCCUACUCCUCCCUGUUGAACAGACCCAAUUUUCAGAUUCUGAAGAUGAUGUCUCUAAUAUUGGAAUGCAGUAGCUUGUCGAUCCAUAGGCUGGCUCGGAUUUAGCCUAGCCCAUCAUGUUUGAGACCCAGCAUCAGAGCCCAAUUGGGUUGAGGAAGCAAUUCUGGGCCCAACGCAAAUCUAUUUGGGCUAUAGCAUGAGGAAUUAUGGCUAGGACCCAGUGCGAGAGCUCAAAUGGGUCCAUAUUUGCCAUAGCAUGACGAAUUAUGCCAUGGCUGGUGGUGAAUAUCACUUUUAAAGAGAGGCAAAAAUGUGUCUCACCUUAAUAUAAACUAAGUGCACAUGGGUACCAUGAUAAGUCUAACUAAUUCCUGAGUACACUAAUCCAUGUUUUUCCCCUCCUACUUUCUCUAGAGUGCUCAAACAUCAUUUUUCCAGAUUUGGACCCGAUUUGUGAAGAACUUGUUGAAGUUGCAGCUCGACCAGUCCACCUUUUGCUUCUCCUUGCACUUGGAUGAUGGUUAAACAUGGGAAAAUACAAGUUUGAAUCACAAGUUCAAAAUCAAUUAAGUGAAAUGUUCUAUUAGCUAGGUUGUGUUCAGAGCAUUAGGGCUCAUCAGUGGAAGAUUCAAAACACCACUCUAAUUUCUUUUCCAUGUUUCUCCUCUAUCAUAUCAUAAUCCACAAUGAAAAGUACAUUUGAGUUCAGUGUUGUACAAAUGCAUUCACAUUCCUUACUACGCAUAAAGACAAUAAUUUUGCUAGGCCAAAGUCCCAAACUUUUGUGCAAAGUCUGUUAGAUUAUUGGUUCUAAAAUACUAGAGGGUACAAACGAAAUGACAAUUGAAGUGAGCCCAAACGCACUAAUAUUUUUGCAGAAAAAUUAUCAAUUUUCUCUAUGCUUGUUUUAAUUUUUAAUAUUAGAAUUUAGAAUUUAAAAUUUAAAAUUGAGCACUAGAAUAGAAACUCUCCUCAAACUGAAUCAUGCUCAUCAAAAGCUUAUGAGUUUGUAAUUAUAAAUUGGUGGGUUAUUUUGGACAUAAUUAAUACACUUGAACAAAACUAAACCAGUGGGUUAUUUAUCCCUUGAAGAUGUUACAUUUAACUUUUGCGGUCACAAUUAAAAUAAAAGUAAGAUGGAAGCUUAUAUCACCUAAUUAUCCAAUAAUUACUAGAAACGAAACUAUUUUAACUUCUCAAAAUGAUCAAAGCAAACAGAUUAUAUUAAUUGGUUUCAUUCCCAACUUUUCAACUUUCAAGAAUUAUUUAUGAUGUUUGUGUUCAGGUGUAAAUAUAACUCAAAUUUUCAUUAACUCUUUAUGGCUCCUUGGCUUUCAUGGUUAAAACUAAAAAUUGAUCAAUAAUAUCAUUUUAGAUUAUGAAAUGAAAUUCCUUUUCCUUUUCAGCAUUCAAAGAGUUGAUUAGUACAUUUUUAUUUAUUAUUGAAGUAUAGAAGAUGAUGCCUAAUCUAAGGCAUGUUGCCCUUCACCAAUGACCUCUCAAAAAUGUGUAUGUCAAAGUGUGGUUCCCCAAAUAUUGAGAGUUGACUAUAGUUUUAAAAUCUCUGUGAGUGGGGAUGUCGAACAUCAAGAAGGUAACUUUGAGAUAAACUCUUUCGCUUUGAAACAAAAGGGGAUUGAUGAAUUAUUGUAAAAACAAGAGAAAAUCUUAGGAAAUCAAACUAAAAUAUAUUAUACUAUACUAAAAGCUGUUUAUUGAAGGAGUAAAUAUUAGAAUAAAAAACAUAUCUCAUCCUAAUGUUUCACAAUUGUUUAAAUGAUAUAUGAAUUGCAUCCAAACAUUUAUUAUUAAAAAAUAUAUAAUCUCUCUUACUAUUCAACAUUAUUUAGAGAUCUCUCAAUUGUUUAUUUUAAAAUUGUUCUUUAUAAAGUCUUAUAUGUAUGAAAUUAUUACAUGUUGUUAAAGGACAUAUAUUAAGUUGACAUAUGUUAUAUAAAAUCAUUUUUGUAUAUAUGUAUUACAAAAAAGAAUUUGUGGUCCAUUAGAUAUAUAUCCCAUCAUUUUAUGUGGUUGUUAAAUAUCAUGUGGAGGAGAUACAAGGAAGAGGGUGAAUGUAUUAUCUCACCUUUUAUCUUUAUUCUAUAGUAUAUUCAAUUAUUUAAACAUUAAUUAAAGAGCAUAAUAUUUUGGUUGAAUAAAGUUAAUAACAAACCCUUUCAAGUAAUAUGAAUGAAGGUUAGCUCCUCCAAAAUUAGUAUCGGACAAUGGAAAUCUGAGAUAGAAAUAAAGAAAGAUAUAAAACUAAUUGAAAGUACGUUAGAGAAAAAAAUUGUUUAGAAAAUGUUACAUCAAUUUGUCCACUAUAUUUGAUUUUUCUACAACAUCGACUAUCGUAACAAGUAUUGAAGUAUAAGGGUAACUAGCUACAUCAACUUUCUCCUAGUGUUUGCUUUUUCUAUAGCAUUGAAUAUCAUAGUCAGUAUUAAAUUAUGAGGGUGAAUGGGUACAUCAACUCAACUUGCCCACAAUGUUUGAUUUUUCUAUAACAUUAACUAUCAUAGUCAGUAUUGAAGUAUGAGGGUGACUAGGUACAUCUACUUGUCCACAAUGUUUGAUUUUUCUAUAUUAAUGUUUUGUAGCUAGUCAAGCACGACAAGCUAUCAAAUUACAAGACAUACGCACAUGCUUGUGAAAUGAGGAGGUCCUUGCAAGUUGUUAUCCUAUUUAAUAGGUAAAGGAUUAGAAUUACUGAAAAUAAUUGUCUUAAGUAUGUGUGUAUGUAUUUUUUUAUCAUAUUAAAUACAUGUUUUAGAUAUUGUUACUAAAUAUUGGAUUAAAACAGGAAUUUCCUAAGUAAUUAAAAUGACUUCUCUUGAACUUGAAUUCCCUUCUUUCCCAUUUUAGCAAAAAAAAAAAAAAAAAGACUCCCUCUUAUAGAUGAUAAUUACUGCAACUUGUUAAAUUGUUGGAAGAUGCAUGUUUAAGGUUUUGCUUUGAUAUUUUGCUGCUACUAAAUAGAUUGAACCAAUUUAAUAGUCUUUUACGCUCUCCACCUAAGACAAUUAUAUGUUAUUUAAUGGGGAUUUAGGGUGCAAAUUUCACUUCAAGGCAUGAUGAAAGGUUUUUGUAUUUUUCAAAGAAUUGACAUAACUAAAGUUGAUCUCAAAAGCAAAUCCAGAAAUUUAUUAAAAUCAAAUCUGAAAUUUAAAGGAGGGAAAAAAAAUAAGAAAGACAAAAAAACUCAUAUUUGGUGUAAGUAUAUAAUAUAACUAAUUUGUAUGAAUUUAUGAACCUCCAAGCUAGUUUAAUAGGUUCUAUCUUAUCUAUACACCUUUCUCCACGGAUUAUUAGGUAUCAAUCAAUUUUGUUAGUAGCAUGUUGCCAUCUCUACUUUAAGUCAUAUUUAUGUGUAGACAUCUAUGGAUAGACCUUCUACCAAUGCAAAGCAAGUGGAGUAGCAAAAUUUCUUAGUCAUUGUAUGACAAAUCUUACCAUCUUUUUUCGACUUUAAUUAUGAUAAUGAAUGAUAUCAUACAAUCAACCUCUCAAAAAUUGACUAGUCCUUGUGGGGCCAAUGAGGAAAGAAACUGAUUCAUGCAUCAUUUUACAUAAGGGACUGCAACUUGGAGCCAUGAGAGAUCAUUUUUUUUUGUUUGUAAUUAUAUAUCUUUCUUGAUGCAUCCGCCUUCAAACAUUCAAAUAAUUCUCUUUUUGUGAGUUUCAAUUGGAAUUUUGCCUUUGUGGAAUUUGCUACUACAUUCCUAGUGAAACCUAAGUUGGUAUCUCCUGCGUUUUCUAAUUUUAAAAAGGAUGCCUUUAUUGACUAAUGUAAGGCUCUCCAAAAUCUGAUUUUGAUUUUAUUUAUUUCAUCAUGAAUCAUAUGAUUAGUUUUUCUUAUGAAAUUUCUCUUAAGAAUAAGGAAAUUAGUAACUCUCUAAAGCACCUCAUUUCUUAAUAAGAAAAUUAUUGGUAAAAAGGGAAAUUGAUGUUGUAAGCCUCAAUUUCUCAAAUGAGAUUUGUUUAAUUUAUCUUAAAGCUAAAUAAAAUUUAAUUUGACUUAGGUUUAAAUAGAACUUUAUUUUUCUAUAUUAUUUUAUUAUAUUUUAAGACUUAAGUUUAAAGAUAAGAAUGACCUUAAAACAAAAAACAAGCCUAAAUAGAAGCAUAUUAUAUAAAGAUCACAUUCAUCAUGAACCAUUGAUUAAAACAUUAGCUAACUACAUAUUAAAAAAUAAUAACAUAAAAGAAAAUAAUUUUUUGCUUCACUCUAAUUAUGAGAUGAUUGUGAAAUUUACUUGUAAUUAGGUGAAUAAUAGCAUAACUUGUUCUUGGUAGGUGAAACAUUAAUGAUUAUUGUGCAUAGGUUAUCAGUUUUAAAAUUUCAUUGAAAUUGUUUACUUGGAAAGGGGGUGGUACCAUAACUAAACAUAACAAAACUAUUUAUUUAGAAAGGCAGAAGGAAAAACUUUAUGGAGAGAAAACCAAUCUAUGAAAACAAUCAAUCGAGCUUAACUAGUUAGAGGUUUGAGUGAAAGUUACCACUUAUAAUCACAAACAAAUGAUGUAUUAUAUUUUCAUUCACGUUAAUUGUGAAACAGUAUGAUAACCAUAAAAUUAUGAAAAAAUUUAUUUUAAUAAAAUAUAUUUUCUAUUGUAAAUUAUUGAAAAAGUGGUGCAUAUAUAAUUAAAAUAACAAGUAAUUUUCUAUUGUAAAUUAGAUUAUAGAAAAAACAUUUGAACAAAAAUUGAAAAUUUUAAGUUUUUGCUUAUAUAUUUUUAUUAUAAAUAUUUUUCUACUAAAAAAAUAAACUUUAUAGUAGAAAGUCAAACAUUAUAUGAUAAUUAUUCUUACGAUAGUUUAAAAAAUGAAAUGUAAAUUAAUGAUUGAAAGUGGUAUUUUGCCACAAAAAAAUUUGAGGUAAAAAGUGGAGUUCAUGGCACAAUGUUAUAUACUGCGCAAAAAUUAUUCUCACCAUGUUUUUUACAAUAAAAAGUAACUUCUUAGCGAUAUGUAAUAUUUUCAAAAGAAUUUUGGGAAGUAUAUUUUAGGAAGGUAUCAACAAAGACACAUUAAACAUUGUGGGGUAGUUAAUGUAUGUAACAAGAAUAUAAACAAAGGUAGAAAAGCUUGAUUAAUUCCUUUGGUAAUUUCUUAUUUCACAUAGCAAGUAGGCAUUGAAAAUUUUUUCACAAAAUUUAUGAGGGAGGGAUAAUGUCCAAAAUGUGUCAAUCAAAUGGACUAAACACUAUGUAUAUAGAUAUAUAUACAAACACACAUAUAUAUUGUUUUCCAUAAGAAAAUGGGUGCCAUUGUUUUUAAAAGAAUUAUUGAGAAGGACCUUUUGGGAAGGUGUCAAUAUAGAAACAUUAAAAAUUGUGGGGUAGUUGAUAUAUCUUACAAGUAUUGAAAGGAUGGUGGAAAAGCUUGACUGAUGGUUAGAUGGUUUCUUAUUUUCCAUGGAAAAUCUGGCUUUGAAAUUUCCCCACGAAAUUUAUGAGGAACGAAUAAUGUCCAAAAUCUGCUAAUCAAAAAGACUAAACAUGGUGGAGAUAACCAAUAUAUAUAUAUAUAUAUGAUGGGUGUCAUCAUUUCAAAAGGAUUAUUAAAAAGGACCCAACAAAUUCUAGGAUACCAACAAAUUCUAGGAUACCAACAAAUUCUUAACUAAAUUCGUAUAGAUCAAGCUUGACUAAUUCUAUGAUGGUUCUUCUUUUCCAUGAAAAGUGGGAGUUAUUGUUUUAAAAAAAAAUUAAUGGGAAGGCCAUAAAAAAUAUCAAACAUACAGAGGACAAUUUUAAAGUAUAGUUAAGGAACAAAGAGAUUUACUAAUUUAUUUUAUUAUGUUCUUCAAUUGUACUAUGCAUAAAAGAAUAAAUAUAUGCAAAAAUAUCUAUAGAACACUAAUUCUACUAUUUUUCUACUUUUAUUUUUUUCAUGGUAUCAAAGCCAUUUGACUCAUACCCUCUAUAAUUUCUUAACAAGAUAUUUAAGUUCCUUUUCUUCCACUCUCUCAUUUUCAAUUAAUGGUAUUUCUCAUCCCAUUUUUAUUGAGUUAGAUAUGAAGGAUAAGGUUUCCUAGAAGAUUUCAUGUAUCCAAAUACAUUUCUUGACAUGAUAUAAUAUGAUGCUUAGGCAAGCCACAUCAUAUGUCUUUCUUGAUGCUUAAAAAGCGUCAUUGUUUCCUUUUUCCUUAUAGUGGUUUCUACAAGUUCUUCAUAGAUGUGACUUACUAGCUAUUGUUUAUGAAUUGAAACAUGCCCAUCUAAGCUCAUCCAAGACUAUAAGGGAGAAGAAAUAACAAAACCACAAUUUAUAACUCAAAUAAGUAGGAUUAUAGUACAUUCUUUGUUAUCUUAAGAACACUGUAUAUGAAAUUUAUUUCUUCCUAAAGAUAUCAUGUAGUUGUGGUUUAAUUGAGAUGAACUUUAUUCUUCCUAAAAAGGCUUAGGGUGCGUUUGAUAGUGAUUCAUGCCCAGUCGGUUCCUUUAAUCAAAAAUAUUUAUAAAUCCUAUGACCUUAUACUGGCGUAGCAAAGCUACUAUAGUAUAGCAGUUCUAGGGUCGAACUCAGGGAUGGGUUUUCACUCUAUCAGUGACAAACUCUAAAUUAGAAAUUGAUUCUGAUGAUUUCCUUUAGCACAAACUUGAAAUUUAAAAGAAAAUAAAAUUGUUUUGAAAGUGGUGAUUGAAACUAAACUCACAUAGAACUAAGUAAAAAUAGAAGAAAGAAAGUCUCCCGGAGCUAAAGGUUGCUAGGUUCAAGUUUAGGAUGCAAAGUGGAAAAUUCCGGAUUUUUCUCCUCGCAUUGGGGAUUUAACCUAUAGUUAUUUCCCGAACCGGUAUAGGUUUGACAAUGAAGAUUUAAUCCAUAAACAGUCAAUAGAGAUGGUAGUCAAGAUCCAUUAAUGGCUUAAGACACUAUGGGUUAUCACCUUGAAUCACUUUCCACUGGCUCGUACAUGAUAACUAAUGGACUGAUAUGGAUCUAGCAAUAAGCAUCCACAGAGACCUGAAGCUUACCAUGUAUUGGCCAGUCAAAGUGAUUCUAAGGGAUUUAAAGCAAAACUUUGAAUUUAGAAACCAUUUAUGGACUCCAACUACCUGAAUUUAAUGCACGGAAACGUUCCACCUUUUAAUCUGGACUUUUCACCUAGCUUCCUUUACUCCAAGAAACUAUAAGUUUAGCCUCUCAUCCUCUGGGAAAACAUCCUCAGAGGUUGUUUGGCUUCCAAGAAAAUAGAAAAUAGUAGAGAGAAAAAGAAAGCAAAAGAGAUCUCUGUAUAUCACUAAGUGUAGAAUUUACAUCAGUUGGUCUCCUGGAGAAAGUUCCCCGAGAGUACUUCUUCAGUGUUUACAAGAGAAUUUAUAUAGGAAGGUAAUUUUACCCUUCCUUGGAUACUUCCUAGCUAAGGAAUUACAUGAGUGGCUGAAUACAAGGAGAAAAUGGAAAUUUAGACACAAAAAUAUCAGAAGAAAAAGAGUCGGCAAAAAUAUCCAAUUUUCGCACGUUGCAUUGUGACAUGCGAAAAUUUCGCAAGUUGAUUUUGCAACUUAGAAUUCACUUUUGCACGUUGAGAUUUAAGUUCACAAGUUGCAAAAUAAACUUCACAUGCUGGCUUCACCACGACUACACAGCUGCUAUCCAUUUUUACAUUUCGCACGUUGGAGUUCCAAUUUCGCACAGUGCGAAAUUGUCCCUCAGCUUGAUGUAGUUGUCUUCCGAAGGCCAUAUCUUCCUCAUUUCAGCUCCAAAUCGUACAUGGUUUGAAUUGUUGGAUUCUUGACUUUCUGAGCUUUGAAAUGGUAUAUAGAAUGUAGAAAAUAGACUUCGGGAAGUGCUCCAAAAGUGCGAUGAAAGACUGCAGCUAUGUCCCCUGUUUUCAUCACCCUAUUUUCCUCUUCUCCAUUGUUCUUUCCUUGCAUACUUUGAACGACUAAGGCAAAGGAUUAUGAGGCUCCAAAUCUUGGUUUCUUCAUAAAUUUGAGCUUCCAAAAGCUUUGCCAUGAAUUAUAUAUAGCUCUCCCUCAUUCUUAAAUUGCUUUGGUGAGCAUAAAGCUAUCAAAAAGCACCAAAACUUAACACAAUUUGAUUAGAAACGAUUGCAAGGGUCCCUAACAUGCUAAUUGAGUUAAAAGGUAAUAAUUACUACUCAAGGGUGCUUAAAAGAGCUAAUAACAAGCUACGAAAUAGCAUGUUUUGAGUAGUAAUCAGAUAGUGUUUUACUCAAAAUGUUUUCUCUAAAAGUGUUUUUAUGAGAAUCACCCAUCAACUGCUUCUCCAGAAAACACUAAAAAGGAUUUUUCAAAUUUUUUCAUAAAUUUUUUCAAACAUUUGUUUUUUCUAAAAACACUUUUUAUGCUAAAAACAUUUCCUAUAAUUACUACCAAAUGAAUUCUUAGUGUUGAUUUAUAGUAUAUGCCAUGACUGAAUUAUAUUAGAUAUAUUGGAAUGCUACAAAACGAUCUAUGUAUAUGCUCUUAUCCUCUUCUAUUUUUACCUUAUCCCAAAUGCAGCGCAUUAAAAAUAUUGAUUACCAUUUAUUGGAGAAGAGGUUCUAUAUGCUGCAAAAUGCAUAUCAACUGUUGAUCAAGUGGCCUAUAUUUUUAUGAAAUGCCUUACUUUCUAUCUGCAUGUUUACUUGAGGAGGCUCUUCAGGAAGAAGUAGCAGACUUAAUACAUGAUCCAAAGUCAAGAGGGUUCAAUGAAAGAAUCCCAAAUUCCUUACUUUCUAUCCAUUUACUUGAGGAGACUCUCAAGGAAGAAGUACCAGACUGAAUACAUGACCCUAAUUAAGUUGAAGGGCCGGGUUAAAUUAAACAAUCCCAAUGACAUAACAUCUGACUUAUCAACUCUACGAAUGGAUCAACAAGUCUAUAGAGACUAAUUUAUGUCAAAAUACGAACAAAUAAAAUGAAAUUAUGUCAAAAUUUCUAUUACCAUAUCAGGGUGCAAAGGAAUAUGGCAUGGGCUAAUAUCCUCUGUCAUAAUUUCUCCUUUCAAAAUGAUAUGGAAUAUUGUGUAGUACGUACCUUUUGUUGGCUUCUUUAUGCACUUGAUUUCAGGUUCCGUGUCAUUACUCAUCUUCAGCCCGCAUUUCUCACCUUCUGCUUUGCAAUUUCCACACAAAGGUUUUGACCAAUUCAUAGAAAAUCUAGAUUCCCCAUAUGCUAUAUUUAAUGGAAGUGAAGCGUUGGAAAUCUAGCAAGCAAAAUAAAUUUAUAAAUAAAUUAAAAUAGACAUCAUUCCUCAUGCUUAUGUUUGGAAUUUAUAUAUAAAUUCCNNNNNNNNNNNNNNNNNNNNNNNNNNNNNNNNNNNNNNNNNNNNNNNNNNNNNNNNNNNNNNNNNNNNNNNNNNNNNNNNNNNNNNNNNNNNNNNNNNNNNNNNNNNNNNNNNNNNNNNNNNNNNNNNNNNNNNNNNNNNNNNNNNNNNNNNNNNNNNNNNNNNNNNNNNNNNNNNNNNNNNNNNNNNNNNNNNNNNNNNNNNNNNNNNNNNNNNNNNNNNNNNNNNNNNNNNNNNNNNNNNNNNNNNNNNNNNNNNNNNNNNNNNNNNNNNNNNNNNNNNNNNNNNNNNNNNNNNNNNNNNNNNNNNNNNNNNNNNNNNNNNNNNNNNNNNNNNNNNNNNNNNNNNNNNNNNNNNNNNNNNNNNNNNNNNNNNNNNNNNNNNNNNNNNNNNNNNNNNNNNNNNNNNNNNNNNNNNNNNNNNNNNNNNNNNNNNNNNNNNNNNNNNNNNNNNNNNNNNNNNNNNNNNNNNNNNNNNNNNNNNNNNNNNNNNNNNNNNNNNNNNNNNNNNNNNNNNNNNNNNNNNNNNNNNNNNNNNNNNNNNNNNNNNNNNNNNNNNNNNNNNNNNNNNNNNNNNNNNNNNNNNNNNNNNNNNNNNNNNNNNNNNNNNNNNNNNNNNNNNNNNNNNNNNNNNNNNNNNNNNNNNNNNNNNNNNNNNNNNNNNNNNNNNNNNNNNNNNNNNNNNNNNNNNNNNNNNNNNNNNNNNNNNNNNNNNNNNNNNNNNNNNNNNNNNNNNNNNNNNNNNNNNNNNNNNNNNNNNNNNNNNNNNNNNNNNNNNNNNNNNNNNNNNNNNNNNNNNNNNNNNNNNNNNNNNNNNNNNNNNNNNNNNNNNNNNNNNNNNNNNNNNNNNNNNNNNNNNNNNNNNNNNNNNNNNNNNNNNNNNNNNNNNNNNNNNNNNNNNNNNNNNNNNNNNNNNNNNNNNNNNNNNNNNNNNNNNNNNNNNNNNNNNNNNNNNNNNNNNNNNNNNNNNNNNNNNNNNNUAAAUCAAGGGUUGGGGAAGAAUAUUGGAAUUUAUAAAUAAUUAAAAUAGACAAAUUAAAAUUUAUAAUAUUACUAUUUAUGUUCUACUAAAAACUAUUUAUUUUUUUAUUUAUUUGUAAUUACAAAAUUAUUUUCAUUUUUAAUAAGAUUUGAAUUAAAUUUUAUUAUUAUUAUAUAAAUUGAAUUUAUAUAUAUUUUUUAAAUUAAAACAAAAAAAUUACUUUUAAAAACAACCUAUUUGAAACAAGUUUUUUGGUGUCUCCACAACAACUAGUUUGAAAACAUGCUCUUAAGUUCACCUUAUCUUUCAUUAACACAAUACAAUCUUCUCUUCCUAUUUUUUUCUUCAUUUAAAACAUUCAAAGGAAUGAAGUAAGCAUAAAGAGAAUAUGGCUUUUACUAGAAAAUUCAAAACUACUCUUAUAAUGAGAGACACCUAACCACAAAGAUGAUACAAACAAUGCCAACAAUAUUAAAUUAUGAUAUAAUAGAAAAUAAAUUAUGAUAAAUGUAUAAUUUUUUAAUAUUUAAUUAAUAUAUUAAAAACACUAUAAAGAAUAUUAUAGUGAUCACUUUUAUAUUUUUUCUAAUUAAUUAAAUAAUUUUUUUUAAUGUUUGAUGCAUGUUAUUUAACAAAUUAAGAGUAAAUUUGCUCUAGUGGUGCUUGUGAUAUUAGCGAGCAAUCACGAUAUUUUUAUAAUUUAUUAAAAUUAAAAAUAAAAAUAUCGAUAAUUACUUAUGUCUAUAUAUAUAUAUUAAUAUUUCGAUUUUAUUUAAGUUUGAAGUCCACCAGGUCAUUUGCACAAGAAAGAUGAUCACAGUACUGCACAAGAAAGAUGAUCACAUAUAGUGUACUUGGGACGCGUGUACUAUUCCCAUCCCGGGGGUGAAUUAUGAUAAUUGUAUCUCACCAGCCUGAGAAGGCAGAGGGGUCGACAAAUCCAGCUCAUGCAGACAAGACGGUCAGCAAUUGUGGGCCAUGCGACCUAACGACAAACUUGAUGAUAAACCAACCUGAGCUCACUCAUGCCACGUUUCCACAUUUCAUUGGGUUGACUUGUAAAACUCAAAAAGUUUGGUCUAUUUAAAGGAGCUUUGACCCAAAAUAGGGCGUUUUAAAAAAAAAUUCCAAAAAAUAAAGUUAUUUUCAAAAUAAUGUCCGAUCUAAUGUGUCUGUGCCACAUAAGUUGUCAUGUCAUAAAACCGUAGUUGGUGACUACGGUUUUAUUUUUCUAAAGUGGUUAGAAACCGUAGUUACCAACCACGGUUUUAACUUUAAGUUUAAAACCGUAGUUGGUGACUACGGUUUCUAACCACUUUAGAAAAAUAAAACCGUAGUCACCAACUACGGUUUUAUGACAUGACAACUUAUGUGGCACAGACACAUUAGAUCGGACAUUAUUUUGAAAAUAACUUUAUUUUUUGGAAUUUUUUUUUAAAACGCCNNNNNNNNNNNNNNNNNNNNNNNNNNNNNNNNNNNNNNNNNNNNNNNNNNNNNNNNNNNNNNNNNNNNNNNNNNNNNNNNNNNNNNNNNNNNNNNNNNNNNNNNNNNNNNNNNNNNNNNNNNNNNNNNNNNNNNNNNNNNNNNNNNNNNNNNNNNNNNNNNNNNNNNNNNNNNNNNNNNNNNNNNNNNNNNNNNNNNNNNNNNNNNNNNNNNNNNNNNNNNNNNNNNNNNNNNNNNNNNNNNNNNNNNNNNNNNNNNNNNNNNNNNNNNNNNNNNNNNNNNNNNNNNNNNNNNNNNNNNNNNNNNNNNNNNNNNNNNNNNNNNNNNNNNNNNNNNNNNNNNNNNNNNNNNNNNNNNNNNNNNNNNNNNNNNNNNNNNNNNNNNNNNNNNNNNNNNNNNNNNNNNNNNNNNNNNNNNNNNNNNNNNNNNNNNNNNNNNNNNNNNNNNNNNNNNNNNNNNNNNNNNNNNNNNNNNNNNNNNNNNNNNNNNNNNNNNNNNNNNNNNNNNNNNNNNNNNNNNNNNNNNNNNNNNNNNNNNNNNNNNNNNNNNNNNNNNNNNNNNNNNNNNNNNNNNNNNNNNNNNNNNNNNNNNNNNNNNNNNNNNNNNNNNNNNNNNNNNNNNNNNNNNNNNNNNNNNNNNNNNNNNNNNNNNNNNNNNNNNNNNNNNNNNNNNNNNNNNNNNNNNNNNNNNNNNNNNNNNNNNNNNNNNNNNNNNNNNNNNNNNNNNNNNNNNNNNNNNNNNNNNNNNNNNNNNNNNNNNNNNNNNNNNNNNNNNNNNNNNNNNNNNNNNNNNNNNNNNNNNNNNNNNNNNNNNNNNNNNNNNNNNNNNNNNNNNNNNNNNNNNNNNNNNNNNNNNNNNNNNNNNNNNNNNNNNNNNNNNNNNNNNNNNNNNNNNNNNNNNNNNNNNNNNNNNNNNNNNNNNNNNNNNNNNAUUAGGGGCACAGAGACCUCUGCCAUAGCUGCGAGUGAUGGGGUCCGAGCUCAGAAUUGAGUAUUAAUUGGCUAGACUGAGGUGACCCCCUUUAAAUAGAGCUUUGACCCAAAAUAGUGCGUUUAAAAAAAAAAUUCUAAAAAAUAAAGUUGUUUUCAAAAUAAUGCCCGAUCUAAUGCGUCUGUGCCACAUAAGUUGCCAUGUCAUAAAACCGUAGUUGGUGACUACGGUUUUAUUUUUCAAAAAAGCUCAAAGCCGUAGUCACCAACUACGGCUUUAAACUUAAAGUUAAAACCGUGGUUGGUAACUACGGUUUCUAAGCACUUUAGAAAAAUAAAACCGUAGUCACCAACUACGGUUUUAUGACAUGGCAACUUAUGUGGCACAGACGCAUUAGAUCGGGCAUUAUUUUGAAAACAACUUUAUUUUUUAGAAUUUUUUUUUUAAACGCACUAUUUUGGGUCAAAGCUCUAUUUAAAGGGGGUCACCUCAGUCUAGCCAAUUAAUACUCAAUUCUGAGCUCGGACCCCAUCACUCGCAGCUAUGGCAGAGGUCUCUGUGCCCCUAAUCUCUUUACUCCCUUCACACCCAUUUGAUUUUUUCAUCUGAAUUUCACAUUUUCUCGCUGGUUUAUAUAUAUAUCAGCCAUAUACAUUAUGGAGCUUCAUCAAUAUAAUCUGUAAAGUUUAGAUUUCCACAAAGUCCUCUCUUUUUAAGCGUGCUUAAGCUGUUCUGGAGCUUGAGUGCAACACUACAGGAGCCUUUUUAGUUGAUCAUAACACUUGAGUGCUUGAUCUUAAAAUCCUGUUUCAUAAUUAAAUCAAACACCUAGUUUUCAAUUACCUAAAGUCCUUUUUUUUUUUGUCAUUUUUAAAAGCCAUUACCUUUUUUUAAAACUUGUUAUACAUACCUAUAUUCCCAAGGCUGAUUCGGCAACAAUCUUGAGUCUUCCAAAUGGUGUAAGUCACGAGAAAAUAUAUAGAGUUCUAAACCAAGAUGAACAAAAUAAAAAUGCCAACUUAAUCUAUCUAGGUCAAUGCAUUAACGAUGCCAUGGAUUAUUUUGAAGGUGUAAAAUUUUAUUUUUUAUCCUUUCCUCUAUAACGAUGCCACUCUUUUGAUUCCAAGACAAAAGGCAGUUGAUGUAAUUUAGGGUUUGGGGUUUGUUCUCCAAUACUGAGAUCUCUAGUCAAUCAAGUAUAUUGAAAUCUCUAAUCAAUCAAGUAAAAGCAGGAUGAUUAAGCCGUUGCAAUGCCUCCCACUUUUCCACCAUGGUAGUGUUCUUUUCCUAAGGCAAAGACAUGAUAUUUUAUUUUCUUAAAUAUGGAUAUAAUUUUAUUUUCUAGCAUGCUUCUUUCUCAUGAAUUUAUUUAUUUAUUUAUUUUUAAGUUGAUGCCACUAGGACUGACAUUAUAAUUAAAUAUAAGAAAUAUGUCCAGCAAGAGUAUAGUGAUUAUUUUAUGUAAUCAACAACCUUGAAUAUAGCAAAUGUUUUGUUUCUCUACAUUGAUACAUAAAUAUUAGUCUAACAAAAUAAAUAAUUUAUUUUUUUAUUCUAAAAUAUUGACAAAUAAAUAAACAUGUCACAUGGUGUCGUCAUUGUUUUCUCUUGGGGUACAUAGCUAACAUGAUAUUUUGUUAAUUGUGACUUGCGAUCACCAGAGCAAGUAAUAUAAUAUUUUAUCUAUAUGAAUACAAUUUUGUAAGAUGACCUAUUUUCCUAUGCAAUUAUUUUCUUGCUAGAAACAAACUACUUUUCGUAGUUUUCCCUUUGGAAUUCACUUCAGAAAAUAAAUAAAAAAAUAAGAAUUUACUUCACAAAUCAGAAGAUGUACGAUGCCUUAUUAGCAUUCAGCAAACUCCUCCCUACAUUUUGUUCCAAUGCAUCUUGCUUUCUUACUUUUAGGUUCUCCCUUUCGACUCAUUUGCCCUACUCCUCCCUGUUGAACAGACUCAAUUUUCAGUUUCUUAAGAUGACGUCUCUAGAAUUGGAAUGCAGUAUCAUGUUGACCCAUAGGCUGGCUCAGAUUUAGCCUAACCUAACAUGUUUGAGACCUAGCAUCAAAGCCCAAUUGGGUUGAGGAAGCAAUUCUAGGCCCAACGCAAAGCUAUUUGGGCUAUAGCAUGAGGAAUUAUGCCAUGGCUAGUGGUGAAUAUCACUUUUAAAGAGAGACAAAAAUGUGUCUCACCUUAAUAUAAACUAAGUGUACAUGGUUACCAUAAUAAGCCUAACUAAUUCCUGAGUACACUAAUCCGUGUUUUUCCCCUCUUACUUUCUCUAGAUUGCUCAAACAUCAUUGGAUCAUCAAACAUCAUUUUUCCAGAUUUGGACCGGAUUUGUGAAGAACUGGUUGAAGUUGUAGCUCGACCAGUCCACCUUUUGCUUCUCCUUGCACUUGGAUGAUGGUUAAACAUGGGAAAAUACAAGUUUGAAUCACAAGUUCAAAAUCAAUUAAGCUAAAUGUUCUAUUAGCUAGGUUGUGUUCAAGGCAUUGGGGCUCAUUAGUGGAAGUUAAGAUUCAAAACACCACUCUAUAGUUCUUAAUUGGUUGUUAAAUGCUUUGAUCAAAUUUCUCCUAGUGUUUGAUUUUUCUAUAGCAUUGAAUAUCAUAGUCAGUAUUAAAUUAUGAGGGUGAAUGGGUACAUCAACUCAACUUGCCCACAAUGUUUGAUUUUUCUAUAGCAUUAAUUAUCAUGGUUAGCAUUGAAGUAUGAGGGUGACUAGGUGCAUCAACUUGUCCACAAUGUUUGAUUUUUCUAUAGAUAAUGUUCUGUAGCUAGUCAAGCACGAGGAGCUAUCUAAUUACUAGACAUACCCACAUGCUUAUGAAAGGAGGAGGCCUUGCAAGUUGUUAUCCUAUUUAAUAGGUAAAGGAUUAGAAUUACUGAAAAUAAUUGUCUUAAGUAUGUGUGUAUGUAUUUUUUUAUCAUAUUAAAUACAUGUUUUAGAUAUUGUUACUAAAUAUUGGAUUAAAACAGGAAUUUCCUAAGUAAUUAAAAUGACUUCUCUUGAACUUGAAUUCCCUUCUUUCCCAUUUUAGCAAAAAAAAAAAAAAAAGACUCCCUCUUAUAGAUGAUAAUUACUGCAACUUGUUAAAUUGUUGGAAGAUGCAUGUUUUAGGGUUUUGCUUUGAUAUUUUGUUGCUACUAAAUAGAUUGAACCAAUUUAAUAGUCUUUUACACUCUCCACCUAAGACAAUUAUAUGUUAUUUAAUAGGGAUUUAGGGUGGAAAUUUCAUUUCAAAGCAUGAUGGAAGGUUUUUGUAUUUUUUUUUUCAAAGAACUGACAUAACUAAAGUUGAUCUCAAAAGCAAAUCCAAAAAUUUAUUAAAAUCAAAUCUGAGAUUUAAAGGAGGAAAAAAAAUAACAAAGAAAAAAAAACUCAUAUUUGGUAAAAGUACAUAAUAUAACCAUUACUUAUGAAUUUAUGAACCUCCAAGCUAGUUUAAUAGGUUCUAUCUUAUCUAUACACCUUUCUCCACGGAUUAUUAGGUAUCAAUCAAUUCUGUUAGUAGCAUGUUACCAUUUCUACUUCAAGUCAUAUUUAUGUCUGGACAUCUAUGGAUAGACCUUCUACCAAUGCAAAGCAAGUGGCAUAGCAAAAUUUCUUAGUCAUUGUAUGACAAAUCUUAUCAUCUUUUUUCAACUCUAAUUAUGACAAUGAAUGACAUCCAACACUCAGUUUCUCAAAACUUGACUAGUUCCUAUGGGGCCAACGAGGAAAUAAAUUGAUUCAUGCAUCAUUUUACAUAAGGGACUACAACUUGGAACCAUGAGAGAUCAUUUUUUCUUUUUUUCUUUUUGUAAUUAUAUAUCUUUCUUGAUGCAUCCACCUUCAAACUUUCAAAUAAUUCUCUUUUUUGUGAGCUUCAAUUGGAAUUUUGUCUUUGUGGAAUUUGCUACUACAUUCCUAAUGAAACCUAAGUUGGUAUCUCCUACGUUGUCCAAUUCGAAAAAGGACGCCUUUAUUGACUAACGUAAGGCUCUCCAAAAUCUGAUUUUGAUUUUAUUUAUUUCUUCAUGAAUCAUAUGAUUAGUUCUUCUUAUGAAAUUUCUCUUAAGAAUAAGGAAACUAGUAACUCUCUAAAGCACCUCAUUUCUUAAUAAGAAAAUUAUUGGUAAAAAGGGAAAUUGAUGUUGUGAGCCUCAAUUUCUCAAAUGAGAUUUGUUUAAUUUAUCUUAAAGCUAAAUAAAAUUUAAUUUGACUUUGGUUUAAAUAGAACUUUAUUUUUUAUUUUAUUUUAUUAUAUUUUAAGACUUUAAGUUUAAAGAUAAGAAUGACCUUAAAACAAAAAACGAGCCUAAAUAGAAGCAUAUUAUAUAAAGAUCACAUUAAUCAUGAACCAUUGAUUAAAACAUUAGCUAACUACAUAUUAAAAAAGAAUAACAGAAAAGAAAAUGAUUUUUUUCUUCACUAUAAUUAUGAGAUGAUUGUGAAAUUUACAUGUAAUUAGGUGAAUAAUAGCACAACUUGUUCUUGGUAGGUGAAACAUUAAUGAUCGUUGUGCAUAGGUUAUCAGCUUUAAAAUUUCAUUGAAAUUAUUUACUUGGAAAGGGGGUGGUACCACAACUAAACAUAACAAAACUAUUUAUUUAGAAGGGCGGAAGGAAAAACUUUAUGGAGAGAAAACCAAUCUAUGAAAACAAUCAAUCGAGAGAUCUGGAUUUAGAUUUUGCUUUAAUUACUAUCUUAACUAGUUAGAGGUUUGAGUGAAAGUUACCACUUAUAAUCACAAACAAAUGAUGUACUAUAUUUUCAUCCAUGUUGAUUGUGAAAUAGGAUAUAUGAUAACCAUAAAAUUAUGAAAAAUUUUAUUUUACCAAAAUAUAUUUUCUAUUGUAAAUUAUUGAAAAAGUGGUGUAUAUAUAAUUAAAAUAACAAGUAAUUUUAUAUUGUAAAUUAGAUUAUAGAAAAAAAAAAUUGAACAAAAAUUGAAAUUUGUAAGUUUUUGCUUAUAUAUUUUUAUUAUAAAUAUUUUUCUACUAAAAAAUAAAGUUUAUAGUAGAAAGUCAAAUAUUAUAUAAUAAUUAUUCUUACGAUAGUUUAAAAAAUGAAAUGUAAAUUCAUGAUUGAAAGUGAUAUUUUGCCACAAAUAAUUUUGAGGUAAAAAGUGGAGUUCAUGGCACAAUGUUAUAUACUAUGCAAAAAUUAUUCUCACCAUGUUUUUUACAAUAAAAAGUAACUUCUUAGCGAUAUGUAAUAUUUUCAAAAGAAUUUUGGGAAGUAUAUUUUAGGAAGGCAUCAACAAAGACACAUUAAACAUUGUGGCGCAGUUAAUGUAUGUAACAAGAGUAUAAACAAAGGUAGAAAAGUUUGAUUAAUUCUUUUGGUAAUUUCUUAUUUCACAUAGCAAGUAGGCAUUGAAAAAUUUUCCACAAAAUUUAUGAGGGAGGAAUAAUGUCCAAAAUGUGUCAAUCAAAUAGACUAAACACUAUGUAUAUAUAUAUAUAUAUAUAUAUACACACACACAAACACACACAUAUAUAUUGUUUUCCAUAAGAAAAUGGGUGCCAUUAUUUUUAAAAGAAUUAUUGAGAAGGACCUUUUGGGAAGGUGUUAAUAUAGAAAGAUUAAAAAUUGUGGGAUAGUUGAUGUAUCUUACAAGGAUUGAAAUGAUGGUGGAAAAGCUUGACUGAUGGUUAGAUGGUUUCUUAUUUUCCAUGGAAAAACUGGCUUUGAAAUUUCCCCACAAAAUUUAUGAGGGACGAAUAAUGUCCAAAAUCUGCUAAUCAAAUGGACUAAACAUGGUGGAGAUAACCAAUAUAUAUAUGUCAUCAUUUUCAAAAGGAUUAUUAAGAAGGACCCAACAAAUUCUAGGAUACCAACAAAUUCUUAACUAAAUUCGUAUAGAUCAAGCUUGACUAAUUCUAUAAUGGUUCUUCUUUUCCAUGAAAAGUGGGAGUUAUUGUUUUAAAAACAAUUAAUGGGAAGGCCAUAAAAAAUAUCAAAGAUAUAGAAGGCAAUUUUAAAGUAUAGUUAAGGAACAAAGAGAUUUACUAAUUUAUUUUAUUAUGUUCUUCAAUUGUACUAUGCAUAGAAGAAUAAAUACAUGGAAAAAUAUAUAUAGAACACUAAUUCUACUAUUUUUCUACUUUUAUUUUUUUUUCAUGGUAUCAAAGUCAUUUGACUGAUAUCCUCUAUAAUUUUUUAACAACAUAUUUAAGUUUCUUUUCUUCCACUCUCUCCUUUUCAAUUAAUAGUGUUUCUCAUCCCAUUUUUAUUGAGUUAGAUAUGAAGGAUAAGGUUUCCUUGAAGCAUUCAUGUAUCCAAAUACAUUCCUUGACAUGAUAUAAUAUGAUGCUUUAGGCGAGCCACGUCAUAUGACUUUCUUGAUACUUAAAAAGCGUCAUUGUUUCCUUUUUCCUUAUAGUGGUUUCUACAAGUUCUUCGUAGAUGUGACUUAUUAGCUAUUGUUUAUGAAUUGAAACAUACCCAUCUAAGCUCAUCCAAGACUAUAAGGGAGAAAAAAAUAACAUAACCACAAUUUAUAACUCAAAUAAGUAGGAUUAUAGUACAUUCUUUGUUAUCUUAAGAACACUGUAUAUGAAAUUUAUUUCUUCCUAAAGAUAUCAUGUAGUUGUGGUUUAAUUGAGAUGAACUUUAUUCUUCCUAAGAGGCUUAGGGUGCGUUUAAUAGUGUUUUACUCAAAGUGAUUUCUCUAGAAGUGUUUUUAUGAGAAUCACCCAUCAAUUGCUUCUCCAGAAAACACUAAAAAUGAUUUUUUAGAUUUUUAAAAAAUUUUCAUAAAUUUUUUCAAACAUUUGUUUUUUCUAAAAACACUUUUUACACUGAAAACAUUUCCUAUAAUUAAUUACUACCAAAUGAAUUCUUAGUGUUGUUUUAUAGUAUAUGCUAUGACUGAAUUAUAUUGGAUAUAUUGGAAUGCUACAAAACGAUCUAUGUAUAUGUUCUUAUCCUCUUCUAUUUUUACCUUAUCCCAAAUGCAGCGCAUUAAUAAUAUUGAUUACCAUUUAUUGAGAAGAGGUUCUGUAUGCUGACAUUUCUGCAAAAUGCAUAUCAGCUGUUGAUCAAGUGGCCUAUAUUUUUAUGAAAUGCCUUACUUUCUAUCUGCAUGUUUACUUGAGGAGGUUCUUCAGGAAGAAGUAGCAGACUGAAUACAUGAUCCUAAGUCAAGAGGGUUCAAUGAAACAAUCCCAAAUUCCUUACUUUCUAUCCAUUUACUUGAGAAGGCUCUCAAGGAAGAAGUACCAGACUGAAUACAUGACCCUAAUUAAGUUAAAGGGUCGGGUUAAAUUAAACAAUCCCAAUGACAUAACAUCUGACUUAUCAACUCUACGAAUGGAUCAACAAGUCUAUAGAGACUAAUUUAUGUCAAAAUACGAACAAAUAAAAUGAAAUUAUGUCAAAAUUUCCAUUACCAUAUCAGGGUGCAAAGGAAUAUGGCAUGGGCUAAUAUCCUCUAUCGUAAUUUCUCCUUUCAAAAUGAUAUGGAAUAUUGUGUAGUACGUACCUUUUGUUGGCUUCUUUAUGCACUUGAUUUCAGGUUCCGUGUCAUUACUCAUCUCCAGCCCGCCUUUCCCACCUUCUGCUUUGCAAUUUCCACACAAAGGUUUUGACCAGUUCAUAGAAAAUCUAGAUUCCCCAUAUGCUAUAUUUAAUGGGAGUGAAGCGUCGGAAAUCUAGCAAGCAAAAUAAAUUUAUAAAUAAAUUAAAAUAGACAUUAUUCCUCAUGCAUAUGUUUGGAAUACAAUGCAUGGUAUUAUCGGCAUAAUUCAUAUAGUAUUAUGGCCUUAUCACAUCUAGGGCAUUGCACAUUUAUGAAGAUAAAAGAAAUGAAGUCCUCUAAAUGUAAGGACCAACUUUCUUUUAGUGCCAAGAAAAAUUAGAAAAGUUGUCUUGGUGGUUUUAUUUGUAAAGUCAUAUUCAAUAAAUAAAGCAUCAAAAUCGACCAACAUUUGUGUUGCUAAGAGGAUUUGAACCUGGGACAAAAGACUCAAAUUAAAUCUAUAGCAACCACUAGAGCAUGGUACCCCUUAUUAGAAAAUAUGCACCAAUAUAUAUAUAGGAAUACUAAAGAUUAUUUUAUUAAAUAAAUUAAUUUUAAUUAUUUUAUUUUUGCAUUUGAUAUAAUUUAUUGCCAAAAAUAUAAAAACAUAAUUUUCUAUCUAUUUUAUAUAAUCUAUAUAUUUAUUAAAAAUAAAAACUAUGAAUAUUAAAAAAAAAUUAUACAUAUUUUAGUAUUAAUUUGAUAUCAUUGAAUACAUUUAAAUUAAAAUGGAUCAUAUUUUUAAUAUUAAAUAUAUUUUAAAAUUAAACAUGCUAUCAUAAUAUUGUUCUAAAAUAAUACAUAAUGAAACUUAAUAAUAAAUGUACACUUAUAAAAUUUAUAUAUAUAUAUAUAUAUAUAUUUAAAAAUAACUUUAAAAUGUUACUCCUUAUAUCAUUUUUUUUUAGUUUUUUUUCUGAUAUUUUUAAAAUUUUCAUUAAUUUUUAUGUCAUCGAUAUUUUGUGUCAAAAUAUCUUUUGAUAUAUCUCCGAUAUGUUCACAAAAUCAAAAUACCGAUAUACCAUAAUUAUUGAUAUUUUUAUCUUUGUGUGCAAUGAAUUACAAAAAUUAUUAGAGUGUGAGAGUUGUAGGAGACCAUUUUAAAAUUUUGAAUAUUUAUUUGCUCCUACAAUUUUAUGCUUAUAAUUAAUUAUAAUAAUAGACAUACCAUGGAAAGGUUUAAGCUCUCAAAUUGUUGCAUCUUUGUUAAUUCUCUCUCUAUUAAAAUGCAACUUUUAAUUUGAGAGACUGAUUUAAAGUGUGAAGAGUGAGAUUAGAGUCCUAAUUAAAUUUCAACGAGUAGAAAUCUAAGAAUGGAGAAACCAAAGCAUCCAUUAAUCUAAAGAACCAUACAUGGAAUGGUGCAAUCCAAUGUCCAAGAAUGUUAUUGAAUUGUAACAUUUGGAGGGGGCAAGGAUAUUUCUCUAACAAAAACUAUAAGUAAUUACUUACAAAAAAAUUGUUGUAAUUGGCACUAUUGAUCCUUGAAAGCCCAUAUUACUACUGGCAACAAAUUCAUAACAAAAUAGCUUACUUGAACAUCUACAACCCCAAUAAUUAUUUUUGUAGAAUACCUGGAAAAAAAAAAAAUAGAACUUAAAAGGAAAUGAAGGAUUUUCUUUGAUAAUUUUAAGGGCAAGCAAGAAGACUUUUCAAAUUACAUCUAAAAUGAUAUUUUAUUACUUGUACAUAGCCUCACUUACAAGGAACCAAACUAUUGUUUGAAGAAGAAACUUUAUCUUAUUACAUAGACCGAUCUCAUAGAAACCUUACACAUAAGACACAAUCACACAUUAUUAUUGGAUCACAAAAUAAGUAAUUAGAUGGUGUAGUACUACCUUCCAUUUAAGGUAAUUGUACCCAUGGAAUUGGAUGAUGAAGUUGAUGCCUCUACCAUGAAUUGCUCAUGAUUAUCAAUAGACCAUAGAGUUGGCUUAGGAGGCAUUUUCAAGAGUUCAACCUCUCCUUCAAGCAUCUCCAACGCUUGGCUCAUUGAAGGACGAUCUACAGGCUUCAUUUGUAUACACCAUAGUGCAACUAUCACCAUUUUCCUUACAUACCUUUUUUCAUCCUCAGUGGCAUCUCCCAUUUCCAUGUCCUCUUCUUGAUCAUAAUUGUUAUAAAUCCACGAUGUGAAAUACAUUUGACUUGAAUGUUCUGCAAAUGUGUUAACAUUUUUCCUUUUCCCUACCAUUUCCAAUAACAACAUUCCAAAACUAUAAACAUCAGCCUUAAAUGAUACACCUCCAAUGUUUUUGUAGAACAAUUCAGGAGCAAUGUAGCCCAAGGUUCCUCUAGCAGCAGUGAUGGAUACGAUACUAUCAUUUGUUGAAUAUAAUUUUGCAAGACCAAAAUCUGAAACUUUUGGUGUGAAGUCUUCAUCAAGAAGAAUGUUGUGUGGCUUGAUAUCAAAAUGGAGAAUUUGCAUGUCACAUCCCUGAUGUAAGUAUUCAAUCCCACGUCCCACUCCAAGUGCAAUCUUGUAUAAUCUUUCCCAAUUCAAGGGAAUGUUGUUUCCUUGGUCAAGAAAAACAAACUUAUCAAGAGACCCAUUGGACAUGAAGUCAUAUACAAGAGCCCAUUUUGAUCUCUGUAUACAAAAUCCAACAAGUCUCACAACAUUAACAUGAUGAAUCCUUCCAAUUGUAGCAACUUCAUUGAUGAAAUCUUGCCCAUUAGCUUUUGACAUAACUAACAUUUUUACAGCUACAAUGCGACCACUUUGGAGUUUUCCUUUGUACACAGAGCCAAAACCUCCUUGACCUAAUUUAUUCUUAAAAUUAUGAGUCAUCUUUUUUAGCUCCGAAUAUGAGUAUUUGAUUGGCUGAAGAUUUUUAUGGCUAUGUAGAAAUUCUUCAAUACCAUCAUCCAAUGAUAAGUGUCUUCGUCGAAACUUGUAGAUUAAAUAGACAAGCAAACACAAAAUACCAGGUAUGGCCCUCCCGAUGAUGAUCAUGCCUAUAAAUCACGUGUUAAAAAUAUCAAUAAAAAAAAUAAAAAUUAGAGGAAGGUGUAUCAUCAUCUACAUUCAAUUAUCAAAUCCAAAUAAGAUUGUUUAAAAAGUCAUUUCACCCAUAUAAUUGCUUAUUGGUUGACUCAAUAGAAAGAUGUUUUUAGGUUUCCAAUCAAUAUUGUAUGGAAUGAAAGAGAAAAUUUGUUUAGUUGCUUAAAAUUGGGAAAUGGAAUUGGAUGCCCAAUUGUCAAUUUGGUUGUACUCUAAAUAAAUUUAAAAUUCAAUACAUAACAAAUUUGCAAAAAUAUAUAAUUUCAUUUGAAAUUAAAAUUCUGAAUUUCAUAAAAAUGGAAUUCCAAUUUAUAUUUGUACAACCAAAUAUAGAACAACAAAACUAGGCACCUUUACACAAUCUUCUUUGAAAAAACUUCUAAAAGACUAAGGCAAAAUGAGUUCUAAAAAAAAAACAUAGUAUCGUUUGCAGCAAUCUAUUUAUUGAGAUUUGAAAGACUUACCUAUGUAUCUUAUUAUCCAACCUGCAAAAAUAAAAUUAAAAAAAUGAUUAAAUUAAAAAACAAAAGAUUUGCAUAUAUUACAUAUUAAAGAUGAGCAAUAGACCAGUAUAAGACAGUUAUUUUUAUUAUUAUUUAUUGAUUGAAAAGCAAGAGAGAUGGAUAUACAAGAAAAAUUAUUACGAUUAUUAUAGCUAUUUAAAAAUCAUCUAUACUAUUAUUAAGUGCGCAUAUAAAUUAUGUGUAUUAUUAAUUAUCAAGUUGACUAAGAGAUUUUCUCCUUCAUCUAAACAUUUAUUAUACUAACAGUUAAUAAUAAAAAUAAAGUAGCAGUUUACUUACUUGGAUUAUCAUCAAUAAAUAAAAUAAAUUAUUCAAUCACUACAUAAAUGAGAAUCUCAAUUAUAUAUAUAUAACACAUGGGAUUAUUAUUAUUAUUAUUAUUAUCCAAUUUAUGAAAAUCAUAUGAUAAUAGAAACUCUAGAAACCUUACCAAGGUAAAGUGCAGUUUCAUAGUGGUAGUAGUAGUUGUAUCUUUCUCUUACAUCUGCAUGAUGAAAUCAAGUAAUUAAAUUAUGUUAGUGGUAAAAGUUGAAGAAUCUUAUGCAUUUUGUUUUCAAAUCCUGCAUAUUGACCAAUUAGAUAAUGAUAAUUUAUCUUGAAAAAGGAAGAAAAUAAAAUGGAGAACCCACAAUGGUAAUCACCAACUAACUAAACCGCAUAAUUUCACCCACUUGGCUCUCCCUUUUUUUUUUAUUUAACUAAAAAGUGAUUAAUCCUCUGUCUUUUUGAAAAAAAUGUCAUGACAACAAUUCUACUUUUAACAACACUCCUUUAUUUAUUUCCAAAUUGGAAAAUCCAGUUUAAUGGCAUGCUUUAUUCAAAUUCAAUUUUACACUAUCAAAGCAAUGCUUCAUUCAAACAAUUGUUAAGUAGGCCUUACCGUUGCUUGAAAAGGUGCUCCGAUCUGUUAAUUAAUAAACAAAAAAAACACAAAUUAAAUUUAACAUGAAAAAGAUAUAGGACAAUAAAAGAUAAAUUUAUCAAGAAAUAAAACAUAAAAGAUAAAAACUUGACUCCCGGAGUCUCACCCCUUAAAGAUUCCAAAUAUUCAGAGAACCUAUACCCAAAAGAGUACCCUGCAAUAUUAAGCCAAUUAAGCCUUUUUGUAGGAAGCAAAACAAUUAAAUAAAAUAAAAUAAAAAACAUUUUUCAUACUCAUACAUUUUACGGUAUUUUUGGUCCAAUCUAGAUCGCAGUAUGGCCCUUUCAUAUGGCAUUCGCUUUUGCAACGGAAGGGCAAGAAUGAAAUAUCAAGCCCCUGAAGAAGUAUUUCUUGCAAAUCUGACCUUGAAAGAUUGCCGGGCUUCAAGAAUUGAGUAAUAAUAGUCCUGCUAAUGGUGCAUGAAUACUUAAUAUCAUUCACCAGCAGGGAGUCUCCUCCGCCGACUAGUGCAUAAACAUAUGCUUGUGAGGAAGAUGAAGUCACAUUGCUUCUGUUGCAAGGAGUGAUAGGAAUAUAGUUGCCAUCACUUAUUGGCUGCUCGCAGUUCAUCAAAACCGUGGUAUUGGUCGCUUCAUGCGGAUUCAAAAAAUAUGCUCUCUUAUCCGAACGGAAUAUUUCUCUUGUCAAGGAAUACAGAGGAGCGGAGAAACAGUUGCCCUUUUCCACCCCUGGAUCCACUACCCGAAUGGUGUAGUUAACGUAGUUGAUAUCGGCAACAUAGUAUUUCCCAUGCUCCAGGUUUACCACAGUACGAUUGUUUUCGCAGACCAAUUCAUAGUCAGGAUCACCACACCCAGACGGAUCACCUUUCAAUCGGAAAGGGUUGCUGAUUUUUUUAAUAUCUCCACAAGAAGAAGGCCUGCAUGUCUGGUUUCCAUUAGCAGCACAAAUUGCAAGCAAGAAAGUGUGGAAGACUGUUAAUGCCACAACUUUUGUUUCUCUGAGCAUCAUGACAUUUGAGAGAGAUACUGAGUUGGAAUUCUUCUGCUUUUAUGUUGAAUUUAAGAGAAAGGAGACUUAUUGACCGUCAUAAUCAAGUGCUUUGAUUUUUCUGUAUGUGGAUAACUGCACAUUGAAGUAACGGAUAGCCACCCCUUGUUCAUGAUAAGGUUCACUCUACUGCUUUGCAAGUUGCAUUUUGACACCUUCAAGCAUUGCCUGUUCAACAGGGAAAGACCUCUAAAUAUGUCCACAUAUUGAAAACCAAGAAUCACUAUAUUUGAUAUAGUAAUAUUUGAAGUUAAUUUCAAAAAAUAAAAAAUAAAAAGGAUCUUAUAGCUGAAUUAGCAACUUUCCUCGAAGCUUAAAUGGACCAUAAUGUAUACCAAAUUAACUUUAUAUAAAUAUAUGAAUAAUGAAUUAUGCAUUGUAUCAUGUUAAGUUACCACUUCUCUAAAAAUUUGAACCUUCUAUAAGUUUUAGAUACACAAUAUAUACCAAGUUAGAUAAAAUUUUCUUUAUAGAAAUGACUUCGCAUUUGAUAUUAAUCAUAAUUAUUAGAAUAAUCUUUUGUAGUUUUUUAUUAUUUGUAUUUUAAGUUGUAUUUCUCAUCAAAUUCCUACAUCAUAUCAAAAUUUGAUUUUUUUGAAAACAUACAAAAAGAAAUUAAGCAAGACAGUACAUUUAGAUUGAAAUUAUAAUAAAUGAAAUAUUAUUAAAUUUUAGAAUAGGUUCUAUGCUUAGGUAAAAAUGUUUUUAUAUUUUUUUGUUGGUCUUGACCAUUAUGACAUUUGAGAAAGAUACUAAUUUGGAAUUCUUCCAUUUUAAUUUAUGUUGAAUUUAAGAGAAAUGAGUUGCAAUUAUUCAGCCAACUGGCUAAACCACCUUUUGGUCCCCAUUUUGGUGCAAUUUGAAAUAAGGGUAAAGCAUACCAACCUUUGGUUCAUGAUCAGAUUCACUGAAUUCCUUUGCAAGUCAUGUCUGACAACUUCAGUCAUUAAAGACUUUUGGCUGAGAACAACGGGAGACCUCUAAAUAUGGCAACAUAAUGAAAAUUAAAUAUCAUGAUGUAUAACCAAAAUUAAUUAGAAGUUUUAAUCAAUGUCAUCCAACAAUCUUUAGUUAUUACAGGUUUGUUAUUUGAAAAUUCAAAAUCUUGACUCUAAAUGUGUGGAUACAAGUGAAGAUGGCAAGUAGGAAUGGAGUUUCCAAAUCUUCUAUCACUUGAAAAGUUCAAAUCUUGAUUCUAAAUGCAUGAAUAAAAAAGUCUAGGUGAUGGCAAAGUUAUUAUCUUCCUAGAUCCUCUAUCCAUUGAGAAGUAAAAAUCAAUUACAUAUCAUAUAGAAAAUUAUAUGUACAAAUUAAAUGGAAUACUUAAAUUUGAAAGAGAGAAGAUGAUUGACUGAAAAUGUAACACCACAGUAAUUCUCCUUCCUAGAAUUCUUCUCUAUAAAUUUUCAGGCUAAUCUCCUCUCAAUAUUUGUAUCCCCCUUUCCACUUUCUUUCCUAUCCCUGAGAUUUCUGUUCUUGGCAAAAGUCACAACUUCCUUCCAUAAAAAUGGAUCGAUCUCUCUCUUUAUUUUUGUUCUCGUUUCUGACCUUGUUUGUGGAGAUGAGAGGGGGCCGAGGUGAGUGCCCGACAUCAAAUCGUUGUGGCGACCAGGGUCCACUCAUCCAGUUCCCUUUCCGUCUAAAAAGCCAGCCACACCACUGUGGAUACCCGGGAUUUGUUUUAUCUUGCACUGAGAAUAAUCAGAUCAUGCUGGAGCUGCCAGAUUCGGUAAAGCUCUUGGUGAAGAAUAUAAUCUACAAAUCCAGGGAAAUCAUUGUCCAGAACCCGGAUAAUUGCCUUGAGAGACAGCUUCGAAACCUUAGUUUAGCUUCGUCCCCCUUCCAGUUCAAAUUUGAGGGGGACGUCACCUUCUUCAAUUGUUCCUUACUUAAAACGGCAGAAUCAUUUGCUGCUCACUUCAUCCCUUGCCUUUCUAUCCCUGGUAACCCAGUUUAUGCCGUUGACUCCUUCUAUCCUCUCCAAAAUAUGGACCUAUCGUCUUGCCGCAGGCUUUACAACGCUUCAGUUGGAUAUCAUGUCUUUACGGAUUAUACAUUCAAUGGAAGUGCGUUUUCUUUGAAGUGGCCGAAAUCAAUAUGUGGAAGCUGCCUACGAGGAGGACACAUAUGCAGACUGAAAAAGAGUAAUAGCAGGGAACCAGAAACUGAAUGUAUUAAAGGUACUUUAUGUAUCUCAAUUCCCUAUUCAUCUUCUUUUCAUCUUUCAUUCCCGCCUCAUAUCCUCUACAAUGAUCUAAUAAACAAAUACUCCAUUUUGGAAUUAAAAAGCCAUUGCAAAGGAUAUGAGCUGAUAAAUUCUACUGAUCGAGUUUCUAAGCUAUGGAAAGUAGAACUAAAAUCUUGGAUGGAAUUUACUUUUUAUUGGGAUUCUGAAAGUCUGAAAGAUAAAAAAUAAAAAAGAAAAAAAGAAAAAAAGAUCAAUUUGAUUACAACCAAUCAAAGUACUAUAUGUUUACUUACUAUUUACAUGAGGAUUUUUUUUAAGUUCUAAUCAUUUUGCCUCUUUCACCGAAAUAUUUUGUCUAUAUUAGGUCAUAAAUUGAAAUAAUAAUUAAUUAAUGAAAAUAAUUUUAUACAUUUUUAAACUAUUGUCUUUAUGCAAAAAUGGUAACAAGAGUAAAGAAAUUAUCAACCAUGAAUUUUUGGGCUAAAGUUUUAUAUUGUUUCUUUUCUUUCUUCAAAUUUUUAGAGCCCUGAAAAGUUAUAAGGAAAUAAUUGGACAAAGAGCUAAAUGUUUAUUUUGGAGUUAAUUUUUUGAAAAAUUAAAGAAAUAUAACAACAAUGUUAAAAGUUCUUUUGUAAUGGAUUCUUUUCUAACUACUUAUGACAAGUACUUUUUUUUUUUUUUUGUUUCUCCAUACUUUUCCAACAAUGUGAAUGUAAAAAUGCAAAGUAAUAUAAUUGAUAUUCAACUAUUCAUUUUGGAUUUUGGAGAUGUUUAAGGAACUAAAAGAAAAUUACUAAAGAUUGUUUAAAAUAGAUUAUUUUCUCAUUUAUUGUUUCAUAUCCAAGUAGAGAAUACUAACCUCCUUGGUAAUCCAUCUUUGUUGCAACUCCCAAUAAUGACAAUUGUGUAAAAAUUUUCAUAAAUAUCAUUUUCCUAAUUUUAAUGGGUAUCCACAUGCAUGGAUACCUUUGCCCUCUUAUCUAACAUGAGAAGUUAUAUGUUAAUGGUCAAUCAAAUUGCCAAGUGUCAUAGAAUUCACCAAUUGGAAUCUCACUAUAUAUAAUGUCAUAGGAUAAGAGUAGAGAUUUGUUUGAGAUAGAGUUUUAUUUUUAUUUUAGUUUUUUUUAUAAAAUAAGGUGAAUUAGUGUUGAGGGCUUCAUUACGACAGUAAGUUAUUAUGAAACAGAAUAGUUUAACUAAGAUACAUAAUAGAUAUUAGAAGGGUAAGUUUUAAUCUCCACUACAAGUUAGAAUGGAGUUACCAGUAGAAUUGGUACUCAACAUGUAGACUAUAAGAAAGAGACCCAAAAGAUAGGGUUGAAGCCUAGAAUAAAAUUAAAUUAAAAUCAUAUCAUAUGCAUGUAAUUUAGCAUGAUUUUGUUAAUUCCAAGAGCACAACAAGAUAAUUAUUAUUAUUUUUUAAAUAUUUUACAGGUGUAUCAAAGCAAGCAAUGGUAACAGGUAAUAUUUUAUUUAUGCAUUUUUAUUAUAGAAAUAAGGAUUCUUAACUUGGUUAUUCUAUCUAUUUAUUUAAAUAAAAAAAGUUUAAGUUUUCUUCUUUUUAUGUUUGUAGGCACAAUCUUUGGUUUCUUUCUACUUGUGUUAGUAAUUGCUAUGUUUUAUCGUCUCUAUAGCUCAGAUAAAUUAGAAAGAGAGAAUGGAAUAAAGGUUAAAAGGUUUCUGGAAGACUAUGAAGCUCUCAAGCCCUCAAGAUACUCCUAUGUUGAUAUUAAAAGGAUUACAAAUCAAUUCAAAGAUAAAUUAGGCCAAGGAGGUUAUGGAACAGUGUACAAGGGAAAGCUUUCACAUGAAGUUUUUGUUGCAGUAAAAAUCCUUAAUAAUUCUCAAGGAAAUGGAGAAGAGUUCAUUAAUGAAGUGGCAACGAUGGGUACAAUCCACCAUGUUAAUAUAGUUCGCUUAGUCGGAUUUUGUGCUGAUGGAUUUAAACGAGCUCUAAUUUAUGAGUACUUACCAAAUGAGUCAUUAGAGAAGUUCAUAUUUUCAAGAGAUGUUAAGAACUAUUCACUCAGUUGGAAGAAACUUCAAGAAAUUGCUAUAGGUAUAGCGAAAGGAAUUGAGUAUCUUCAUCAAGGUUGUGAUCAAAGAAUCAUCCAUUUUGAUAUCAAAUCUCAUAAUAUUUUACUUGAUCACAACUUUAAUCCAAAGAUUUCUGACUUUGGUUUAGCCAAAUUGUGCUCCAAGGAACAAAGUGCGGUCUCUAUGACCGUUGCAAGGGGAACAAUAGGCUACAUUGCUCCAGAAGUGUUGUCUAGGAAUUUUGGGAAUGUGUCUUAUAAGUCAGAUGUUUAUAGUUUUGGAAUGUUGUUACUUGAAAUGGUUGGAGGGAGGAAGAACAUUGAUGUUAGUGUGGAGAGUACUAGCCAAGUAUACUUCCCAGAAUGGAUUUAUAAUCAUUUGGAUAUAGGGGAAGAAUUGUAUAUUCGGAUUGAAGAAAAAGGAGAUGUUGAGAUUGCAAAGAAAUUAGCAAUUGUGGGACUCUCAUGUAUUCAAUGGUUUCCAAUGGAUCGUCCUUCCAUGAAAAUUGUGGUUCAAAUGUUGGAAGGAAGAGGCAAGUUAACCAUGCCUCCUAAUCCUUUUGCUUCAACAACUCCAACAAAGACAAACUUGGGCAAACCAGGAAGUGUUUUUCAACAAGAGUUAGCAAUCAUUUCAGAAAUAGAGUAAAAUAAUUGCAUCAAAUUAUUAUGAAUGUGUAAUUUUAUAAAAAUUCAUAUUGUAGUUGUUCAUCAUCGUAGCAUUUCUAUUUAUAUUUCUGUUAAUUGAACAAAUGAUUGUACACAAUGAUUAUACCAGUGGCUCAAUUGAUGUUAGAUUCUAGAAGUUCUUGUUCCCAUGUAAUGUAUUUAUCAUGUAUGAUAUUUUAAUGAAUAUGUCCAAGAAUAUUCUCACAAUCCAAAUUAUAGUUUAGCUACACACAACUCUAGAGAUCACCUUUCAAUCAAGAAUAACUAAUGUCCAUCACAUUCAAGAUAGAUAGUAUUGCACGAAAUAGCAAUAGAAUAGAUCUAGGAAACUUGAAAAUAAGUCUCAUCCACUAUGUCUAUAUGGAGUUUCUUUUGCUUUUUUUUUUUUUUUUCCUUUUUGCCUUUAUCACUUUUUUAUUGGAUUGAGAAGUAAGACGAAUAAGUUAUGUAAUGACUAAAUAAAGUUGCUCCUUGAGCUAGAUUAUAUUACCCAAUAACUUGAUAAAGUAUAUAAUCUUUUGCUUUGCACUAAGAAGCAAGAGUUUUCAAACAAAAAUUUGGCCUUUAAUUUAUGACUGCAAUUUAAAAAAAUUAAGCUUAAUUCUCUACCAUCAUUUCCGUACAAAGCAAGUGGCUUUACCUUUAGAAAGGUCUCAUAUGGAUGCAUUAUCAAAGACAAAGUUCAUUAAUAUUGAAAUUUGGGGAUGAUUGAUCAUCUCCUUACCUCUAUCACAGUUCUAAUGCUAAUGGAAUAUCCUCAAAAGGCAAAGGAUCAACCUCUUUUUAAUGCUAAGAAAAUUUAUUUAGUGGCUAUUUAAAAUGAGAUAUUUAACCAAUACAAAUUACCAAUGGAUCAUAUGUACGGUAGACCAUGAAAUUAACCAAUGAGAAAAAAGGAAAAAAAAAAAGGACUCAAUAGAUUAUGUAAUAAUAAUAAUAAUAAUAAUGGACUCAAACUCUCUCAAUAUAUGGUAUAUAUUGUUUAACCUAAACAAUAAAAAGUCCAGUGGCUUAGGACGUUGAUGCAAACAAGCUUGUCUUAGCCGAGGGGUUUGAGGGUUCCUCCAUGUGUUUAAGAUCAACUGCAUUUAGGGCAAAACAUCAAAUCAAUGGAACAAUCUACUCUAUCUGAUUGGGCCAAGCCCAAUGGAAGGUCCAUAGGCGGAGCUUGGAUCAUGUGCUACUCAGGCUGGGUUGGGCUUGAUACGGGGUUUGAUUCCAACUUUCUAUUAGUAUACAGGACAUAAUUUGACCAUGAAAGCCCAAUAAGAUAUUUAUUUUCCUUGUUUUGUGCUUUUAUAUUUUUUAUAAAUGUUUAUAGUAAUUAAUUAUACUAUAAUCAUAUCAACCAUUAUAACUAUUUUUGUUUUUAAAUUUUUUGUCCCACUAUUUCAGUAUUUCUAAUUUUAUUUGAUAAAUUAAUUCUUCUUUAUCAUCUAUAAAAUCUUUACUUAAACUUAUUUCAUUAUAAGUUUAUUUAUCUAUUUUUCUUCUUGUUUAUUUUUAAAACUUUCAUGUCCUUAUUUAUAUUUUUCAUAAAUAUAAUUGUAAUUUAAACAAAAAAAAAAAAAAAACUUAGAGAUAUACCAAACAAAACAUACACUUCUUCAAUGGAAAAGUGACACAAAAUUAAAAUAUAAAUUCUAAAGAAUUAGACUAAAUUAAAAUAAAUUUAGAAAAAUUUAAUUGAUACCAAUGACUAAUAGUUAAACCACUUAGAUAAUUUUUUGAUAAAUUUUAUUUUUAUAAUAUAAAAAUUAUUUAUAUAAUAAUGAAAAAAACUUUGGAACGUUUUCUUAGUUCUUUUAGAAAAUUUUUUAUUGAAAAUUAUUAAGGUAAUAAUGAAAACUAUAAAUUAUCAUUCUUUCUUUUUCUUCUUUACCCUACUGCAAGUUGCUACCUCCAUAUCCAGUUAGUCAAUUCUUUUGAAGGUUUUUCUUUGCAUUUGAUAGACUUUAAAUUCUUUUGCAACGAGCAAUGUGGAAUGGGCAAGAUGUAGGAAGAGGUCAUGACCUUCUCAACUAAGCUUCAUCUUUAUGGAAGAGUAGGUCAUUUCCAGAAAGGGAGAAGGAAAUUUUUUUGGUUUUGUCUUUCUUGACUGACCACAAAUGCCACCAAAUUGAAAAAUGAAGUACUAUCUUUGAUGAUGGGUCAUAUUGAGGCCUUUUUAAAAUGUAAAGCUUUGUAGGAAAAGGAUAGUGGGGAAUUAAGUUAAAUUUAUCAAAAAUUAUAUUCAAAGCUUAAAUCCUGAUCUUCCUAUGAUCAAAUAAUGUUUAAGGAAAACAAUUUUUUUAUAUUUGAUUUCAUUAUUAAAAAAAAUAUAAAGAAAAUCAAAUAUAAUUAAAAUUAAUUUAAAAAUUAUUAUAUAAUUUUAAGUUAUUUAAUCAUUAUAUAAAAAAAAUUGUGUAAAAUUAAUUUGACCACAUAAGGUUUAACCAUUUCAUGCUUUUUAUAUAAGGGGAUCCUUUAAGUUGUCUUAUUUCCAUGAAAAGACUAUCAAUUAAGCUAACUAAUCUAAGACUACCUACAAGUGCUCCAAGCUUGAGAAUUUUCAGCACAAAUACAAUUUAAUUAAACCUAGAGCUACGUACUUAUUAAUUGGACCUCCUUGUGAAAUACUUAAAACUCUCACUCCCCAUUUGCUUGCCAAAUUGUAGAAUUGAGGGCUUAAUAAUGGUUCUCUCAAGUCAAAAUAGUUUUAAUUAAAAAUGAAAAGGUCCAACUUACAAAAUGAUUAAAUCAUUAAUUACCCGAAAUGAGGGGAUCAUUUUUUGGGUAAAGAAGAGGUCCAAAGGGCCCCCCUUUCCUUAGCCUAAUCCACUACUCAAAAGGCAUGAAGAUUGAAUCACAAUUAAGAGCAUAAGAAAAUGAGUAUUAAAACCUAAGGUUCCAAUUCAAUAUCGCUUAAACCAAAGCUUAUAAACAAGUUUGUUCGGACACAAUCAAAGAAAAGGAUUUUAGGACAUUAAAAAACAAUUACAAAGUCCCAAAAAAGUAGGCAAAUGAAUGUGGCAACCCAAGCUCCAGCUGCAACAAGGUUUUCUUCCCUCAGGCUCUCCCAAAGGAGCAAUCCAUGAACAAUUGCAAAAUAGCUUUUUAUAGGUUCUCCAAUGAUGACCUAGGUAGUGUACCACAUGGAGACAUAAAAAUAAAAUGAGAGAUCCAAUGGGGUCUUGGGAAAAAUAUUGCAUGUUAGUGCCUCAAGACAAUAUUACAUUAUAUAUUGGACCUUGCAAGAGGAGUUACAGCCCAUGCAUAAAUCUAUGCCAAAUUACAAACAUAUGAUAUCAUAGGAGAGAAUGCAAGUAGGUAAAAUGCUACAUAUCCAUGGAAUUGUAUAAGGAAAUAUGAUGCUUCUAUUGGAUUGUUGAUAUGAUACUCAAUUGACAUUUCUUCAGGGUAUAGAGUAGGCUUAGGAGGCAUUUCUAACAACUCAACCUUUCCUUCCAACAUCUCCAAGGCUUUGCUCAUUGAAGGGCGGUCUAUCGACUUCAUCUGUAUACACCAUAGUGCAACUAUAACCAUUUUCUUUACAAACUUUUUUUCAUCUUCAGAAGCAUCUUCCAAGUCUAUAUUCUCUCCUUGAUCAUAUCGGUCGUAAAUCCAUGAUGGAAAAUAUAUUUGACUUGAGUGCUCUGCAUUUUCAUUCACAUUCUUUCUUCUCCCUACCAUUUCCAAAAAUAACAUUCUAAAACUAUAAAUAUCAGCUUUGUAUGAGACACCUCCAAUGUUUUUAUAGAACAAUUCUAGAGCAAUAUAUCCCAAUGUUCCUCGUAUAACAGUGAGAGAUACUAUACUUUCAUUUGUCGAAUAUAAUUUGACAAGGCCAAAAUUUGAAACUUUUAGUGUAAAGUCUUCAUCAAAAAGGAUAUUGUGUGGCUUGAUAUCAAAAUGUAGAAUUUGCAUGUCACAAUCUUGAUGUAAGUAUUUAAUCCCACGCCCCACUCCAAGUGCAACCUUUCCAAGUUAAAAAAGGUGUUGUUUUCCCCUUUAAGAAAAAUAAACUUAUCAAGAGAGCCAUUGGACAUGUAAUCAUAUAUAAGUGCCCAUUUUGAUCCUUGUACGCAAAAUCCAAUAAGUCUCACUACAUUAACAUGAUGAAUCCUUCCUAUUGUAGCAACUUCAUUGAUGAAAUCAUGUCCAUUAGCUUUUGACAUAAUCAAAAGCCUUUAUAGCUACAAUGUGACCGCUUCGAAGUUUUCCUUUAUAUAUAGAGCCAAAGCCUCCUUGGUCUAAUUUAUUCACAAAGUUAUGAGUCAUCUUCUUUAUAUCUGAAUAUGAGUAUUUGAUAGGUUGGAGAUUUUUGUGACUUCGUAGGAAAUCUUCAAUACUAUCAUCUAAUGAUAGAUGUCUCCUAUGGAACUUGUAAACCAAAUAGGCAAAUAGACACAAUAUCCCGAGUAGAGUUCUUCCUAUAACUAAACACAAAUCAAUUGUCAAAGCAAUAUAUAUUUUCAAAAAAGAAACAAGAUAUCACAAAUAAAGUUAAAUCCAUCAAAUACAAAUGGCAGGAAAAACCAUUCUACCUUCGUACCAAGUAAAACAUGUGGUAGUGUUGUUAGAGGGGCAAGUGAAGUAGCUACUUUAACAAUCACUUAAUGCACCUAAAACGGAUUUUUCACCAAGCUUUUACAGCGUAUUGUUGCUUGGGGAGCAAUUUGAUGGAAUUACUAAUGGGUUGAGUGGCAGAAAAAAAUAAUAUAUUGUUGAAUGCAUAGGACUGAGGCCUUGGAUAAGAAGAUCCCAAUUUCAAUUCAAUUAUUUUGACUUCUUUAGAUGUUAGUGGAGUUUAAUUACACUUAAAUUAAGUUCACCCUAGUCAAUAUAUAAAAACAAUUUGGGAGCAGAAUUAAUUGAAUUUACAAAUUUUAAAAUUGAAUUCACACUCAAUUUAAUUUGUACGGUUAAACAAAACAAAUGCAAUUUAGAGAUCACUGAACAUCCUUUGAAUGCAAGAAUUCCAAGAAUUUUCAUAUCAACUCUUUUUAAUAUUACUUCAUAGAAAAUAAGGAAGAAAUGCAGCAAAUUAAAAAGUGGGCCAGUAUAAGUGAGGGACACAAAUAACAGUAAAGUAGGAGACACUUGAGUGAAGAAAGACUUACCAACCUUCAAGCAUUUGCAGCAAUAGUAGCAUUCCGGACAAUUAUAAUAUUCUUUUUGAAGUCCUAUAUGAAACCAUCCAAGCCAUGUUAGUCACAAGGAAGAAUGCCCUUGACAGACCAAAUAAUAUUUUUAUGAGAAGCAAGAAUGGGAGGGAUUAAUUAAGAUGAAAGAACUCUAAAUAAAUCAUUUAUCUUGUUCUUUUCAGAAAUUGAUGAUUGCAAGUAGCAACCUUACCUCGUAAUGUUAAUGUGUAGGGAGAAAGUAACCCUUCUGUUAACAAUGGAAGUCCAAUUUGUAAAAGUUAGGAAAUAAUAAAAUAAAGAUUUAACUUUUUAAAAAAAAAAAUUGUAGUUUGAAGCCUUACUCUUAAAGGGCAGCAAUAGAUUAAUUGUUAUAAACUUCCAAAGCGCUGAAAGAUUAAACCAAACCAGUGAAAUUAGGGAUAGAAAUAUUGAAGACUCAUUCAAGGAAGAUAAAAGCAGGUCAUCAUGUAUCCUACUCACAUUUUUUGUACAUGUUGCUUGAGUUGUAGCAUUGAAAGGUAUUCUCAUCCAUAGCUGUAUAGUUGCAAAUUUGCCCCUUUCAUUUUGCAUUGGCUGCUGCAGAAGUGAGGCAAAAAUGAAAGCUGAAGCCCCAGAAGCAGAUAAUCUUGCAAAUCUGACAUGGAAAGAUUGAUGGACUCUGGAAGUGCCUUCAACGGCUGAAUAACCAUGUAUGUGCUGAUGGUGCAGGAAUACGGCAUAUCUACCACGGACACGUAUUCUCCGACUAUUGCAUAAGAGUAUGUUGGUGAUGAGGAAGAGGAAUAGCCUGUCGUGUUGCAUGGAAUAAUGGGAAUGUAGUUGUGGUCGCUGAUUGACUGCUCACAGUUCAUCGAAAGUAUUGUAUAGAAUAUCGGUCCAGAACCCGAACCCUGAUAAAAAGUUUUCCAUGCAUAAGGCAAAUGAGAUCGAAAUCCAUUCAUCCUGUAAUAUGCACCAAUGGAAUGAAGAGGACUGGAGAUCCACUACCCGAAUGCUAUAAUUCUGGUAAUUGAUAUCUGCAACAUAGUAUUUCCCACCGUACGAUUGUUUUCACAAAUAAAUUCAUACUCAGGUUAACCGCAACUGGGGGCAUCGCCUUGUAAUCCAAAAGGGUAGGAAAUGUUCCAAAUAUCCCCGCAGGAAGAGGGGAUGCAUAUCUGGUACUUGUGAUCCUUAGCAACACAAACUAAAAGGAAGCAGGCAUAGAGAACUAGAGUAAUAAGGCCUACUCCCACAAGUUUUGCCUCCUUCAACAUCAUCAACUUUCAGACACAGAGAGAGAGAUGCUCCGUUCUUGGGUUAGUUCAGAUCAAAUUAGUCACUCACAUGGCUUGGUAGGAUAUCGAUCUCACAGACCAUAAUUCUACCAAUUUAAAUAAUAUAUAAGUAAUUUUUUCUAAAAAAAUUCAAGUAAAUUUUCAUUUAUAGUUUUUUUUAAUUUAAUUUUUUUAUUUUAAAAUUCCCUAGAAGCACCUACUUCGUAACUUCCUUCUUUAAAGUUCAUAUUUGAAAAGUCAUAUUCAAUCAAUAAAGUAUCACAAUUGACCAUAUGUAUAAUGGACCGUAGAAAUUAUUGAAAGAGUACAAUACUUGGAGACCAUUUUAAAAUUUUAAAUAUUCAUCUGCUCCUACAAUUUUAUACUUAUAAUGAAUUAUGAUAGUAGACAUAUACCAAAGGAAGGUUUGAACUCUUAAAUUGUUCUUUGUUGAUUUUCUCUUUAUCAAAAUACAACUUUUAAUUUGCAAGCAUGAUUUAAACUGAGAAGAGUAAGAUCAGAGUCUUCGACAAGGAGUAGAAAUCUAAGAAUAGAGAAACCAGAGCAUCCAUUAAUCUAAAUAAAUGUACAUGGAAUGACGCAAUUCAAUGUCGAAGAAUGUUAUUGUAACCUUUGUAGAGGCCCAAAGAUACUUCUCUAAUAGAAACUAUUUGGAAUUAGUUAUAAUAGAAAUGUUGUAAUUGACAUUAUUGAUCUUUGAAAGCCUAGAUUAUUGUAGAUAACAAAUGCAUAACAAAAUAGGGAAAUCUAUUUGAUAAUUUUAAGAGCUUCAAAGAAGACAACUCAAACAUUCGAAAUGAUAUUUUAUUACCUAUACACAUACUCACUCAUAAGGAGCCAAGCUAUGGUUCAAGGAUGAAACUUUGUCUUAUUACAUAGACCAAUCUUAUAAAAACCUUAUACCUAAGACUAUCACACAUUAUUAUUGGAUUACAUAAUAUGCAACUAGAUGGUGUAGCAGUACCUUCCAUUUAAGGUGAUUGUACCCAUGGAAUUGGAUGAUGAAAUUGGUACCACUACCAUGGAUUGCUCGUGAUUCUCAAUAGACCAUAGAAAUGGCUUAGGAGGCAUUUUCAAGAUUUCAACCUCUCCUUCAAGCAUCUCCAAUGCUUUGCUCAUUGAAGGAUGAUCUACAGGCUUCAUUUGUAUACACCAUAGUGCAACUAUCACCAUUUUCCUCACAUACUUUUUUUCAUCCUUAAUGGCCUAUCCUAUUUCCAUGUCCUCUCCUUGAUCAUAUCGAUCAUAAAUCCAUGAUGGAAAGUAUAUUUGACUUGAGUGCUCUGCAAAUGCAUUCACAUUCUUCCUUCUCCCCACAAUUUCUAACAAUAGCAUUCCAAAACUAUAAAUAUCAGCUUUAUAUGAAACUCCUCCAAUAUUUUUUAUAGAACAACUCUGGAGCUAUAUAUCCCAAUGUUCCUCUAACAGCAGUGAAAGACACAAUACUUUCAUCUGUUGAAUGUAAUUUUGCAAGGCCAAAAUCUGAAACUUUUGGUGUAAAAUCUUCAUUAAGAAGAAUGUUGUGUGGCUUGAUAUCAAAAUGGAGAAUUUGCAUAUCACAUCCUUGAUGUAAGUAUUCAAUCCCACUUGCCACUCCAAGUGCAAUUUUGUAUAAUCUUUCCCAAUUCAAAGGAAUGACACGUGGAAAUUGGAAACCUAAAUGGAUCGCUCAAGUGAUCCUCAACUGGCAUUUCCAUAGAGUAUAGAGUAGGCUUAGGAGGCAUUUUCAAGAGUUCAACAUCCCUUUCCAACAUUUCCAAUGCUUUGCUCAUCGAAGGACAAUUGAUAGGCUUCAUCUAUAUACACCAUAGUGCAACUAUCACCAUUUUCCUCACAUACUUUUUUUCAUCCUUAGUGGCCUAUCCUAUUUCCAUGUCCUCUCCUUGAUCAUAUCGAUCAUAAAUCCAUGAUGGAAAAGUAUAUUUGACUUGAGUGCUNNNNNNNNNNNNNNNNNNNNNNNNNNNNNNNNNNNNNNNNNNNNNNNNNNNNNNNNNNNNNNNNNNNNNNNNNNNNNNNNNNNNNNNNNNNNNNNNNNNNACACAUUAUUAUUGGAUUACAUAAUAUGCAACUAGAUGGUGUAGCAGUACCUUCCAUUUAAGGUGAUUGUACCCAUGGAAUUGGAUGAUGAAAUUGGUACCACUACCAUGGAUUGCUCGUGAUUCUCAAUAGACCAUAGAAAUGGCUUAGGAGGCAUUUUCAAGAUUUCAACCUCUCCUUCAAGCAUCUCCAAUGCUUUGCUCAUUGAAGGAUGAUCUACAGGCUUCAUUUGUAUACACCAUAGUGCAACUAUCACCAUUUUCCUCACAUACUUUUUUUCAUCCUUAGUGGCCUGUCCUAUUUCCAUGUCCUCUCCUUGAUCAUAUCGAUCAUAAAUCCAUGAUGGAAAGUGUGGACCCGCAUUUUUCACGUGCGUCCCCACUCGAUCGGCGAGACUCACUUUUUUUAUUUAUUAGUGAAAAAUUGAUUUUUGAAAAAAAAUUGGAGUCGUCACUUAUUUUAUUUUUAUUUUUGAAGGGAAAAUAAAACAAGAAAUAAAACCCUAAAAAAAUGACUCCAUAAUUUUUGGAAAAGCGUGUCUUUGAAAACCCAAGUCUUGGUCCAGGGAUCAGGUUACUUAUUGGGAAGGUACCUCUAGGAGGUAGCACCCCUCUAAGCCCUAAAGAGGUCUCUAUUGACUAAGUUAAGGGAAGCGUGGCAAUUAAAUGGUUGAUCUCGGAUACCUAAGUAGGCUAGGUGAUUCCAAAAAAAACAUAACAUAUCAAACAAAAUCAAAUCAUAAUUAAGGAGAGUUAAAAAUGCAUACCUGGACUACCUCUCAAGCGCUAUCAUAAAACAUCAGAGUUAGUAUAGAAGUAUAACACACAACAUAUAUUUAAUCAUAGUGAAUCAAACAUACAUCUAAGCACCUAAGGAUUAUCAAACAUAUGCAUACUUCACAGUGACACGAUUGUUUACAAAAUUUAGAAAGUAGGCGAUAGGGGGGGCGUACCUGGAUAGCAUAAAUAACUUACAAUGCGCUCCCAUAAGACAUGAGGGAUUAGAUAAUAAUAAAAUAAAGAAACCCUAGCAUGCUUGUUAUCUAAUUAGCAUAACAAAAAUUAUCAAAGUAUAUGAAAACAUUAAUUAUCACACACAUCUUAUAUACAAUUCCUAAAAAAGAUAGACAUAAUUUCAACAAGUGACAAAAAUGGCAACAAAAAUAAUUUUUGAAAAGAUUUUCUUAUGUAGGGGUUUCACCAAUUCCCCAAUUGAUAUACACGAGUUUAGCCCAGAAUCAUCCCAUUAUUUGGGACCACAAGUUUUGAUUCGUGUUUUUGUUCAAAACCAAAAUUUUUGUUGAAAACCGAGAAGGAUGCAAACCGAACAAGAUAUGGUUGCAUAUUAUUUUUAAAUAAUAAAAAAAAAGAGAUUUUGAUCCUGAGGACUCUAAAUGAGUUUUUUUGAAAUAGAUUUUUAAAAUGAUUUUUUUGAGAAAAGUAUUUUAUUUUNNNNNNNNNNNNNNNNNNNNNNNNNNNNNNNNNNNNNNNNNNNNNNNNNNNNNNNNNNNNNNNNNNNNNNNNNNNNNNNNNNNNNNNNNNNNNNNNNNNNAUAGGGAAAUCUAUUUGAUAAUUUUAAGAGCUUCAAAGAAGACAACUCAAACAUUCGAAAUGAUAUUUUAUUACCUAUACACAUACUCACUCAUAAGGAGCCAAGCUAUGGUUCAAGGAUGAAACUUUGUCUUAUUACAUAGACCAAUCUUAUAAAAACCUUAUACCUAAGACUAUCACACAUUAUUAUUGGAUUACAUAAUAUGCAACUAGAUGGUGUAGCAGUACCUUCCAUUUAAGGUGAUUGUACCCAUGGAAUUGGAUGAUGAAAUUGGUACCACUACCAUGGAUUGCUCGUGAUUCUCAAUAGACCAUAGAAAUGGCUUAGGAGGCAUUUUCAAGAUUUCAACCUCUCCUUCAAGCAUCUCCAAUGCUUUGCUCAUUGAAGGAUGAUCUACAGGCUUCAUUUGUAUACACCAUAGUGCAACUAUCACCAUUUUCCUCACAUACUUUUUUUCAUCCUUAGUGGCCUGUCCUAUUUCCAUGUCCUCUCCUUGAUCAUAUCGAUCAUAAAUCCAUGAUGGAAAGUAUAUUUGACUUGAGUGCUUUGCAAAUGCAUUCACAUUCUUCCUUCUCCCCACAAUUUCUAACAAUAGCAUUCCAAAACUAUAAAUAUCAGCUUUAUAUGAAACUCCUCCAAUAUUUUUAUAAAACAACUCUGGAGCUAUAUAUCCCAAUGUUCCUCUAACAGCAGUGAAAGACACAAUACUUUCAUCUGUUGAAUGUAAUUUUGCAAGGCCAAAAUCUGAAACUUUUGGUGUAAAAUCUUCAUUAAGAAGAAUGUUGUGUGGCUUGAUAUCAAAAUGGAGAAUUUGCAUAUCACAUCCUUGAUGUAAGUAUUCAAUCCCACUUGUCACUCCAAGUGCAAUUUUGUAUAAUCUUUCCCAAUUCAAAGGAAUGACACGUGGAAAUUGGCAACCUAAAUGGAUCGCUCAAGUGAUCCUCAACUGGCAUUUCCAUAGAGUAUAGAGUAGGCUUAGGAGGCAUUUGCAAGAGUUCAACAUCCCCUUCCAACAUUUCCAAUGUUUUGCUUCGAAGGACGAUUGAUAGGCUUCAUCUAUAUACACCAUAGUACAACUAUCACCAUUUUUCUUACAAAUUCCUUUUCAUCCUCGGUGGCAUCUCCCAUUUCCAUGUCCCCUCCUUGAUCAUAUCGAUCAUAAAUCCAUGAUGGAAAGUAUAUUUGACUUGAGUGCUCUGCAAAUGCAUUCACAUUCUUCCUUCUCCCCACAAUUUCUAACAAUAGCAUUCUAAACUAUAAAUAUCAACUUUAUAUGAAACUCCUCCAAUAUUUUUAUAGAACAACUCCGGAGCUAUAUAUCCCAAUGUUCCUCUAACAGCAGUGAGAGACACAAUACUUUCAUCUGUUGAAUGUAAUUUUGCAAGGCCAAAAUCUGAAACUUUUGGUGUAAAAUCUUCAUUAAGAAGAAUGUUGUGUGGCUUGAUAUCAAAAUGGAGAAUUUUCAUAUCACAUCCUUGAUGUAAGUAUUCAAUCCCACUUGCCAUUCCAAGUGCAAUUUUGUAUAAUCUUUCCCAAUUCAAAGGAAUGUUAUUUCCUUGGUCAAGAAAAACAAACUUAUCAAGAGACCCAUUCGGCAUGAAGUCAUAUACGAGAGCCCAUUUUGAUCCUUGUAUACAAAAUCCUUCAAGUCUCACCACAUUAACAUGAUGAAUUCUUCCAAUUGUAGUAAUUUCAUUGAUGAAAUCUUGUCCAUUAGCUUCUGACAUAACUAACAUUUUUACAGCUACAAUGCGACCACUUCAGAGUUUUCCUUUGUACACGGAGCCGAAACCUUCUUCACCCAAUUUAUUCUUAAAAUUAUGAGUCAUCUUUUUUAUUUUUGAAUAUGAGUAUUUGAUUGGUUGAAGAUUUUUAUGGCUAUGUAAGAAUUCUUCAAUACCAUCAUCCAAUGAUAAGUGUCUUCGUCGAAACUUGUAAAUUAAAUAGACAAGCAGACACAACACACCAGGUACGGCCCUCGCAAUGAUGAUCAUGCCUAUAAAUCAUGUUAAAAAUAUGAAAAACAUCAUAGGAAGAUUUAUAAUCAUCUAUCUACAUUCAAUCAUCAAAUCCAACAAAUAGAAUUAGUUUUAAAAAGGCCAUUUCACUUAUCUAAUCACUUGUGUUUUGGAUUUCCACUCAAACAUGGUCAUGUGACUCUUUUUCUUUUGGGUGACAGCAUGGUAUAUAUAAAGGAUGGAAUGAUCAAUGGAGAAAAUUUGUUUGGUUGCACAAAAUUAAGGAAUGGAAUGAGAUGCCUAAUUCCAACUCUAUUUUUCAAUUUCCUUGUAACAAAUUUGGGAAUAAUUUGAAAUUAAAUGCAUCACAAAUUUAAAAAAAAAAACAAUUUUACUUGAAAGAAAAUUUUGAAUUUCACAAAUUUGGAAUUUCAAUUUAUUAUUCAUUUUGUACAACCAAAUGUUUACAAAACUUGAUUGUAGUGUCUAAUCUUGAAUGAAAGGAUUCCAAAAGUGCAAGGCGAAAAGAGCUAUAAGAUGUGUGCAAUGAUCUACUUAUUGAGAUUUGGAAGCCUUACCCAUGAGUUGUAAUAUCAAGAUUGACCCAACUGCAAAUAUGAGAGGAACAAAAAUUAUUAAGUUAAAGAAAAGAAAGAUUCACACAUAUGAUAGAUUUAAAAUGAGCAAAAAACAAAUAUAAGAGAUAUUAUUACUACUAUUCUUUUGAUUAAAAAUUAGGGAAAAAAUGGAUAGAAGCGAAAAGGUAAUAAUAAUAAUCAUCAUCAUCAUUAUUAUUGUUAUCAUCAUCAUUAUAGUUAUUAUUAAUUAAGUGGAUGAAAAAUCCAAUCAUUUAUUAUACUAUUGAUUAAUUUAAAUAUAUUUUCUUUAUUUAAUUAUGACCUCAAUCUCAAAUGCCUUAUAAUAUUUUUUAAAGUUUUAGAUAUUUAUUAUAUAUGUUUAAAUUAAAAAUAAAAUUAAGCAAAUAUAACAUAUUGACUAUUACGGGAUUGAAUGUGUAAUUUAAAAUAUUAGUUCUUUAUUUUAUUUAUUUAUAGUGAACUUCAAAAAUAAAUUAUCAUUUCAUUUUAUCAUCAAAUUAAUAAUUUUAAGGGACAUGGAGUCUAAGGGUCUCCAAAAAGCCCGCGGCCCGACCCGAGCCCAUUUCUGGAUGGGCCGAGCCAUGGGCCCCAAUUUAGGCCCUGCCUGGCUCGGCGGGCUGGCCCGCCCAUGGGCCCGCCACUUCAAAAAAUAUAUAUAUAAAAAAAUAUAUAUAUUCAAGAAAUAGAAAAUGCUACAUUAAUAAAAAUAUUCAUUGCUAACUAUUUUAUUCAUUGAAUAUAUACAUUACAUUUGAAAAUGUGGGAAAAGUUUACAUCACUACAAAAUAAAUACAUCCCAACUAGGUUGGCACUUACUUAUUUAUCAAUCAUUUGUACUUUUCAACCACAAAAAAAAAAAAAAAAAUAUGACAUACAUUUAGUAAAAUAUUUUAAUCAUUAUCUCUUGGCGGUGAUGGCGAACUAUCACAAAUCCAUGAAGAUCUUGAUGAUUUUAGUUUUUCCAUAUCGACAAGCAUAUUUUCUUCUUGAAUAGAAUCAAAUAUCCUUUUAUCUGCUAUUGCCCAGUCUUUCACACAUAUAUUUGCUUCAAUAGAAGUCGGCCCUAAGCUGCAUCGUUUAUCACUAACUACUCUUCCACCUGCACUAAAAGCAUCUUCUGAGGAUUAACAGCUCGUUGCAUUGUUCCCGUAAAAUCAUGAGUUUCCAUGAAAUUGAAAGGUUGUUCUGCUCUUAUUAUAUAACCAAUCAUUUCUUCACGACAAUAAGAUUCAUCAUAAGAAAAUGUUUUUAAAUUUCCACUUUCAUCUUUACCUAAUUGCAUAUAAUUUCUAAUAUCUAUAUUAUUUUUAAUUUUACAAUUUUCAUGAUGUCUUUUUAAAUGACUUGUACCUGCAUUUGAGCCACCACUACUGUUUGUUACAAAUUUUAUAUUUUGCUUUUAUUUCUUUUUUAUUAUUUUCUAAAUUUAUUUCUAUUAUAUCAAAAAAAUUCCAUAUAUUUGAAGUAAAUUUUUUCUAUCACAUGUAUUAGAUGAAGAACAAGAACCAUUUGCCAUAAUUAUAAUUAUUGAUAAAAUAUUAUGCUAAAAAUAAUAAAUGUAAAAUUAAAAUAUAACAAAUAAAUAAAAGUAAAGGUGAAGUAUGUUACUAAAUUGGAGAACCGAAGCAGAAAUUCCUUCAAAUUUGAACUCUUUGAACCACCAAUGCUUGUUUUUCACCACCAAUAAUAUUGAAUAAUUUGAGACAAAAUGCAAUAGUCGGAAAUAUUGUGGAAUGGGAGAGAGCUUAAGAGUUGAGAGAAUAGAAAAAAAUUGAGGGUAUUUAAUAUUUAUAGGGAUUUAAACAUUAGGAUUUUAUUUUAUUUUAUUUUUUAAAUUUCAAGACCGUUCAACGGUCAUAUAUUUGAAAUUGAAUUAUGAGUGGCAUGUUCAACGGUCAUGUGACCGUUGAACAGCCAACUCACUUUUAUUUUUUUUCAAAAAUUAUUGCAACAUUUCUAAUAUAUAUAUAACUAAUGUAAAAUAGUUACACAAAAGAUGGUCAGUUCAGUUGGUGGCUAGCUCCCUUAUGGUUCCAUAAGGGAAGGGGUUCGAAUCCCCUUCCCUUCAAAACUAAAAAUUAUUUUAAUUUUUACCCCGGCCCGGCCCGGCCCGGCCCGUUGGAGACCCUUAAAUUGGAGUCUCCAUCUAUUAUUAUUAUUAUUAUUAUUAUAAAGAACUUCUCAAAGCCUUAGCGAGUAAAGUUGUUUUGCCUCCUCCAUAUAGAAGAAAUCCGAAGUCUGCAUGUUUAAAUUUAGUAAAUAUGGUCAAUGGUCAAUGGUAAAAGUAGAAGAAGCUUUUGCAUUUUGCUCUAUGUCAUUGCUAACUAGACAACGAUAUUAAGCAGCCCACAGGUAUCAUCUCGAAAUUAAUGGAAUGAAAAUAAAAAAUAAAUGAUUGUGACAUUUUGCUCUAUGUGACUGCCAACUAAACAAUUAUUUUCCUUUACAUUUUCUUUUCCUUUCAUUUUCCCACAACCAAAUAUACCCUUAAGUUAUGUUUGGUUCCGAAAAGUUUAAAGAAAAAUACAAUAGAAUGAAAAAAAAAAAGAGAAAAAGUAGAAAAAAAGAAAAAGUAAAGGAAAAUAAAAAUAAUAAUAUAAAAAUAAUAAAUUAUUUUUAUAUACUAUUUUAAAUUUAUUUCACCUAUUUUUCUUUUUCUAUAUAAAGAUUAAAUAACUUAAAAAAUAUAUAUAUAUUUUUAAUUAAUUUUAAUUAUAUUUAAUUUUCUUUCUUAUUUUUUAUAAUGAAAGUAAAUAUAAGAAAAUUAUUUUCUUUACCAUUUUUUUUUUCUUUUUUUAGUAAUUUCUGGAACCAAACAUGGCCUUAAUGUUUGGAACAUUAAUUGCGCAUUCCAUCAAUGGCCUUCCAUUAUUUCUUUGGGUCAUUUUUCUCCUUACCAAGUCUCACUGUGGGUGGACCUUGUAAUGAGAUUUAAUAAACCCAAAACCCAGGCCCAAGGUCGGCCCAAACAACUCCGGCCUUUAAUAAAAAAAAUAUAAAGCCCAGUGGCUGCCAUUUGGACCACCCUCAUCCUAUAUAGCCCAUCACAAUCGUCUUCAUUGUUUUUCCGUCUAUAUUAGAGUUCUGAUACAAAUUAUGGAAAUUGAUAGCAUGAAUUUUGACAAGAAAAAGCUCCAUGUUCACUGCUCAGGAUUACAAUGCCGAUCGGGUUCCCUACUAGACAACUAGACAAAAUGGCAAUAAUUUCAGAAUUAGAGUAAAAAUAAUUGUCUACAUGUUCAAAUUAUUAUGAAUGUAUAAUUUUAUAAAAAUUCAUCAUCAUAGCAUUUCUAUUUAUAUUUAUGUUAAUUGAACAAAUGAUUGUGCAAAAUGAUUAUACCAUAAUCGAUGUUAGAUUCCAAAAGUUCUUGUUCUCAUGUAUGAUAUUUUAAUAUGUCCAAGAAUAUUCUCACAACCCAAGUUAUAGUUCAACUACACACGACUCUAUAGAUCCACCUUUCAAUCAAGUAAGAGUAACUAAUGUCCAUCACAAUUAUGAUAGAGGGAAUUGCAUGAAAUAGUAAUAGAAUCAAAUCCAUGAAGCUUGAAAAUAAGAGUCUCAUCCAUUAUAAACAUAUAGAGUUUCUUUUGUUUCUUUUCUUUUCUUUUUUCUUUACCACUUUUUAUUGGAAUGAGAAGUAAGAUUAAUUAGUUAUGUAAUAACUAAAUUAAGUUGAUCCUUGAGUUAGACCAUAGUGGUGAGGGAUUGCAACUUGGACUUAUGAGAGAUCAUUUUUUGUUUGUAAUUGUAUAUCUUUCUCUAUAUACCCACCUUUGGAGUAACUAAAAUAAUUCAUAUCAAGUGACUUUUAAACAAGUUUCUUUUUCUACGAGUUUCAAUUGGGAUUCUAUCCUUGUGGAAUUAGCUUUUACAUUUAUGGUGAAACCUAAAAUGGUAUCUCUUGCAUUUUCCAAUUUAGAAAAAAAAAAUGUCUUUAAUUAACUAAUGUAAAGUUGUCUAAAAUCUUAUUUUGAUUUUUAUUAAUUUUUUCAUGAAUCAUAUGAUAAGUUUUUCUUAUGAAUUUACUCUUAAUAAUAAGGAAACAAUGAGCUCUCUAGAGCAUUUCAUUACUUAAUAGGAAAAUUAAUGGUAAAAAAGGAAAACUGUUGUAAGCCUCAAUUUCUCAAAUGAGAUUUGUUUAAUUUAUCUUAAAACUAAAUAAACUGUAGUUUAAAUAGAACUUAAUUUUAUUAAAUAUUUUAUAAGACUAAAGUUAAAAGAUAAUUAACACAACUUUAAUUCAAAAUUGAGCCUAAAAGUAGUCUAUUGUAAAAAUAUCUCAUUGAUCAUGAACCAUUAAUUACAACAUUUGCUAACCAUACAUUCAUAAAUAAUAAUAAAUAAUAAUAUUUUGGUUUUUUUUAUUUAGCAAAAAGUUUAUAAUAAGUCAUAAAAAAUAAAAAAAAAACAAAUAAUCUAAAGUCUGAAAGCAAAUUGCUUUUAGCAAAAUACAAAAAAAACACAAACGUUCACUAAGAAUGAAUAAUAAUAUGAAUUUUGACUUGAUAGCAUGAUUUAUUCUAAUAUAAAGUGAAAAAUUAAGAUUUAAAUCUAAAGACCAUGAAAUGAUGCAAUCAAACCAUCUAUGGAUGUUAUCGUAGCCACCAAAGAAUAUCAAGUUACACAAUAUACUUCUCUAAGAGAAAGAAUCUAGAAUUAGUUACAAAAGAAAUGUUGGAAUUGACACUGUUAAUCUUUGGUAGUCAGGGAUUGCUACCAACAGAUGCAUAACCUACAACAUGGCUACUGCAACAGAAUAUUCAAACCUACAGAAUACACAAGAAGUGAUUUCUGCCCAACCUCCCAUCUCAGGUUAGUCCCUACACAUGUUAAGCCAUUACAAUAAGAAGAUGAAGUAUCUCUCCACUCUGUCCACAGCAUUCUGCUCGCACAUGAGCAGCGCCUCCAAUUUCAAAACUCCAUCACAGAAGAAGAAACUCUAUCCGCUCAUAUUGCCUCUCACAGUCGGACUACUCAAUCAAGAACAUCCCAGAAUAACAGAACUAAUUUUUCUCUUCAUCAACAAAAUGGUUUUUCUCAUCCUUCAAGAAGAGGAUGCCCAAGAGGUCAUGGACAAGAACACCGCAACAAUCACAGUAAUAACAGACCUCAAUGCCAAUUAUGUGGCAAACUUGGUCAUACUGUGAUCACAUGCUAUCACAGAUUUGCCAUUAAUUCCCAAAAAUCAGAUGUAUUGGCAUCAAGCUCAGCAAAAUCUGCCUCUCAUACAUCUACUAGCAGUGAUGUCCAUGCAAUGAUGGUAUCACCCUCGUCAACCAUCAAUGAUUCUUGGUUUCUUGGUUUCUUGAUACAAGAGCAACUCACCAGCUAACCUAGAAUAGAGAUCAUCUUGUCAAUCCUCAUCCAUAUCAAGGCCAUGACAAAGUCACCAUUGGAGACGGUAAGCAACUCUCCAUUUUUCAUGUUGGUUCUACAUGUCUUCAUACCCCUCAUAAAACAUUCAGAUUACAACAAGCACUUCAUGUUCCUCACUUAGCCACAAAUUUGAUCAGUGUUUCAAAAUUCUGCCAAGACAACAAUUCAUUCUUUGAGUUUCAUCCUACUUUCCUUUUUAUUAAGGACAAGAACACACAGAAGAUUCUCCUUCAAGGAACCAUUGAGUGUGGCUUGUAUAAAUUCCCCAGUCUCGGUUUCAAGUCCUCCUCUGCGUCUGUCUCCAGCUCAUUAGCUCUCACUGCUCGGUCCCAAGUUGAUUUCAACACAUGGCACAAAAGACUCGGUCAUCCAGUCGCACCUAUAGUGAAACAAAUUCUUUCAUCAUGUAACAUUCCUUGUUCAUUCAACAAGGGUCAAGUUUGUAAUACUUGUCGAUGUUCUAAAAGUCAUAGAUUACCAUUUCCACUCUCUACAUCAAAAGCUUCACAACCUCUUGAACUAAUCCACACUGAUCUCUAGGGUCCCUCUCCAACCCUCUCAACAACAUGUGCCUAAUAUUUUUUACUCCCUAUUGAUGAUUUUUCUCGCUUCUCAUGGAUAUAUGCUCUAAACUCAAAAGACCAAGUAUGUUCUACAUUCUGUAAAUUCAAAACUUCGGCAGAAAAUCAGUUUAAUCUCAAAAUUAAAAGCCUCCAAUCUGACAAUGGAGGAGAAUUCCAAGCACUAAACUCUUUUUUUCGCUAAACAUUGCAUUGAACACCGGUAAAGUAGAAAGAGAUAAUAAAGUAAAGGUUAAAAAGUUUCUAGAAGACUAUGAAGCUCUCAAGCCCUCAAGAUACUCCUAUGCUGAUAUUAAAAGGAGGGUAUGGAACCAUAUACAAAGGAAAGCUUUCGGAUGAAGUUUUUGUUGCAGUAAAAAUCGUCAAAAAUUCUUAGGAAAAUGUGGAAGAGUUCAUUAAUGAAGUGGCAACAAUGUGUACAAUCCACCAUGUUAAUAUAGUUCACUUAGUUGGAUUUUGUGUUGAUAGAUUUAAACGAGUUAUAAUUUAUGAGUACUUACCAAAUGAGUCAUUAGAGAAGUUCAUAUUUUUGAGAGCUAUUAAGAACUAUUCACUUGGUUGGAAGAAACUUCAAGAAAUUGCUAUAGGUAUAGCAAAAGGAAUUGAGUAUCUUCAUCAAGGUUGUGAUCAAAGAAUCCUCAUCAAGGUUGUGAUCAAAGAAUCCUCCAUGUUGAUAUCAAACCUCAUAAUAUUUUACUUGAUCACAACUUUAAUCCAAAGAUUUCUGACUUUGGUUUGGCCAAAUUGUGCUCCAAGGAACAAAGGGCAGUCUCUAUGACAGUUUAAGGGGAACAAUGGGGGCUAUAUCGCUCCCGAAGUGUUAUCUAGAAAUUUUGGGAAUGUGUCUUAUAAGUUAGAUAUUUAUAGUUUUGAAAUGUUGUUACUUGAAAUGGUUGGAGGAAUGAAGAACAUUGAUGUUAGUGUGGAGAGUACUAGCCAAGUAUACUUCCUAGAAUGGAUUUAUAAUCAUUUAGAUAUAAGGAAAGAAUUGCAUAUUCAAAUUGAAGAAAAAUGAGAUGUUGAGGUUGCAAAGAAAUUAACAAUUAUGGGACUUUCAUGUAUUCAAUGGUGUCCAGUGGAUCGUCCUUCCAUGAAAAUUGUGAUUCAGAUAUUGGAAGGAGAAUGAGACGAGAUAACCAUGCCUCCUAACCCUUUUACUUCAACAAUUCCAACAAAGACAAACUUGAGCAAGCUAAGAAAAGUUUUUCAACAAGAGUUGGCAAUAAUUUCAGAACUAGAGUAAAAAUAAUUGUCUACAUGUUCAAAUUAUUAUGAAUUUAUAAUUUAAUAAAAAUUCAUACUGUAGUUGUUCAUCAUCAUAGCAUUUCUAUUUAUAUUUCUGUUAAUUGAACAAAUGAUUAUACCAGUGGUUCAAUCAAUGUUAGAUUCUAAUUGAUGUUAGAUUCUAGAAGUUCUUGUUCCCUUGUAAUGUAUUUCUCAUGUAUGAUAUUUUAAUAAAUAUGUCCAAGAAUAUUCUCGCAACCCAAUUUAUAGUUCAACUACACAUGACUCUAUGGAUAACCUUUCAAUCAAGUAAGAGUAACUAAUGUCCAUCACAUUUAUGAUAGAGAAUAUUGUAUGAAAUAGUAAUAGAAACAAAUCUAUGAAACUUGAAAAUAAGAGCCUCAUCCAUUAAACCUAUAUAGAGUUUCUUUUGUUUCUUUUGUUUUUUUUUUUCUUUACCACUUUUUAUUUUAUUUUAUUGAAUUGAGAAGUAAGACUAAUUAAUUAUGUAAUGACUAAAUUAAGUUGAUCCUAGAGUUAGACCAUAUCGCCUAAUAACUUGAUAAAAUAUAUAAUCUUUUACUUUACACUAAGAAACAAGAGUUUCCAAACAAAUAUUUGGCCUUUAAUCUGUGACUGAAAUUUUAGAAAAUUAAGCUUAAUUCUCUACCAUCCUUUUCCUAAAUAUUGCAUUAAAACUUGAAUUUCCUAACUAAAAUAACAACUUUUGAAUUUGAAUUCCCUUAUAUACCUUUUUAGCCAAGAAAACAAACUUCCUUUUACAGAUAAUAAUUGUUGCAAAUUGGUUAAAUUGGUUAUAUUUUGUUGUUAGUCACUAGAUUGAACCAAUGGGGAUGGGGGUGGAAUUUCACUUCAAGCCACUAUAGGAGUCUUUUUGAAGGAACCUGACUCAACUAACUUUGAUCUCAAAAGUAAACCUAGAGAUGAAUUAAUAUCUAAGUUUGAAAUUUCAAAAGGAGUGAAAAAAAAUGAAAAAGAAAAACACUUAUAUUUGGUAUAAAUAUAUAAUAUAACUUAUUUUUAUGAAAAUCUAAUCUCUAAGAUAGUUUAACAAAGUUUAUCUUAUCUAUACAAGUUUUUCCAUGGAAUAUUAGGUAUCAAUCAAUAAAUUUCUUACUUAUUGUAGUAUGAAUCUUAUCAUUUUUUUUUUCGAUAUUGAUUAUGACAAUGAAUGGCGAUUAGCAUUCAAUCUCUCAAACUUGACUGGUUUAGCCUGUUGGUUCCUGAAAUGAGAAAGAUUAACUCAUGUAUGUGUCACUUUUUAGGUGAGGGAUUGCAACUUGGACUUAUGAGAGAUCAUGUUUUGUUUGUAAUUGUAUAUCUUUCUCCACAUACCCACCUUUGGAGUAACUAAAAUAAUUCAUAUCAAGUGACUUUUAAACAAUUUUCUUUUUCUAAGAGUUUCAAUUGGGAUUCUAUCCUUGUGGAAUUUGCUUUUACAUUUCUAGUGAAACCUAAAAUGGUAUCUCUUGCAUUUUCCAAUUUAGAAAAAAAAUGUCUUUAAUUAACUAAUGUAAAGUUGUCCAAAAUCUUAUUUUGAUUUUUAUUAAUUUUUUCAUGAAUCAUAUGAUAAGUUUUUCUUAUGAAUUUACACUUAAUAAUAAGGAAACAAUGGACUCUCUAGAGCAUUUCAUUACUUAAUAGGAAAACUAAUGGUAAGAAAGGAAAACUGAAGUUGUAAGCCUCAAUUUCUCAAAUGAGAUUUGUUUAAUUUAUCUUAAAACUAAAUAAACGUUGUAGUUUGACUGAAGUUUAAAUAGAACUUAAUUUUAUUAAAUAUUUUAUAAGACUUAAGUUAAAAGAUAAUUAACACGAAUUUAAUUCAAAAUUGAGCCUAAAAGUAGUCUAUUGUAAAAAUAUCUCAUUGAUCAUGAACCAUUAAUUACAACAUUUGCUAACCAUACAUUCAUAAAUAAUAAUAAAAAAGAAUUUUAUUUUUUCACUCUAAUUAUAAGAUGAUUGUAAAAUUAACUUGUAAAUAGGUGAAUGUUAGCCUAACUUAUUUUUGACGGUUGAAACAUUAAUGAUUAUUGUGCAUAGGUUAUUAGUUUUAAGAUUUCAUUGAAAUUAUUUGCUUACAAGGGGGUGACACCAUGACUAAACAAAACAAAGGAAAGGAGGGUAAACUUUUUGGAGAGAAAAUCGAUAUAGAAAAAUAGUGGAUUAAGAGGUUUGGGUUUAAAUUUUGCUUUAACUAUUGUCUUAAUUGGUUAGAGGUUUCAAUGAAGGAUCAUACACUCGUUAAUUACAUACUAUAAUUUCAUCUAGGUUGAGUUGAAGUAGGAUAUAGGAUAACCACAAAAUUAUGACAAAAUUUAUUUUACCAAAAAAUAUUUUUAGUAAUUUCAAUCCUCACCUUAAUCAACUUCCAUGACCUAUACUUUUUAUGGAAUAACAGGUUUCUAGGCAAGAUGUGGAAAUGUGUACUUCAUGUUUCAAUUGAAUCAUAACUUAUUCAUAACUUCAUAGAAUAAGGCUUUUGAUAGAACCUUGACACUAGUUUAAUGUAUUUUCCCUUUUAUAGACUUUUUUUUUAAUAGAUUUUUCUUCUUUUUGUGUUUAUUUGUUUUCCUUUUUUUUUUUUUUUUUUUUUGAAUAACAAGUAUGAAUGUGGCAUGUCUACUUUUAGUAGCAUUUUUCAAAAAUGAAUUUUGAGAAUAGUCAUAAUAAUAGUUCUUUAUUAUUUUUAAGAAAAAAAAAAUUAUUUGCAAACUUAAUUUGACCUAUACUUUGUGUGUUUUCUUUCUAUAUCUUGCAUUUUCUAAUCCAAGACCACGCUUUUGUAUGUUAACCUUUCAUCCAACUUACAAGGCUUUGGAAAUACUCAUGGGCACCAUAUUUUUCAAAAUAAUUGAUUCAAACUUUAGUUUUACAAGCAAAUCGUGAUAGCCUUCUUAUUUUUUGUUUACUUUAUCUAAGGGUGCAUCCUAUGCUCUUAAGGUCAUAUUAGCUUUAUCAAUUCUCUUUAUCAUAUCGGAAUUUAACAAUCUCAUGAAAAAAAUGGAAUCUACAUAUAUUAUAAAUUAUUUCUUAUAUUUAUUAGAUCUCUUAGAUAUUUCUUUCAAAAAAAUUUCAUGUUAAUCACUUUGAAUAACCAAAAUAAAAAGUAAAAAAUAAAAGCAUAUAUAUAUAUAUAUAUAUAUUAAUUAUCAUAUUUCAUUAAUAUUUUGUCCUAGUCUAGACCGUAAAUUAAAUAUGACCUUAAUUUACAUAAUUUCAUCAUUUACAUUUACAUGUGUUUAACAUUCAUAAGAAGAUUAUAGAUAACAUUUUGUGUUUUUUGACAAUGAUAGUGCAAACCAAGCAAAUUUAAAUAUUGAAUUUUCCUAGCUACUUAAAGAAGCUGCCAAGGAACCUCUCCAAUCAAGAUUAAUUAAUGUCUUCUUUGGUUAGUCAAGCAAGACAAAACCAAAAAAAUUAUUCAUCACCUUCUUGAAAUAUACUACCCACUUUUCCACUAAAAUCCAUAUUUGAAAAGUUCAUAGAUCCUUCCCUCGGUCAUAUUUCUUAAUGCAAAUGAGUCAAAGUCUUCCAAGUCAAGGUUCAUAUAUCCAUUUAUUGCUAAGAAAAUUCAUUGGUAGACAUUUUUUUAUUUAUAAAUUGAGACAUGUAUAAUGGACCAUAUGACUUAUGACAAUAUAGUGGUCAUUGUUAACAAAACCAGUCUUAUUGGCGUAGUUGAAGGAAUAUGCUGCUAUCCAUUUAUUGCGAAGAAAAUUCAUUGGUAGGCCAUUGUUUGAAAUUGAUACGUGCAUAUUGGAUUGCAUGAUUUAUGACUGUGGUGGUCAAUAUCAACAAAGUCGACCUUAUUAGAAUUAUUGAAUAUCAACAAAGCCGACCUUAUUAGAAUUAUUGAAUAUCAACAAGGCCGACCUUAUUAGAAUUAUUGAAGGAAUAUGAUGCUUGAAAUGGACUAGCUAAGAAUUUUGAACCAUGUACAAGGGUUGUUGACGUAGUAAUGGGCACUUAUAUUCUUCAAAAUAAUUGAUUUACAUUUUAGUUUUAUUUGCAAAUCAUAAUAACCUUUUUAUUUUUUAUUUUUUUGUUUACUUUAUCUAAGAUACAUGUUAUGUUCUUAAGAUCAUAUCAACUGCAUUUUAUGUUUGGUUGAAAAAUAGAUAAGAAAAAUAAUUAUUCAUUUUAUUUAUCAUAUCCCUUUAUAUGAGAUUUAAUAAUCUCACGAAAAAAAAUGCAAUAUAGAUGUCUUUUAUAAAAAGAAGAAAAAUCUCAAAUGAAAAGAAGAAAUUUUUAUUACAAAAAGAAGAAAAAUAAAGCAUCUUUAUAUUUUAAUACAAAUUUAAAUUAUAUAUAUAUGAAAUACAAAUUAAUAUUUUAUCCUAGUCUAAACCCUCAAUUAAAUAUGAUCUUAAUUUAUAUAAUUUUAUAACUUUGUAUUUGUUUAACAUUCAUAAGAUGAUACAUGAUAUUUGGCUUUUUCUGACUACUUGAGGAAGUUGCCAAGACAUCUUCAUAGUAAAGAUCAAUCAAUAUCUUAUUUGGUUAGUGAAGCAAAACAAAACCCAAAAAAUUAUUUGUUGACUUUUUGAAAUAUUUCACCCACUUUUCCACAAAAAUCCAUAAUUGAAAAUUUCAUAGAUUCUUCCUCUGUCACAUGUCUUACUGCAAAGAGUCAAAGUCUUCCAAGGCAAGGGCUAAUAUCCAUUUACUGUUGAGAAAUUCACUCGGUAGGCCAUUGUUUGAAAACGGCACAUGUAUAAUGGACCACAUGAUAUAUGAUUUAUGACAAUAUAGUAGUCAAAGUCUUAUUGGAGGGCUAUGAUUUAUGAUAAUAUUGAAUUUAACAAUCUCAUGAAGAAAAAUGGAAUAUACUUAUAUUUUGGAUAGUAAACUUAUUUCUCAUAUUCAUUAGAUCUCUAAAAUAUUUAUUUUCAAAAUAUUUCAUGUUAAUCACUUUGAAUAAAAAAAUAAAUUAAAAAAUCUAAUUUUAAAAAGAUAAAAUUUUGGUUUCAAAAAGAAAAAAAAGAAGUAUAUUUAUAUCAUAAUAUAAAUUAAAAUAUCACACACACACAUAUAGAUUUCAUUAAUAUUUUAUCCUAGUCUAGACCAUCAAUUAAAUAUGAUCUUAUUUUACGUAAUUUCAUAAUUUACGUUUAUUUAAUAUUUAUAAGAAUAUGAUAAAUAACAUUUACCUUUUUCUUGCAAUGAUAGUACAAACUAAGUAAUUUUAAAGACCAAACUUUCCUGGCUACUUGAAGGAGCUAUCAAGGCACCUUCAUAAUAAAGAUCAAUCAAUAUUUUAUUUGGUUAGUCAAACGAGACAAAACAAAAAAGAUUAUUUGGCGCCUUCUUGAAGGAUAUUACCCACUUUUCCACAAAAGUCUCUAGUUGAAAAGUUCAUAGAUUCUUCUGCUAUCACAUGUCUUACCACAAAGGUGUUAAAGUCUUCCAAGGUGAGGACAAAUAUCCAUUUAUUGGUAAGAAAAUUCAUUGGUAGGCUAUUGUUUGAAAUUGGAACAUAUAUAAUGGACUAUAUAAUUGAUGUCAAUGUCAAUAGUCUCAUUGGAAUUAUUGAAGGACUAUGAUGCUUGAAGGGAUCAACUAAGAAUUUUGAUGGAAUUUCUAUUUACUCAUUCAAUUCUAUGCUAAAAAUGAAUAAUAAUGAUAGACAUAUACUAUAAGGUGGCUUGAACUCUUAAACUAUCACUUGAAAGGCAUUCACUAGAUCAACAUGUUUUUUGUUUAGGUGCUAGCCUAUGCAAUCUGCUGAGGGUUGGAGAUAAAAAGACAAUAAUCAAGUAAAAUUAGUAGAGUAGGUCAUCUCUUCAUAAAAGUAAUUUAUUUAAUUAUUUGUAUGAUUUGAGUUGUGAAGAUGGAAAAUUUAAUAAUGUGAUGUUGUUUUAAACAUUACUCCAUUUCAGCCAGAACAUUAACAUAAAAGGCUUAUAAACAAGUUUAUGAACUCUUGGCUAAUUUCAUUUUGUUCCAAAAUGCCUUCCAGAGGAGCAAGCCUAACAAUAGGCUCUUGGGGUAGUCCUAGUGAUCAGCCCAUACACAACUAGGCUAUUUCAUUCGAUUCCAAAAUGCCUCUCAAAGGAUCAACCCCAACAAUAGGCUCAUGGGUCAACCCUAGUGGUAAGCCACAACUUAGGCUGGUCCAUAUCCAUACACAGACUUAGGCCGAGUUAGGAUCAUGGACUAGUUUUUGGGCUUGUCCCCAUAGAAGGUAUUUUGGAACCCAAUGAAAUAGCCUGGAAUAUUGUUUAUGAACUCAUUUAUAAGCCACUAAAAGUUAAGUGUACUAACUUUAAAUGGAGAUAAUGUUUAAAUUAUGGAAAUAAUAGUACCAUAUUAUUGCAUUUCGCGAGAUAGACUACUUUAGCAUCUAAUGGUAACAUAAAUUAUAAUUGAAACUCACUUUAUUUGAUGACUAUUUUCUAACUAUUUCUAAUCCUUGGCAUAUUCCACAGGCUAUAUAGCAUCUAACAAUUACCAACUUAAUAUUGUAAUAUUGAAUGCAUAGCCAGCAAAAAAUAUUUUAAUAUUGUAGUGAUUUUUAUAUACUAUUUGGUCGUGCAUGUGAUUCUUCUUAAAGCACAUGAAAUAAUGUUUUUCUUAAAAAUUUGUCGUAUAUACUAUGUGGUCAUCAUAGAAAAUAAACCAUGACUUGUAACUGAAGCAUAAGAAUUCCAACAGUAGAAAUUUCGCCUAACCAACCCCCCAAUAAUAAGAAAAGAAACAAUAACAAUUGUUCAAUUGCUUCUUGUUUUCUUACUUUUAGGUUCUGCCUUUCCUGAAAGGACUCCAUUUGCAGACCAGAUUUUCAGUUUUUAAAGAUGGGGUCUUUAGAAUUAAUAUGCAGUAUUUGGUCCUUAAAGGCCCAGCAGACCCAUGGGCUAGCUGGCAAGGCAGGGCUAGCUAGCUUGGAUUUGGGCUAGCCCAGCACGUUUGAGGCCUAACAUCAUCAGUGCCCAAUUUGGCCGAGGAGGCAACAACUUUAGGGUUAACACAAACCUAUCUGGGCUACCCCUAAACUAAGAUUAAAUGGCUAGGACCCAAAGGGAGAGCUCAAAUAGAUCUAUAUUUGCCAUAAGACGAAGAAUAUAUCAGCCAUUGCUAGAUUCUAGGAUGCUAUAUUCUAGCAUGCUAUAUUUUAAAGAUUAUCUCCAAGUCUUUUUAUCUUUUUUGCUUUUUUCUUUGUUCUCACAUCUCCCUAACGUGAAGUGUUUGAGAUAUGCUUUUUCAUCUUAGCUCAUGUGUAAAGUGGUGAAGUGGGGUUGUUGCUUUAGUUAAUCUUAGGAUACGUUGAACUUUGAUGAUAAACUUUAAAUUAAAUAAAAUUUAAUGUGUUGGAAUCAUGGAUAAAUCUAAUAUUUUUUAAAAAUAAUUUAAAACUCAAAUAAUAAAUUCAUUAAUACUAAAAAUUUAUGGAUUAAAAUUGUUUCACAGUUACUUUAUUAAUUCUUUUCUACAUAUAAUUAUAUUUUUAUAAAUUUUUCUAAUUUUCUAUUAGAAAAAUGAACUUCAGAAGUGAUAUAUUAUGAGUUAUGACUUUAUUAUUUCUCCUAUACAAACUACUAUAGUUUUUUUAUUUUUCUCACUAAGUAAUAGAUUAUAAAUUAAGUAAGAUAUAAUUAAUAAUUUAAAUAUUUUAAUGAAUCUUUUGAUUUUUAAGAAUAACUUGAAAUUUAAAAACCAAACCAAUUAAUUGCAAAUUCAAUCAAAACCUUAUAGAAUAUUAUAUUCAUAAUUGAGUAUUAAAUGUGUACAUAUAAUAAAAAAAACUUGGUUUAUUUACAUGUUUAAAAAAAGUUAAACUUUAUUUUUUAUUCAUUUUAAAUGAAAUAUUAUUAGUAAUAAUUAUUUUUAAAUUACGUUUUAAUUGCAAAUUCAAUCAAAACCUUAUAGAAUAUUAUAUUCAUAAUUGAGUAUUAAAUGUGUACAUAUAAUAAAAAAAACUUGGUUUAUUUACAUGUUUAAAAAAAGUUAAACUUUAUUUUUUAUUCAUUUUAAAUGAAAUAUUAUUAGUAAUAAUUAUUUUUAAAUUACGUUUAUUUUUUUUAAUAAUAAAAAAAUUUACAAAGAUGUUAAUAUCCUUAUGUUUCUAACAUAAAUAAAAAUAGUGUAUUUCUUAAUAAAAAAAUAUAACUUAUGAUUUUAUGAUAAUUUUACUAUUUAUGUUAUACUAAAAGCUAUUCAUUUUUAAUUUACAAUGUUUUUAUAAAAUCAAAACAAAAAAAUUAUUUUGAAAAACAACCUAUCCAAACAAGUAUUUUGUUUUUUAAAAUUUAUGAACAUAUUAAUUCGGUUAUGCUUCUAACAUAUAUUGAAAUAAUGUAUUUUUUUCAUAAAAAUAUAUAACCUAUGAUUUUAUUAUAAUAUUACUAUUUAUGUUCUACCAAAAACUAUUCAUUUUUUUAUUUAUUUGUAAUUACAAAACUAUUUUCAUUUUUAAUAAGAUUUGAAUUAAAUUUUAUUAUUAUUAUAUAAAUUGAAUUUAUAUAUAUAAAAUUAAAACAAAAAAAUUAUUUUUAAAAACAACUUAUUUGAAACAAGUUUUUUGGUGUCUCCACAACAACUAGUUUGAAAACAAGCUCUUAAGUUCACCUUAUCAAUCAAAGCUUUCGUUAACACAAUACAAUCUUCUCUUCCUAUUUCAUGUUCAUUUAAAACAUUCAAAGGAAUGAAGCAAGCAUAAAGAGAAUAGGGCUUUUACUAGAAAAUUCAAAACUACUCUUAUAAUGAGAGACACCUAACCACAAAGAUGAUACAAACAAUGCCAACAAUAUUAAAUUAUGAUAAAUGUAUAAUUUUUUAAUAUUUAAUUAAUAUAUUAAAAACACUAUAAAGAAUAUUAUAAUGAUCACUUUUAUAUUUUUUCUAAUUAAUUACAUAAUUUUUUUUUUUAAUAUUUGAUGCAUGUUAUUUAACAAAUUAAGAGUAAAUUUGCUCUAGUGGUGCUUGUGAUAUUAGCGAGCGAUCAUGAUAUUUUAAUAACUUAUUAAAAUUAAGAAUAAAAAUAUCGAUAAUUAUAUAUAUCUAUUAAUAUUUCGAUUUUAUUUAAUUUUUAAGUCCACCAGGUCAUUUGCACAAGGAAGAUGAUUACAUAUAGUGUACUUAGGACCAUGGAAGAAAAUAUCGGUAAUCACGGAUAUAUCGGUAUUUCGAUUUUACGGAUAUAUCGGAUAUAUCGGAGAUAUAUCGGUGGAUAUUUUGGAAAAAAAUAUCGGUAAGCUUAAAAUUGUUAAAAACUCAUGAAAAUGUAAGGAAAAUAUCAUAAUAAUAUAAUUAGAAAUAUAAUAGACAUUUUAAAGUUAUUUUAUUAAAAUUUUUGAUAUAUGUAUAACAUGAUUUAUCAUAUUUGAUAAUAAUGUCGUAUGCAUCGAUAAAAAUAUGAAUUUUAUAAGUAUACAUUUAUUAUUAAAUUACACCUAAUAUUAUGAUAUUUGAUUAUAAUAUGUCUAAUUUUAAAAUAUAUAUUAGUAUUAAAAUAUGAUCCAUUUAAUUCAAUUGUAUUAAAUAAUAUAAAAUAAAUAAUGAUAUAUAUAUAUAAUUUUUUAAUAUUUAAUUAAUUAUUAAUGAUAUUAAAAACAUUAUGAAGAAAAUUAUAUAAAUUUUAUAUUUUUGGUAAUUAAUUAAAAGACUUUGCAUUUAAUUAUAAAAUAAUUAUAAUUAAUUUGCUCUUAAAAAUAUUCUUAUAUUUUCUUUAUAUAAUGAAAUUAAGUAUAUAUAUAGUUGUUGCAUUUUAUAUAUCAAAGGGCAACUUAGCCCAAGUGGUAAGCGGGUGAACCCCAAACCUUUUGGUUUGGGGUUCAAAUCCUCUCAGCAACAAAUAAAGGUGAGGCACUGUAGCAUCACUGUAGCGCGUUGGCGCGUUGACGGCACUGUAGCGGGGUCUGACUUUCGUUGACCCGCGUUGACCACGCGAUAUAUCGCCGAAAAAUCGGCGAUUUAUCGCGAGAAAUCGCCAAUUUCUCGCGAGAAUUCCCGAAAUAUCGCCGGACCGAUAUUUCUCCAUGAAAUAUCGCCGGACCGAUAUUUCUCCAUGAAAUAUCGUGUCGAAACCCAUCGAUACACGAUAUUUUCUUCCAUGCUUAGGACGUGUGUACUAUUCCCAUCCCGGGGUGAAUGAUCAUAAUUGUACCUCACUAGCUUGAGAAGGCAGAGGGGUCGACAAAGCCAGCUCAUGUAGACAAAACGGUCAGCCAUUGUGGGCCAUCCGACCUAACGACAAACUUGAUGAUGAAACGAACCUGAACUCACUCAUGCCACGUUUCCACAUUUCAUUGGGUUGACUUGUAAAGACUCAAAAAGUUUGGUCUAUUUAAAGGGGGUCACCUCAGCCUAGCCAAUUAAUACUCAAUUCUGAGCUCGGACCCCAUCACUCGCAGCUAUGGCAGAGAUCUCUGUGCCCCUAAUCUCUUUACUCCCUUCACACCCAUUUGAUUUUUUCAUCUGAAUUUCACAUUUUCUCGCUGGUUUAUAUAUAUAUCAGCCAUAUAUAUCAUUCUGGAGCUUCAUCAAUAUAAUCUGUAAAGUUUAGAUUUCCACAAAGUCCUCUCUUUUUAAGCGUGCUUAGUGUCACAGGAUGCUUCAAAUGACCCUCCCCAUGGGCUUAUAUAGGAGGGAUUAAGUCCGUGACAUUAAGCUGUUCUGGAGCUUGAGUGCAACACUUCAGGUGCCUUUUUAGUUGAUCAUAACACUUGAGUGCGUGAUCUUAAAAUCCUGUCUCAUAAUUAAAUCAAACACCUAGUUUUCAAUACCCUAAAGUCCUUUUUUUUUUUUUUUGUCAUUUUUAAAAGCCAUUACCCUUUUUUUAAAACUUGUUAUACAUACCUAUAUUCCCAAGGCUGAUUCCGCAACAAUCUUGAGUCUUCCAAAUGGUGUAAGUCACGAGAAAAUAUAUAGAGUUCUAAACCAAGAUGAACAAAAUAAAAAUGCCAACUUAAUCUAUCUAGGUCAAUGCAUUAACACUUUCCAUGGACGAUUUUGAAGGUGUAAAUUUUUAUUUUUUAUCCUUUCCUCUAUAACGAUGCCACUCUUUUGAUUCCAAGACAAAAGUCAGUUGAUGUAAUUUAGGGUUUGGGGUUUGUUCUCCAAUACUGAGAUCUCUAGUCAAUCAAGUAUAUUGAAAUCUCUAAUCAAUCAAGUAAAAGCAGGAUGAUUAAGCCGUUGCAAUGCCUCCCACUUUUCCACCAUGGUAGUGUUCUUUUCCUAAGGCAAAGACAUGAUAUUUUAUUUUCUUAAAUAUGGAUAUAAUUUUAUUUUCUAGCAUGCUUCUUUCUCAUGAAUUUAUUUAUUUAUUUAUUUAUUUUUAAGUUGAUGCCACUAGGACUGACAUUAUAAUUAAAUAUAAGAAAUAUGUCCAGCAUGAGUAUAGUGAUUAUUUUAUGUAAUCAACAACCUUGAAUAUAGCAAAUGUUUUGUUUUUCUACAUUGAUACAUAAAUAUUAGUCUAACAAAAUAAAUAAUUUAUUUUUUUAUUCUAAAAUAUUGACAAAUGAAUAAACAUGUCACAUGGUGUCGUCAUUGUUUUCUCUUGGGGUACAUAGCUAACAUGAUAUUUUGUUAAUUGUGACUUGCGAUCACCAGAGCAAGUAAUAUAAUAUUUUAUCUCCUACAGUAUGAAUACAAUUUUGUAAGAUGGCCUAUUUUCCUAUGCAAUUAUUUUCUUGCUAGAAACAAACUACUUUUCGUAGUUUUCCCUUUGGAAUUCACUUCAGAAAAUAAAUAAAAAAAUAAGAAUUUACUUCACAAAUCAGAAGAUGUACGAUGCCUUAUUAGCUUUCAGCAAACUCCUCCCUACAUUUUGUUCCAAUGCAUCUUGCUUUCUUACUUUUAGGUUCUCCCUUUCGACUCAUUUGCCCUACUCCUCCCUGUUGAACAGACUCAAUUUUCAGUUUCUUAAGAUGACGUCUCUAGAAUUGGAAUGCAGUAUCAUGUCGACCCAUAGGCUAGCUUAGAUUUAGCCUAACCCAGCAUGUUUGAGACCCAACAUCAAAGCCCAAUUGGGUUGAGGAAGCAAUUCUAGGCCCAACGCAAAGCUAUUUGGGUUAUAGCAUGAGGAAUUAUGCCAUGGCUAGUGGUGAAUAUCACUUUUAAAGAGAGACAAAAAUGUGUCUCACCUUAAUAUAAACUAAGUGUACAUGGUUACCAUAAUAAGCCUAACUAAUUCCUGAGUACACUAAUCCGUGUUUUUCCCCUCUUACUUUCUCUAGAUUGCUCAAACAUCAUUGGAUCAUCAAACAUCAUUUUGCCAUAUUUGGACCCGAUUUGUGAAGAACUGGUUGAAGUUGUAGCUCGACCAGUCCACCUUUUGCUUCUCCUUGCACUUGGAUGAUGGUUAAACAUGGGAAAAUACAAGUUUGAAUCACAAGUUCAAAAUCAAUUAAGCUAAAUGUUCUAUUAGCUAGGUUGUGUUCAAGGCAUUGGGGCUCAUUAGUGGAAGUUAAGAUUCAAAACACCACUCUAUAGUUCUUAAUUGGUUGUUAAAUGCUUUGAUCAAAUUUCUCCUAGUGUUUGAUUUUUCUAUAGCAUUGAAUAUCAUAGUUAGUAUUAAAUUAUGAGGGUGAAUGGGUACAUCAACUCAACUUGCCCACAAUGUUUGAUUUUUCUAUAGCAUUAAUUAUCAUGGUUAGCAUUGAAGUAUGAGGGUGACUAGGUGCAUCAACUUGUCCACAAUGUUUGAUUUUUCUAUAGAUAAUGUUCUAUAGCUAGUCAAGCACGAGGAGCUAUCUAAUUACUAGACAUACCCACAUGCUUAUGAAAGGAGGAGGCCUUGCAAGUUGUUAUCCUAUUUAAUAGGUGAAGGAUUAGAAUUACGGAAAAUAAUUGUCUUAAGUAUGUGUGUAUGUAUUUUUUUAUCAUAUUAAAUACAUGUUUUAGAUAUUUUUACUAAAUAUUGGAUUAAAACAGGAAUUUCCUAAGUAAUUAAAAUGACUUCUCUUGAACUUGAAUUCCCUUCUUUCCCAUUUUAGCAAAAAAAAAAAAAAAAGACUCCCUCUUAUAGAUGAUAAUUACUGCAACUUGUUAAAUUGUUGGAAGAUGCAUGUUUUAGGGUUUUGCUUUGAUAUUUUGUUGCUACUAAAUAGAUUGAACCAAUUUAAUAGUCUUUUACGCUCUCCACCUAAGACAAUUAUAUGUUAUUUAAUAGGGAUUUAGGGUGGAAAUUUCGUUUCAAAGCAUGAUGGAAGGUUUUUGUAUUUUUUUUUUCAAAGAACUGACAUAACUAAAGUUGAUCUCAAAAGCAAAUCCAAAAAUUUAUUAAAAUCAAAUCUGAGAUUUAAAGGAGGAAAAAAAAAAACAAAGAAAAAAAAANNNNNNNNNNNNNNNNNNNNNNNNNNNNNNNNNNNNNNNNNNNNNNNNNNNNNNNNNNNNNNNNNNNNNNNNNNNNNNNNNNNNNNNNNNNNNNNNNNNNNNNNNNNNNNNNNNNNNNNNNNNNNNNNNNNNNNNNNNNNNNNNNNNNNNNNNNNNNNNNNNNNNNNNNNNNNNNNNNNNNNNNNNNNNNNNNNNNNNNNNNNNNNNNNNNNNNNNNNNNNNNNNNNNNNNNNNNNNNNNNNNNNNNNNNNNNNNNNNNNNNNNNNNNNNNNNNNNNNNNNNNNNNNNNNNNNNNNNNNNNNNNNNNNNNNNNNNNNNNNNNNNNNNNNNNNNNNNNNNNNNNNNNNNNNNNNNNNNNNNNNNNNNNNNNNNNNNNNNNNNNNNNNNNNNNNNNNNNNNNNNNNNNNNNNNNNNNNNNNNNNNNNNNNNNNNNNNNNNNNNNNNNNNNNNNNNNNNNNNNNNNNNNNNNNNNNNNNNNNNNNNNNNNNNNNNNNNNNNNNNNNNNNNNNNNNNNNNNNNNNNNNNNNNNNNNNNNNNNNNNNNNNNNNNNNNNNNNNNNNNNNNNNNNNNNNNNNNNNNNNNNNNNNNNNNNNNNNNNNNNNNNNNNNNNNNNNNNNNNNNNNNNNNNNNNNNNNNNNNNNNNNNNNNNNNNNNNNNNNNNNNNNNNNNNNNNNNNNNNNNNNNNNNNNNNNNNNNNNNNNNNNNNNNNNNNNNNNNNNNNNNNNNNNNNNNNNNNNNNNNNNNNNNNNNNNNNNNNNNNNNNNNNNNNNNNNNNNNNNNNNNNNNNNNNNNNNNNNNNNNNNNNNNNNNNNNNNNNNNNNNNNNNNNNNNNNNNNNNNNNNNNNNNNNNNNNNNNNNNNNNNNNNNNNNNNNNNNNNNNNNNNNNNNNNNNNNNNNNNNNNNNNNNNNNNNNNNNNNNNNNNNNNNNNNNNNNNNNNNNNNNNNNNNNNNNNNNNNNNNNNNNNNNNNNNNNNNNNNNNNNNNNNNNNNNNNNNGGGACUGACAUUAUAAUUAAAUAUGGAUAUAAUUUUAUUUUCCAACAUGCUUCUUUCUCAUGAAUUUAUUUAUUUAUUUUUUUACUUUGAUACCAUAGGACUGACAUUAUAAUUAAAUAUAAGAAAUAUGUCCAACAUGAAUAUUGUGAUUAUUUUAUGUAAUCAACAACCUUGAAUAUAGUAAAUGUUUUGUUUUUCUACAUCAAUACGUAAAUAUUAGUCUAACAAAAUUAAUAAUUUAUUUUUUAUUUUAAAAAAUUGACAAAUAAAUAAACAUGUCACAUGGUGUUGUCAUUGUUUUCUCUUGGGGUACGUAGCUAACAUGAUAUUUUGUUAAUUGUGACUUGCGAUUAGUAGAGUAGGUAACAUAAUAUUUUAUCUCCUAAAGUAUGAAUACAAUUUUGUAAGAUGGCGUAUUUUUCUAUGCAAUUAUUUUCUUGCUAGAAACAAACUACUUUUCAUAGUUUUCCCUUUGGAAUUCACUUCAGGAAAUAAAUAAAAAAUAAUAAGAAUUUACUUCACAAAUCAGAAGAUGUAUGAUGCCUCAUUAGCAUUCACUACAAGAAAAUGUACUUUUCGUGACAAAAAUUUAAGGGCGAAUUCUAAUUUUGUAGCUAAAAGUAACUUUUACCGAUGAAAUUUUAUAUGUUGUCAAUAAUGCCAAUUUUCUACAAACUUUUCCUAACGAAUUUGAAAUUUUUGUCGCUAAAAGAUGUGGCGGGAAAAUUUGGCGCUUUUUUUUUUGUGCAAACACUUUUGUGACAAAAAUAAACUAUUUCCCUACGAAAAUAUUUAUCACUAAUUAUAAUUUUUGGUGAUGAAAAUAAUUUCCUCACUAAAAGUUACAACCUUUUAUCUAUUUUUGCUUACAAAAUGGUUUCGUCGGUAAUUAUAUUAUUUCCUGACAAAUUAAGUAAUUUUGUCACCAAAUAAUGUUAUUAAAUUGUGAUAUUAAUAAAGAAUAUUAAUAAAUAAGUAGAUUAUUUAUACUAUGAAAUAAUACAAUAUAUAUUUGUUGACACUUAAUAUUUAUACUAUAAUAUUUUAUUUAUAUAAAUAAUAAUAAAAAUUAAGGAUCCACAAAAUUAAAUACUAGAAUGUAGAUUUAUUUAAAUUUAAAUGUUCUAUUAUGUAAUAAUAGUAUUAUUAUGAAAUAACAAAAAUGUAAAUUAUUUAAGCAAUUAAUAUUUAUAGUGUAAUAUGUUAUUUAUAUUUAUAUAUAUAUAUAUAUAUAUAUAUAUAUAUAAAUAAUAACAAUAGAUAAUCCAAGAUAUGUAAGAUUACAUCCUAUGAUAUAAAUUUAUUUAAAUUUCAAUAUUAUUAUAUGGUGCUACACAUACAUAAAUACUACUAAAUGAUUUUUAUUAUAUUAGGUAAAAGUUAUCCAUACAAGUCCAAUGUAGUAAAUUUAUGUUAGCUAUGAAUAAGUAAAUUUAUUCAAAAUCAUACCUUAUCCACUCAAGAAGUAAAUUUAUACUAACAUUUAGUUACCUAGUUUAAAUUAAUAGAUUUUUUUUUAAUUAUUACUUGGUUUUUAAAUAAUUGGUCAAAAUUAACUUUCUCAAAUAAAUUGUCUAGUAUCUAUAAAAACAUUCUACCUACAUAAAAUUCCAAAUAUUAUUUAUGUGUACGAAGAUAUCAUAUAUUAUUAAUAAAUAAAUAAGUAUAAGUUAAAUAUUAUAUGAUAUAAUAUAUUGUAAGUACUAUAUGCCUAGCUCUAUUUUCAUAUUUACAAAAUAAAAAAUGUCUGAUAUAUAUAGCACAUAUGAAAUUCUCUAUAAAUAUAAAGUUUUUUUAAAAGUUUUCAACCACAUCUUUAUUAAUAAUUGGUUAUUUCAUUUUUUAUUGAUCAAUUAUAUAUUUAUUAUUUUUAAUUAUUAAUUACUAAUUUAUCAAAAUUGAUUAGUUAUUAAGAAUAAAAUCUUAAAUUAUACCACAAAAUAGUAACUUCUAUGGCUACUAACUUGUAAAGGAGUUUUUAUACUUGUAUGCAUUUUUAAUCAAAUAUUUAAAACAAAUGUAGUUAUAAAAAUAAUUGAAAUAUAUCAUAAAUUAUUAUAUGAUUUAUAUUUAUAGUGUUUCAUUAUGUUUGAUAUUUUUGUUUGGAAUAGAUGAGAAAGGGAAAGAAAAAAAAAUGAUGUAGAAUCCUAAUUUCAUUUUGAUCAUUAUUUUAUUAAUGUCAAUAUGAGUAUUACACUUUGGCAUUCUCCUAACAUUGUCUUUCAAUUAUACUUUUAUUUUAUAUUUCAAAUUUAUCACUUUAAUCCACAAGUCUGAAAUUGAAUUUAUUCUAGCUAUUAAUAAACUAUAGUCCUCUAAUUUGUUCUCAUUCAACAUUAGGUUUGUUUAGAGGUGACAAAAUUUGAUAUGACUUGUCAAUAUGACUUGAAUCUAAUACCCUUUCAUGAUUUUGGGUUGAGCAUAAUUGAGUUCAAGUCAAAUUCAUGUUGACUAUGGAAAGUGACCUUAAAUAAUAUAAGGUCCCAAUUCUGAUCACCAAUUGGUUUUCAGAACAAAUGGGGCCUUGUCAUAAAAUAUUCUGUGGUUAAGCGUGCUGCAGUCAAAGAAAUCUUAGGAUGAGUGACCCACUGGGAAGUACGGAGCACCUUGAUCUACAAGUGGUAUCAGAGCUUGGUCACAUGUUUGACGGGUGAGCUAGCACUGUGGGUGAAUGGCGAAGGCCUGGGGCGUGGCCAAGACAACUAACAAAGACGGUAGACUAUCACCGACGAAAUUAAUUUGUUACCAAAAAUAUUUGGCAAUAAAAAUAAAAUUCGUCAGCAUUAAAUAUUACGACUUUUGGGACAAAUUUUAUUUUUUUCGUGACAAAAAUUCUUACUUUUGUCGAUGAAAUAUUUCGUUGGAAAACACCUUCAGUGACAAAAUUUUAUUUCAUCAAGGAAAACUUUGGGCGACAAAAUAAGAUUUUUGUCACGAAACUUUUAGCGACGGGUCUAGGGCGACGAACAAGGCACGAAAGAAUUUUCGUUGGGGAAUGUUUUUGUAGACGAAAUUUAGACUUUCAAUGACAAAAUAUUUUGUCGCUAAAAGUCAAUUUUCUUGUAGUGAUUAAGCAAACUCCUCCCUGCAUCUUGUUUUUUUACUUUUAGGUUUUCCCUUCCGACUCCAUUUUCCCUACUCCUUCUUGUUGAACAAACCCAAUUUUCAGUUUCUUAUGAUGAUGUCUCUAGAAUUGGAAUGCAGUAUUAUGUCGACCCAUAGGCUAGCUUGGAUUUAGCCUAGCCCAGCACGUUUGAGACCCAGCAUCAGAGCCCAAUCGGGUUGAGGAAGCAAUUCUAGGCCCAACGUAAAGCUAUUUGGGUUAUAGCUUUUUGUUUAUAUGAAUUGCUAUUAUUACUAUGUCUAUUUGUGUAAUUAGAAAUCUUGUGCGUGAGAUUGAUGAAGACUUGAUCAUUGUUGAUAUUGGAAUAUUAAUUGAAUUUAUAGAUAAAAUAGAAAUUUAAUGUUGGGGAUAAUUACUUAGAGCACCUGUUCAUUCUUCUCUAGGUAGUUCCAUAUAUUGAGUAAAAAUUAAAAUAUCUAAAAUUAGAUAAAUAUUGGUUGUUGAAAUCUAUGCACAAAAAUAAAAAAUAUUUUUAGUAAUUUUGUUUAAUUUUAGAUAAAUUUUGAUAAUUAAUGUUUUUAUAUUUACAAAUGAUAUUUAUAUUAACUCAAGAAAAAAGAACAAAAUACAAUACCAAUGGCUAUGAAUGUUAAUUUCUUAUUUUAAACUUAAAAAUAAUUAAAAAGACAACUUAACGCUACAACAUUAAGUUAUUGGAGAAAUACUCAAUUUCAAAAAAUAGCUUUCAAACAAGUUUUUCAUUUUCUUGUUUUAUAAAAAAAAAAAAAGGGUAGUAGAGCAUAUGAAUGGAAUUUUCUCAGAAAAAGUUCCAUGUAUGUUGUCAAAUGGUAAAUUGAGCAAAAAAAAAAAAAAAAACAUUAUAAAUUCCCGCAUCAUUAUGGCUGAGGGAGGAAUGGAUCGCUACUAUAAAAGCCACAUAUAGUUGGGGAAGGAAUGGGUUGCUGCUAUAAAACCUCUUAUAGCAAUGUAUGGCCCAAUAGGACAACCACAUGGGCUGGGUUGCUACUAUAAAAGCUCUUAUAGCAAUAUAUGGCCCAAUAGGCAGAAUCACGUGGGCUUGUCCGCGACCAUAGAGCCACGAUAUAGCCACUAUCUCUCCUGCUCACUUUAGACUGCUGAACCCACUGAGAGCCAUGUCUUUUAUCCUUCACUCUUCUUAGCCACCAUUAGAGACCAUGGAACUCUUCUCCCAAAGCCAUAAUACCCAUCCUCAUCACUGUAUAUUUCUCCGACUAGAUUCUUGUCGUCACUGACAUCCUCAUCACUGAGGGGGCUUAGAUCAAUGACCAACUCGCUCAACGACCAAUUUCUUUAGCCACUUCACCGCCCACAUCUUCCAGGUAUUCUUUCGAUUCCUUCCAUGGCUUCACACUCUGUUAUUCCUUUCUUUCUUUCUUUCUUUGAUUUCAAAUUGGGUUUCUUUUCAUCACUUCUAUUUCCUCCCAUCUCUCUUUUUCUGGUUAGGGUUUGUGUUUGGAUUCCCUGGUAUAUAUUUACUAAUUAUUAUGAGCAUCAAACCCUCACCAUACUUUCUCAUGCCUCAUCUCUGCACUCUUAUUCUUCUUUCCAUUUUCAUGUGCAUCGAAGCUUAGCUUGGAAUCAAUGAUUGCUCGUGUCCCUUCUCUUUUGUCUUUUUUUGUCUUCCGUGCAUAAGAUGAAGUUGAAAAUUUUAGUGAUAUGAAAUUCAAUGCAGUCUGCUAUUAUUAUAGUGCCUUGUCUGCACCUAAUGAAAUCAAAGGUUAUGGAAGCUUCGGAUAGAGCAAAGCUCUUCCUAAUUAGGAUGCUACACUUUGACUCAUCUUAAUCUUGUUUCUUUUUUUUUUUCAUUUUAUUUAUCUAUUUUUUUAUUUUUUUAUUUUGAAUCCAUCAAAGUAGUAACUCCCUUGGACUAAUUUUGUUCUUCAUGUAAACACUAAGAAGUGGAAAAAUGAAUAUUAAGUUUAUCGAAAUUAAUGGGUAUGGACUAGAAGCAUUUUGUCAAAAAUCUGAAAAUUCAGAUGUUGAAAAUCAUAUCAUUUGAUUAGAUUUAUCUCAUGUACAAUUGCUAUUCAGGAGAAACAUUGGAUAGGUUUUGGGGUUUAUGCAAUUUUGGAGGGAAAAGGCUUCCUAAUUUACCUUCCUCAAUUUUAAUUUCUUAAAAUUCAAGUGGUAAUCUUAAAUGGACUUCAACAUCUGUUUUUCACCAACCAUUCUUUUACUUCUAUACAAAUCCUGUUAUCUCAUGUAUGGGGCAAAUGCAAUUUUGUGAUUUUCUAACUUCUUAAAAAUCAGGAAUUGACUUUUUAGGCUCAUUUUUACAUUUUUAAUUCAACUGAUUGACAUAAGCUUGAUAUUUGUUCUUUGAGUGGAAAUUCUGAUGCUUAGAGGAGAGACACUUUACUAAUUUUAUCUACUAGGUUGAAUGCAUUUGCUUUUUCUUCCUGCCAAUUUACUAAUUAUCAAAUUCCUUUUCUUUCUGGUUGGUUUUUCCCUAUCCUUUCUGUUUUCAUUUGAGGCCAUCAUAUCUCAGGCAAUUCACAUCCUGAGAGAGUUAGCUCCAACCAAAUUGGCAAGAGAGUUAGCUACAGAACAAGAUAUAAUAGCCAAGAUUGGCUUAUAAAUAUUCGAGAAUGAAAAUCUUACCAUUAUUUCAUUCUCUUUUAUUGAGCACCCAUUUUCCUUAAUGUGGAAUAUUUGAAACUCAAUGGUACAAAGAGAUACAAAAUUCAGAAGUAGUUUUAUAUUUCACAUAUGUCAUAGAGUUCUAAUUGAAAGACCAAUUGAAAGAAUCAAACUUUGGAUCUUAGGUAUUCAGUUAUAUGUUAUAACAGGUCUAACUGGUCUAAUCUACCUAAUUUGGUAAAUAAGAUGUUAGCAAGAUGAGGGUCAGCUUAGGAAGUCCCACAGCACAAGGCAAGCCACUUGUGAGAUUAAGCAGUCUGAUUAGGAAUACAAUGUUUGGCUUCACAAGUCAAUACAAGGCAAAAUUAAAACAUUAAUAAUUUGAUUUUAACCAAAAUUGAUGUCUUAACCACCAUGUUUCCUUUCUAAAUGAAGUAAGAUGGUUCAAUUUGAAUGGAACCUAAUUGAUUGGGAAAUUGAAAUAAGGUCACUUGCCGUUAGAAAUUGUUGUGAAGAGGAACUAACACAAUUUUUUUUUAUCAAACUUUGCUCUGCAUCAUGUUUGGCCCUCGAAACCCAUAUUUCACCUAAUUUAUUUGGUGGAAGAGGCUUCAAUGUAUCCACACUAACUAUUUGGGAUUCAUUUUUUUUUUCUUUUGGUUGAUUAUUCUCUUUUUUGCUUUCUUUUUUUCUUUGUUCCUUUUUGGUUUUCAAGUUAUAGAUCAUUUAAUCAAAGAAACAAUAACAAAAAAAAAAUUACUUUUACUUUAAUGUACUUUCAUUUUGGGUGCUAGGAGUCUUGUCUAGUGUGUGUGUGUGUGUGUUUUCCAGUUUUUAAUGUUUUUGGGUUUUCUCAAAAUACAAUGUAACUUCAAUGUUCCAUAAGAGAAAAAGAAAAAAAAAUCAAUCCCCAUCAAAGAAACAAAGAUUCAUUUAAUGAUUUCAUCUUACUAGUCACUUUAGCCAUUUAUCUGAAAGGGGUUUACUAUUAAGCUUCUUGUUUAGCUAUUUGCUAACAUCAUCCAUCUUCUUUAUCCAUUGACUACCCUAUGUAUCAAUAAUUUUAAAAACUCUCAUUUCAAUGCUUCAUUGUGCACAUGAUACAAUGAGCUAUAAUGCAUUGAAUUCCAGUCUUCAAACCUUUUACUUUCUUUUAUGUCAUGUUCAUUUGAUUUUUCUUUUUCAUUCCUUAACUGGAUGGGGGCAAUAGCCAUCUCUCUCAUUUGGCCCCUGCAUUUUGAAGAUAAGGCAUUUCCUUUUUCUUUCGUUGUGUGGAUGCACCUUCUAUGGCUAGGUUUAUCUUAAGUUGAAUAAAAAUCCAGUCCCCCAUAGGGCCAAUAUCAUCACUCCAAUGGCAUGUUUGCUUAUUGGCAGGGUGAACAAAUUGAGACUUUGGCAAGACAACAGUAAAGAGAAAGCAUAGAAAAGUUGAAACCUUUGGAGCAGCUCUAUUGUUAUCUUGAAAAGAGGAGGAAAUAGCAAGAUAUUAAUGAAAAAAAAUCUUUCCUAUUUUUCUCAGAAAAUGUGAUAGAAGUUUGAUAAAAUUAAUAAUUAAUAGUUUCCUAUUUUCUUUUUGUGGAAAAGGUAACAACAAAAAACUAUUUCAGAAGUUUUACCAUUAAGUCUGGAUUUUAUCAUGCAGGGGAUUAACCUUAAGCAUGAUAGAUAACCAGUAAACCCUUGACCAAAACAAUAUGAUUGCAAUUGGGGCUGCCAUCUCUCCAACCUCAUCAUACAAAGGUGGACAAUUUGAUAUCAGCUUAUUGGUCUGGAAGAAACUUAUUUUUUUUCCCUUUUGUUCUUUUUUUUUUGUUUUUGAUAUUGAAUAUGCUAAAGCUAAAUCUGAUUGCUAUGAAAGCGAAUUACUUACAAUAAGCAUAAGAAAUUUUUUAAAAUGAAUUUGUUUAUUAACUUAAUCUAUUCUAUAGAGCAUUUUAUCUUGCAAUGAUUUUUCCUUUCUUUCUUUCUUUCUUUCUUUCUUUUGAUCAUUGUAUGAAUUAUUACAAUAAUAAUAGUAAUAAAUAACAAGUAAUAGUUUUUAUAAUAUAAAGUUUUAUGUGAAAAGAAAUGCUUAAGAAAUUAAGUUUUUUUUAAGAAACAAAUGAAAAAAGGACUGAAACAGAAAAUACUUUUUUUUCUUCUUGCAUUCACAUUAUUGAAGUAUCUUAGAAUGAUAAUUAAGUAUAUAGAACAUCUUCUUGAGUCAAUUUUGGUCUUCAAAUAUUGAACUUGUGAAUGUACUUGCUGGCUUUGUAUUUAAACUGCCCUGAACUUAAUGAUUUGAAUAUGAAAUCCUAUACAAAUUUCUAUGCAGGUAUUAGUCCGAUGCCUUUCUUUGAGGUUAUGAUCUUUCCAAAAUCCCCCCUGGUUAGAUCAUAAGUAGAAUGAAAAUUUUAGAGUCCUAAGUAUGGCCUUUCUAAAGUUCUCUUUUAAAAUACAAGUUAACAAGUUCAUAAUGUUGCAUCACUAGUUUGUAAUCUCUUAAAUUCUAUUAUUAUUAUGUCUACAUUCCAUAUUUUGACAAAUUGAAAAAUACCAGUAGACGUUGCUUUAUAUUUUUAUUAUAAAGCAACCAGAUUUUUUAUUAUACUAAAAACAAUCUUUAUAUUUUGGUUUUUUAAAAUUAGGUGUUUAUUACAUGUUCUAGGCCUAAGUAGUUUAGUAAUUUAUUCUUUAAAGAUAGUUUGUACUUAUAAGUAGCAAUCCAAGUCAAAUAAUCAGCAAAUUAAGCUUAAGGUGAAAAUUUUCAAAUUACGAAAAUUUUACAUUUGUCAAAAGAAAUGAAAAAAACCAAGUUCUUAUGUGGAAUGUUUAUUUUUAUUGAUCUUAAAAGCUAAGUUCUUGGCUUGAUUGCUGAAGAAGUUGUUGGACAGGUCUAAGCAGGUGAAGUUUGAAGCAUUUAAAAUAAAUUAGAAUGCAUAUAGAAUGAUAAUUAUUUGCUAGUGAUAAUAGUUGUAACCUCAACUUUCUUUUGUUUCUGAUAUUAAGACAAUCAGUUUUUUUUUGAAAUGGCAUUUCCAAAAAAUGGAGUUGGCACUUCGUGGAAGACAAUGGGACUCUUUGGAAACAAGUGAUAAGUAGGAAGUAUGUGGUAGAAGAAGGGGGGUGGUAUACCUGAAAAGUGAGGGAAAGGUAUGGUGUGGGGUUUUGGAAGGAAAUUAGGAAGGAAUGGCCUUUAAUGAGGGGCAAUUUCAUUUUCUCCAUGGGGGAUGGAAGAAGAGUGAGAUUUUGGGAGGAUAGGUGGUGCGGCGACGACACUUUAAGCCAUUCCUUCCCUUUGUUGUUUGAGCUGGCCGCUUCUAAAGAGGAGUGGGUGGUUUCGGGGGAGGAGGGGGGUUGGAAUCCUCAUUUUUCUAGGUCGUUUAAUGAUUGAGAGAUGGAGAUGGUGGAGAGAUGGAUUUCAAAAAAAAAAAAAAAUGGAAGACUCUUGUUCUCCAAAGAGAGUAGGCUUUGAUGUUAGGUAAGCAACUAUAAGGGAGUUUAUUAAACAACUAGCCUCAAACAAAUAGCCUUAGUCAUUAUGUCUUACUUUCUUGGAAGAAGCUUCAAUACUAUUAAGGUGGCUAGGAGGAGUUGAGAAAAAAUGGAAAAUUUUAUGUGGACAAGUUUUCAUCUUGGAAACUAGAGCUUUGCAUCAUGGAAAGAAUAAAAAGAAACAUUGAGAAGUUUUCGUAGACUUGUUCUCAUGUGAUUUGUCACCUUGUUACUUGUGAAGAUCUCGUAACAUUAUUUUGCAUCUUGCAAAUUAGACUUGGGAAACUGCAAGGUUAGGUUCUCAUAAGAAAUUUUGAGGCAUGUUAGAUAAUAUUUUCAAAAAUAAUUUUUAAAAAUAAGUUUUUGAGAACAAUUCAUAAAAACAAUUUUAUAUCAUUUUUAGGAAUAAAAUUCUAUUUGAAAUUCUAAAUAAUGGUUUUCUUCAUUAGUUCUUGGUGAAUGUAAUUUACCAUGCAAAAUGCAAUAAUAUUAAAAAAAACACCAACCACUCUAUUUUCAUGAUAUUUUUAUUCUAAAAUUUGUUAGAUAUAUUUUUUAGAUUGGAAAAUUAUGUUUGUUUAAAAAAAUAAAAAACUAAUUUUAAAAAUAUUUGCAGACAAACCUUCAAUGUUUCAGUUGAAAGUACGUCUUUCCUUAUCGGAAACCACUUAGAUUAGUUCUUUGGAGGUUAGGGUUUGUUAUUAAAAAGUUUCCUAACACGAUGGUGGAGAUAACUACAUUGUUGAAUCAUGUAAAUUCUAUUGCUACGUGUCUAUUUUCUUUUCUUUUUUUUAAAGUUAAAAUUUUUAAAUCAUCCCCACAAGCAGCAUCAUUUCAAGGAGUCUAUGAAUUUUUAUAAUUGACUAUUUCUUAGUAAUGGUCGUGGACCAUAUAGUCCAUUGUAUGUAUGUGACCGAUUUCUCACUAUGUUUCAUUCUUUGUGUGGUCCAUUAUAAAUAGGGUCUAUUUUCAAUUUGUGUGGUUCAUACGGCAAUAUAGUCCAUUACAUAUGUGUGAUCAUUGUCUCACUAUGAUUCAUUCAUUGUGUGGUCCAUUGUAUGUUGAGUCUAUUUUCAAUUUGUGUGGCCCAUUGUAUAUAGGGUCCAUUGUAAAUAGGGGUACUUGUCGAGUUCAUUUUCUUGGCACUAAAUGAAGAUUUUCCUUGCACUUGGAGGGACUUGAUUCCUUUGCCUUUUGAAAUAUCCAAUGAGUUGGAUGAGAUAAAGGGAAGAACCUAUGAAACUCUCAAUUAUGAAUUUGUAUGAAAACAUAGGAAAUGAAUUUCAGGAAGAGGAUAAAUUAAUUGAUUUUUUGGUUUUGUCUUGCUUGACUGACAUUAAAGCCACCAAGCUAGUUUAUAAUAUGUCUAAUUUUGAUGAAUUUCUAAACCUCCAAGCUAGUUUAACGGGUUCUAUCUUAUCUAUACAACUUUUUCUAUGGAAUAUUAGGUAUCAAUCAAUUCUUUUAGCAGCAUGUUGCCAUCUCCAUGGAAUAUCUCAGUCAUUGUGUUAUGAAUCUUAUCAUGUUUUUUGGAUACUAAUUAUGACAAUGAAUGGCAAUUGGCGUUCGGCCUCUCAAACUUGACUAGUUUAGCUCCUUUGUCCCUAUGAGUCCAAUGAGAAAAGAAACUGAUGCAUGUAUCAUUUUUUAAAUAAGGGACUACAACUUGGACUCAUGAGAGAUCAUGUUUUGUUUGUAAUUGUAUAUCUUUCUCUACAUGCCUACCUUUAGAGUAAUUUAGAUCAAGUGGCUUUAAAUUAUUCUAUUUUUGUGAGUUUCAAUUAGCAUUCUAGUUACCUUCAUGGAAUUUGCUUUUAAUAGUGAAACCUAACUUGGUAUCUCUUGCAUUUUCCAAUUUGGAAAAGGAUGCCUUUAGUUAAUUAAUGUAAAUUGUAUGAUUAGAUUAUUUUUUCUUAAUAAUAAGGAAAUAAUAAGCUCUCUAGAGCAUCUCAUUACUUAUUAGGAAAAUUAAUGGCAAAAAAAGGAAAGUUGAUGUUGUAAGCCUUAAUUUUUCAAAUGAGAUUUGUUUAAUUUAUCUUAAAACUAAAUAAAUUGUAAUUUGACUUAAGUCUAAAUAGAACUUAAUUUUAUUAAAUAUUUUAAGAUUUAUGUUAAAAGAUACGCAUGACCUUAAUUCAAAAGUGAGCCUCAAAAGUAGUCUAUUGUACAAAAAUCCCAUUCAUCAUGAACCAUUGAUUACAACAUUUGCUAACUACACGUUCAUAAAUAAAAAUAGAAAAGAAAAAUAUUUUUUUAAGUCUAAUUAUGAAAUGAUUAUGAAAUUAACUUGUAAACAGGUGAAUAUUAGCCUAACUUGUUCUUAGCAGGUGAAACAUUAAUGAUUCUUGUACAUAGGUUAUUAGUUUUAAGAUUUCGUUGAAGCUAUUUGCUUACAAAGGGGGCGGCACCAUGACUAAACAAAACGAAGGGAAGAAGGGAAAAUUUUAUGGAGAGAAAAUCAAUAUAGAAAACCAGUUGAUCAAGAGGUUUGGGUUUAGAUUUUGCUUUAACAAUUGUCUUAACUUGUUAGAGGUUUCAAUGAAGGAUCAUACACUCAUCACAUAAUAUAAUUUCAUCUAGAUUGAUUUGAAGUAGGAUAUAGGAUAACCAUAAAAUCCUAACAAAAUUUAUUUUACCAAAAAAUAUUGUUAGUAAUUUCAAUCCUAGCCUUAAUCAACUUGCACGACUUAUACUUUUUAUGGAAUAACAGGUUUCUAGGCGUAUACUCCAUGUUUUAAUUGAGUCAUAACUUGUUCAUGACUCCAUAGAAUAAGGCAUUUGUUGGAAUUAAUGCAUUUGUCUUAUGUAUAGACUUUUUUUACUAGACUUUUUGUUUUUUUUUUUCUAUUCAUAGAAUAACAUGUAUGAAUGUGGCUUGUCUACUUUUAGUAGCAUUUUUUAAAAAAUUAAUUUAUGAGAACAGUCUUAACAUAUUUCUUUAUUAUUUCUAGAAAAAAAAACUAUUUGUAAACUUAAUUUAAAAACAAUUUUCUUAUUCUAUGUUUCCUCAAAGUACCAUACUUUUAUGUGCAUUGCAAUAUUUUGAGUUCAAUCUUUAUAUAUAUGUCUCUCAAAGUGGUUUUGAGUUUAGCAUAAUGAUCUUUUGAGUAAUAAUUGAAGGAAGCACCUGACAAAUUAUCUUUUAUUUUAUUUUUAGUAAUUCUACAUCUUUAUGAUAUGUAUCCCAUCUCAAAGUAAUUAUAAUGAUUUCCCUCCCUUCUUUGUGUGUUUUCUUUCUAUAUCUUGCAUUUUCUAACCCAAGACCACUCUUUUGUAUGUUAACCCUUAUCCAACUUACAAGGCUUUGGAAAUACUCAUGGACGCCAUAUUUUUCAAAAUAAUUUAUUCAAAUUUAGUUUUACAAGCAAAUCAUGACAACCUUCUUAUUUUCUGUUUACUUUAUCUAAGGGUGCAUUCUAUGCUCUUAAGGUCAUAUUAACUUUAUUAAUUCUUUUUAUCAUAUCAGAAUUUAACAAUCUCAUGAAAAAAAAUGGAAUCUACAUAUAUUUUGGAUAAUAAAUUUAUUUCUUAUAUUUGUUGAAUCUCUUAGAUAUUUCUUUCAAAAACAUUUCAUGUUAAUCACUUUGAAUAACCAAAAUAAAAAAUAAAAUAAAAAAUCUAAUUUUAAAAUGAUAAAAUUUUGGUUAUAUAUAUAUAUAUAUAUAUAUAUAUAUAUAUAUAUAUAUAUAUAUAUAUAUAUAUAUAUAUAUAUUAUAUUAUAUUAUAUUUCAUUAAUAUUUUGUGGGUCUAGACCGUCAACUAAAUGUGACCUUAAUUUACGUCGCAUGCGUUUAACAUUCAUAGAAAAUUAUAAAUAACAUUUAGUUUUCUCACAAUGAUAGUGAGAACUAAUUAACUUUUAAGAUUGAAUUUUCCUGGUUGCAUGAAGAAGUUGCCAAGGCACCUUCACAAUCAAGAUCAAUUAAUAUCUUAUUUGGGUAGACAAAGCCAAAAACAUUAUUUGUCACCUUCUUGAAAUAUACUACCCACUUUUCCACGAAAAUCCAUAUUUGAAAAGUUCAUAAAUCCUUCCCUUAGUCAUAGUUCUCAAUGCAAAGAAGUGAAAGUCUUUCGAGGCAAGAACAAAUAUCCGUUUAUUGCUAAGAAAAUUCAUUGGUAGGCAUUUUUUUUUUUUAAAUUGAGACAUGUAUAAUGCACCAUAUGGUUUAUGACCAUAUAGUGGUCAAUGUUAACAAAAUCAGUCUCGUUGGAAUUGUUGAAGGAAUAUGAUGCUAUCCAUUUAUUGCUAAGAAAAUUCAUUCGUAGGUCAUUGUUUGAAAUUGACACAUGUAUAAUGGACCAUAUGAUUUAUGACAAUGUAGUGGUCAAUGUCAACAAAGCCAAUCUUACUAGAAUUAUUGAAGGAAUACGAUGCUUGAAAGGACCACCUAAGAAGUUUGAUCCACAUACUAGGGUUGUUGAUGUAAUAAUGAGCAUUCAUAAUCUUCAAAAUAAUUAAUUUAUAUUUUAGUCUUAUUUGCAAAUCAUAAUAACCUUUUUAUUUUUUAUUUUUUUGUUUAUUUUACCUAAGAUACAUGCUAUUCUUAAGAUCAUAUCAACUUUACUUUAUGUUUGGUUUUAAAAUGGAUAAGAUAAAUGAUUAUUCAUUUUAUUUAUCAUAUCCCUAUAUAUGGGAUUUAACAAUCUCAGGAAAAACAUGCAAUAUAUAUGGCUUUUAGAUAAUAAAUUUAUUUCUCAUAUUCAUUGGAUUUCUUAAAUAUUUCGUUUGAAAAUUUUUUCAUUUUAAUCACUUUGAACAAAAAACAAAUAAUAAUAAUAAUUUAUUCCAAAAAGAAAAAAAUAAAAGUGUGUUAUAAUACAAAUUAAAAUUAUAUAUAUGUAUAUAUGAAAUGCAAAUUAAUAGUUUAUUCAAGUCUAAACCCUGAAUUAAAUAUGACCUUAAUUUAUAUAAUUUCAUCACUUUGCAUGUGUUUAACAUUCAUGAGAUGGUGAUACAUAAUAUUUCACUACUUGAUGCCUUUGCCUUUAGAAAUAUCUAAUGAGCAGGAAGAGAUAGAGGGAAGAAGCUAUGAAUUUCUCAAUUAUGGAUUUCUAUGAAAAGAUAGACGAUGAAUUUCAGGAAGAGGAUGAAUUUCAAGUUGAAAUGAAUUUCAUUAAAGCCACCAAAUUGAAAUGUCAAGCACUGUUACGCAAGUUUUUUAGUCUACCUAUCCCUAGAUUUAAAAAUUAAUUAAUUAAUUGAUUUUGAAUGCUAGUGGGGCUCAGACCUUCUUGAAACCUAAUUUGAAAGAUGUAACUUGAAAGAUAAAGUCACUCGCUCUGGAGGAAAAGUCAUUGACUAUGCAAGAAAAGGCUAAUAGGGAAUGGAGCUCAAUUUCUCUAUAACUAAUUAAUUAAUUAUAUAUGUAAUAUCAUAUAUAUAUAUAUAUAUAUAUAUAUAUAUAUAUAUAUGAUAUUAUUUUCAAGAAAAUAUGAUAUUUAAAGAUGUGGAUAUAUAGAAAAAAAUAAUAUUUUUAUGUUUAUUAAAAUAUAUUAUACUAUACUAAUAUUUGAUGUAUUGAAGGAGUAAAUAAUAGAAUAAAAAACAUAUCCUAUCCUAAUGUUUCAAAAUUUUUAAAUAAUAUAUGAAUUGCAUCCAACAUUAUUAUUAAACAAGAUAUAAUCUCUCUUAUGAUUCAAUAUUAUUUAGAGACUUCUCCAUCAUUUAUUUUAAAUUUGUUAACUAUAUCUCAUCCUAAUGUUUCACAAUAUUUUAAAUAAUAUAUGAAUUGCAUUGAAACAUUUGUUUUUAAAAAAGAUGUGAUCUCUCUUACAAUUCAACAUUAUUUAGAGACCUCUCCAAUCUUUAUUUUAAAUUUGUUAAACAAUCUCAUCUUGAUGUUUUACAAUUCUUUAAAUAAUAUAUGAAAUAUUGCAUUCUAACGUUUAUUAUUAAAAAAAGAUACAAUCUCUCUUACCAUUCAACAUUAUUUAGAGACCUCUCCCUUGUUUAUUUUAAAAUUGUUAUUUUAGAGUUUAUACUUAUGAAAUUAUUACAUGUUGUUAUAUGAUAUAUAUUAAGUUUAUAUAUGAUAUAUAAAAACAUUUUUAUAUAUGUAUUACAAAAAAAAAUUUAUGAUCCAUUAGAUAUGCAUCCCAUCUUUUUUAUGUGGUUGUUAAAUAUCAUGUGGAGGAGAUACUGGGAAGAGGGUGAAUGUAUUAUCUCACCUUUUAUCUUUAUUCUAUAUUCUAUCCACCAAGUUAAACAUUAAUUAAAGGGCAUAGUAUAUAUGGUUGAAUAAAGUUAAUAACAAGCCCUUUCAAGUAAUAUGAUUGAAGGUUUAGCUCCUCCAAGAUCAGUCUUGAACAAUGGAAAUGUGAGAUAGAGAUAAAGAAAGGCGUAAAACCAAUCAAAAGUUAGAGAAAAAAUUGUUUAUAGUGUUUGAUUCUUCUAUAGCAUUGACUAUCAUAGUCAGUAUUGAAGUAUGAUGGUGACUAGGUACAUCAACUUGCCCACAAUCUUUGAUUUUCUAUAGCAUUGACUAUCAUAGUUAGUAUUAAAGUAUGAGGGUGACUAGGUACAUCCACUUGCCCAUUGUGUUUGAUUUUUCUACAACAUUGACUAUCAUAGUCAGUAUUGAAGUAUGAGAGUGACUAGGUACAUCAACUUGCCUAUAUUGUUUGAUUCUUCUAUAACAUUGACUAUCAUAGUUAGUAUUGAAGUAUAAGGGUGACUAGGUACAUCAACGUGCCCACAGUGUUUGAUUUUUCUAUAGCAUUGACUAUUAUAGUCAGUAUUGAAGUAUGAGGGUGACUAGGUACAUCAACUCGCCCACUAUGUUUGAUUUUUCUAAAACAUUGACUAUCAUAAUCAGUAUUGAAAUAUGAGGGUGAUUAGGUACAUGAACUGGGUACAUCCAUUUGCCCACAAUAUUUGAUUCUUCUAUAGCACUAAUUAUCACAGUCAACAUUGAAGUAUGAGAGCGAUUAGGUACAUCAACUUGCCCAUAAUUUUUGAAUUUUCUAUAGCAUUGACUAUCAUAGUCAGUAUUGAAGGAAGAGGGUGACUAGGUACAUAUAGCACUGACCAUCGUAGUUAGUAUUGAAGUAUGAGCAUGACUAGGUACAUCAACUUGCCCACUAUGUUUGAUUUUUCUAUAACAUUGACUAUCAUAGUCAGUAUUGACGUAUGAGGGUGAUUAGGUACAUCAACUUGCCUAUAGUGUUUGAUUCUUUUAUAGCAUUGAUUAUCAUAGUAAGUAUUGAAAUUAUGAGGGUAACUAAGUACAUCAACUUGCCCAUAGUGUUUGAUUUUUCUAUAGCAUUGACUAUCUUAGUCAGUAUUGAAGUAUGGGGGUGACUGGGUACAUCAACUUGCCCAUAAUGUUUGAUUUUUCCAUAUAGAAUGUUUUGUAGCUAGCCAAGCAUGGUGAGCUAUUUAAUUACAAGACAUACCCACAUGCUUGUGUGAAAGAAAGGAGGUCCUUGCAAGUUGUUAUCCUAUUUAAUAGGUGAAGUAUUAGAAUUAUUGAAAAUAAUUGUCUUAAAUUAUGCGUCUAUGUAACUUUUUAUUAUAUUAAAUACAUGCUUUAGACAUUGUUACUAAAUACUGGAUUAAAACAUGAAUUUCCUAAGUAAUUAAAAUGACUACUCUUGAACUUGAAUUCCAUUCUUUCUCAUUUUAGCAAAAUAAAUAAAUAAAAUCCCUUUUAUAGAUGAUAAUUGUUGCAAAUUGUUAAAUUGUUGGAAAAGGCAUAUUAUAGGGUUUUGCUUUGAUAUUUUGGUGCUACUAAAUAGAUUGAACCAAUUUAGUAGGCUUUUACACUCUCCACAUAAGACAAUUAUAUGUUAUUUAACGGGGAUUGAGGACGGAGAUUUCACUUCAAGGCAUGAUGAAAGUCUUUUUUUUUUCUUCAAAGAACUGACACAACUAAAGUUGAUCUCAAAAGCAAAUCCAUAAAUGUAUUAAGAUCAAAUCUGAAAUUUCCAAAGGAGGGAAAAAAAUAACAAAGAAAAAAAAAACUCAUAUUUGGUAUAAGUGUAUAAUAUAAUUGAUUUUUAUGAAUUUCUAAACCUCCAAUAUAGUUUAAUAGGUUAUAUCUUAUCUAUACACCUUUCUCCAUGGAAUAUUAGGUACCAAUCAAUUCUAUUGGCAUCAUGUUUCCAUCUCUACUUCAAGUCAUAUUUAUGCCUGGACAUCUGUGGAUGGACCUUAUACCAAUGCAAAGCAAGUGGAGUAGCAAAAUUUCUUAGCCAUUGCAUUAUGAAUCUUAUCAUCUUUUUUGGAUUCUAGUUAUGACAAUGAAUAGCAUUUGACACUCAGCCUCUCAAACUUGACAAGUCCCUGUGGGACCAAUGAGGAAAGAAAUUGAUUCAUGCAUCAUUUUAUUGUGGGGGACUACAACUUGGAACCAUGAGAGAUCAUUUUUUUGUUUGUAGUUGUAGAUCUUUCUCUAUGCACUCACCUUCAAACUUUCAAAUAAUUCUCCUUUUGUGAGUUUAGAUUGUUAUUUUGCCCUUGUGGAAUUUGCUACUACAUUUCUAGUGAAACCUAACUUGGUAUCCCCUGCAUUUUUCUAAUUUGAAAAAAGUAUGCCUUUAUUGACUAAUGUAAGGCUCUCCAAAAUCUGAUUUUGAUUUUGUUUAUUUCUUUAUGAAUCAUAUCAUCAAUUUUUCUUAUGAAUUUUCUCUUAAGAAUAAGGAAAUUAGUAACUCUCUAAAAGUACCUCAUUUCUUAAUAAGAAAUUAAUGGUAAAAAAGGACAUCAACUUGCCCACAGUGUUUGAUUUUUCUAUAGCAUUGACUAUCUUAGUCAGUAUUGAAGUAUGGGGGUGACUGGGUACAUCAACUUGCCCAUAAUGUUUGAUUUUUCCAUAUAGCUAGCCAAGCAUGGUGAGCUAGUUAAUUAUAAGACAUACCCACAUGCUUGUGUGAAAGAAAGGAGGUCCUUUCAAGUUGUUAUCCUAUUUAAUGGGUGAAGUAUUAGAAUUAUUGAAAAUAAUGGUCUUAAUUAUGUGUCUAUGUAACUUUUUAUUAUAUUAAAUACAUGCUUUAGACAUUGUUACUAAAUAUUGGAUUAAAACAUGAAUUUCCUAAGUAAUUAAAAUGACUGCUCUUGAACUAGAAUUCCGUUCUUUCUCAUUUUAGCAAAAUAAAUAAAUAAAAUCCCUUUUAUAGAUGAUAAUUGCUGCAAAUUGUUAAAUUGUUGGAAGAGACUUAUUAUAGGGUUUUGCUUUGAUAUUUUGGUGCUACUAAAUAGAUUGAACCAAUUUAGUAGGCUUUUACACUCUCCACAUAAGACAAUUAUAUGUUAUUUAAUGGGGAUUGCGGACGGAGAUUUCACUUCAAGGCAUGAAGAAAGUUUUUUUUUUUUCUUCAAAGAACUGACACCACUAAAGUUGAUCUCAAAUGCAAAUCCAUAUGUGUGUGAAUAGAAAAUCACCAAUAAUUGUUAGUUUUUCUUUUAUGCACCUGUAAGAGAUAAUAAUAAACUUAGUAGCUUGUUAUGCUUUUGAAAUUAAUAAAUCAUAAUCUAUCACGUGAUGAUGCCAUACAGAUUAAUUUUAGGUGGUGUUCUUCGACUGAAGCCUAGGACUUUGUGUUCCUUCCCAUGGUUCCCACAGGGUUUCUUUUUUUUUUUUUUUGGGNNNNNNNNNNNNNNNNNNNNNNNNNNNNNNNNNNNNNNNNNNNNNNNNNNNNNNNNNNNNNNNNNNNNNNNNNNNNNNNNNNNNNNNNNNNNNNNNNNNNGGGGGGGGGGUGUCUUUGAUGUUUCCAUAUGAAGAUACGAAUAGAUAAAAUGAAAUUAUGUCAAAAUUUCCGUUUCCAUAUCAGGGUGCAAAGGAAAAUGGCAUGGGCUAAUAUUGUGUAGCAUGUACCUUUUUCUGGCUUCUUUAUGUACUCAAUUUCAGAUUACAUGUCAUUACUCAUCUUUAGCCUGCAUUUCCCACCUUCUGCUUCACAAUUUCCACACACAGGUUUUGACCAAUUCAUGGAAAAUCUAGAUUCCCCAUAUUCUAUAUUUAAUGGGAGUGAAGUUUCGGAAAUCUAGCAAGCAAAAUAUAUUCAUAAAUAAAUUAAAAUAGACAUUGCUCAUAGAUACGUACUGAAAUACAAUGUAUGGUAUUAUCGGCAUAAUUCAUGUAGUAUUAUGGUCCUAUCACAUCUAGCACAUUUCACAUUUCUAAAGAUAAAAGAAAUAGAGUCCUAUAAAUAUAAGGACCAACUUACUUUUAGUGUCAAGAAAAUUGACUCGAUGGUUUUAUUUGAAAAGUCAUAUUCAAUAAAUAAAGCAUCAAAAUUGACCACAUGUACAAUGGUCCACAAAAAUUAUUGAAGGAGUGUGAUGGCUGUAGGAGACCAUUUUAAAAUUUUGAAUAUUUAUUUACUCCUACAAUUUUAUGCUCAUAAUGAAUUAUAGUAAUAGACAUAUACCAAGGAAAGGUUUGAGCUCUCAAAUUGUUCCUUCUUUGUUAAUUCUUUCUCUAUUAAAAUGCAACUUUUGAUUUGAGAGCCUGAUUUAAAGUGUGAAGGGUAAGAUCAAAGUCCUAAUUAAAUUUCAACAAGGAGUAGAAAUCUAUGAAUGGAGAAAUCAAAGUGUCCACUAAUUUGAAGAACCAUAUAUGGAAUGGUGCAAUCCAAUGUCCAAGAAUGUAAUUGUAACCUUUAGAGGGCCCAAGGACACUUCUCUAACAAAAACUAUAUGGAAUUACUUACAAAAGAAAUGUUGUACUUGGCACUAUUGUUCCUUGAAAGCCCAGAUUACUACUAGCAACAAGUUAUAACAAAAUAACUUACUUGAACAUCUACAACCCUAAUAAUUAUUUUUGUAGAAUACUUGAAAAAAAAAAAAUAGAACUUCAAAGGAAAUGGAGGAUUUUCUUUGAUAAUUUUACGGGCAAGCAAGAACACUAUUCAAACAUCUAAAAUGAUAUUUUAUUACUUGUACAUAACCUUUCUUACAAGGAACCAAACUAUUGUUUGAAGUAGAAACUUUAUUUUAUUACAUACACUGAUCUCAUAGAAACCUUACACAUAAGACACAAUCACACAUUAUUAUUGGAUUACAAAAUAAGCAACUAGAUGGAGUAGGACUACCUUCCAUUUAAGCUGAUUGUACCCAUGGAAUUGGAUGAUGAAAUUGGUACCUCUACCAUGGAUUGCUCAUGAUUCUCGAUAGACCAUAGAGUUGGCUUAGGAGGCAUUUUCAAUAGUUCAAUCUCUCCUUCAAGCAUCUCCAAUGUUUUGCUCAUUGAAGGACGAUCCAUAGGCUUCAUUUGUACACACCAUAGCGCAACUAUCACCAUUUUCCUUACAUACUUUUUUUCAUCCUCAGUGGCAUCUCCCAUUUCCAUGUCCUCUCCUUGAUCAUAUCUAUCAUAAAUCCAUGAUGGGAAAUAUAUUUGACUUGAAUGCUCUGCAAAUGCAUUCACAUUCUUCCUUUUUCCCACCAUUUCCAAUAACAACAUUCCAAAACUAUAAACAUCAGCCUUAAAUGAUACACCUCCAAUGUUUUUGUAGAACAAUUCAGGAGCAAUGUAGCCCAAGGUUCCUCUAGCAGCAGUGACUGAUACAAUACUUUCAUCUGUUGAGUAUAAUUUUGCAAGACCGAAAUCUGAAACUUUUGGUGUGAAGUCUUCAUCAAGAAGAAUGUUGUGUGGCUUGAUAUCAAAAUGAAGAAUUUGCAUAUCACACCCUUGAUGUAAGUAUUCGAUCCCACGUCCUACUCCAAGUGCAAUCUUGUAUAAUCUUUCCCAACUCAAAGGAAUGUUGUUUCCUUGAUCAAGAAAAACAAACUUAUCAAGAGAUCCAUUGGGCAUGUAGUCAUAUAUAAGGGCCCAUUUUGAUCUCUGUAUGCAAAAUCCAACAAGUCUCACCACAUUAACAUGAUGAAUUCUUCCAAUUGUAGCAACUUCAUUGAUAAAAUCUUGCCCAUUAGCCUUUGACAUAACCAACAUUUUUACAGCUACAAUGCGGCCACUUCGGAGUUUUCCUUUGUACACAGAGCCAAAACCUCCUUGACCCAAUUUAUGCUUAAAAUUAUAAGUCAUCUUCUUUAUGUCUGAAUAUGUGUAUUUGAUUGGUCGAAGAUUUUGGUAGUUAUGUAGGAAUUCUUCAAUAUCAUCAUCUAAUGAUAAGUGUCUCCGUCGAAACUUGUUAAUUAAAUAGGCAAAGAGGCACAAAAUACCAAUCACAGCUCGUCCGAUGAUGAUCAUGACUACAUAUAAAUCACAUGUUAAAGAUAUGAAAAACGUCAGAGGAAGAUUUAUAAUCAUCUAACCACAUUCAAUCAUCAAAUGAAACAAAUGAAAAGGUCAUUUCACCUAUAUCUUAGGUUUUGGAUUUCCACUCAAACAUAGUCAUGUGACUCUUUUUCUUUUGGGUGACAGCAUGAUAUACAUAAAGGAUGGAAUAAUCAAUUGAGAAAAUUUGUUUUGUUGUACAAAAUUAAGGAAUGAAAUUAGAUGCCAAAUUCCAACUCUAUUCUUCAAUUUCCUUGUACUCUAACAAAUCUGGGAAUAAUUUGAAAUCAAAUACAUCACAAAUUUUUAAAAAAAUAAUAAUAAUUUUAUUUGAAAGAAAAUUUCUGAAUUUCACAAAUUGGAAUUUCAAUUUAUGAUUCAUUUUGUACAACCAAAUGCAUUGCCAAACUUGAUUGUCGGCUUUUAUCUUGAAUGAAAGGAUUCCAAAAGUGCCAGGCAAAAAGAGGUAUAAGACGUGUGCAAUUAUAUACUUAUUGAGAUCUGGAAGCCUUACCCAUGAGUUGAAAUAUAUAGACUGCCCCAACUGCAAACAUGAGAGGAACAAAAAUUAUUAAGUUCAAGAAAAGAAAGAUUCAUACAUAUGAUAGAUUUAAAAUGAGCAGGAAACAAAUAGAAGAGAAAUAUUAUUACUGCUAUUGGUUUUGAUUAAAAAUUAGGAAGAGAUGGAUAGGAUAGAAGAGAAAGGGUAAUAUUAAUAAUAAUAAUCAUCAUCAUAGUUAUUAUUAGUUAAGUGGACGAAAAAUCCAAUCAUUUAUUAUACUAUUGAUUAAUUUAAAUGUCUUAUAAUAUUUUUAAAAUUUUUAGAAAUUUAUUAUAUAUAUUUAAAUUAAAAAUAAAAUUAAGCACAUACCACAUACUGACUAUUGUGGGAUUGAAUGUGUAAUUUAGAAUAACAGUUCUUUAUUUUAUUCAUUUAUCGUGAACUCCAAAAAUAAAUUAUCAUUUCAUUUUAUCAUCAAAUUAAUAAUUUUUUAUUAUUAUUAUAAAGAACUUCUCAAAGCCUUACCAAUUAUGUCUCCAUCCAAAAGAUAUCCGAAGUCUGCAGGUUGAAAUUCAGUAAAUAUGGUCAAUGGUAAAAGUAGAAGAAGCUUUUGCAUUUUGCUCUAUGUGACUGCCGACUAGACAAUGAUAUUAAGCAGCCCAUAGGUACCAUCUUGAAAUUGAUGGAAUGAAAAUAAAAAAAUAAAAAAAUAAAAAUCUCUAUCUUUCUUCUACAACAAAUGGAACUAAUAAGCCUUACUUUGGAUAAAGUAGUCCACACCUAAUAUAUAUCCUGUUAACAGAAAAACAACAUAAAUUGAAUUUAACAUGAGAAAGAUAAUAGAAGUAAAAAUGAACAUGAAAGAUAAUAAAAGUAAACUCCCAAAGUCUCACUGAUUAUAAUUGGCAGAUAGGAAAAGAACCCAACUGCAAGAUCAAACCAAUUAAGCAAAUAUUAUUAGUUAUAAAAUGUUGAAGCAAAAUAAAUACAUGAAUGGAUAAAAAUAAACAUUGCUCAUACGUUUGGUGCACUGUACGGUAUAAUUGCUAUAAUUCACAUCGCAUUCUAGCCCUUUCACCCAGCAUUCGCUUUUGCAGCGGAAGCUCAAGAAUGAAAGUUCAAGCCCCAGAAGCAGCAUUUCUUGCAAAUCUGACAUUGAAAGAUUGCCGGGCUUCAAGAAUUGAGUAAUAAUAGUCCUGCUGAUGGUGCAUGGAUACUUAAUAUCUCCCACUUCCAUGGACUCGCUUCCGACUAGUGCAUAAACAUAUGCUUGUGAGGAAGAUGAAGUCGCAUUGCAAGGAGUGAUAGGAAUGUAGCUGCCGUCACUUAUUGGCUGGUCGCAAUUCAUUAAAACUGCUGUACUGGUCAUUCCCUUCCACUCCAAAUAAUAUGUACUGUAAUCAUCGAAGAUUUCUCUUGUCAAGAAAUAGAGAGGAGUUGAGAGACAGUUGCCCUUUUCGACCCCAGGAUCCACUACCCGAAUGGUAUAGUGAUCGUAGUUGAUAUCAGCAACAUAGUAUUUCUCACCCUCCCGGACGUUUACCAUAGUACGAUUGUUUUCGCAGACCAAUUCAUAGUCAGGAUCACCACACCCAAAUGGAUCACCUUUCAAUCGGAAAGGGUUGCUGAUGUUUUGAAUCUCUCCACAAGAAGAGGGUCUGCAAGUCUGGUUUCCAUUAGCAGCACAAAUUGCAAGCAAGAAAGUGUGGAAGAGCGCUAACGCCACAAGUUGUGCUUCUCUAAACAUCAUAACAUUUGAGAGAGAUACGGAGUUGGAAUUCUUCUGCUUUUAUGUUUAAUUUAAGAGAGAGAGAUCAAAUUAUCCCCCAACAGGCUUGCGGUCCCAAUUUUCCUGCAACGUGAAAAGAGUGUGAAAUGAGCCUUAUUGACUGUUAUAGUCAACUACUUUGAUUUUUCUAUGUAUGGAUAACUUCACAUUGAAGAAACGCAUACCCACCCUCUGUUCAUGAUCAGGUUCAAUCAUUAGAGGCUUCUGAAUUAGCAUAAUGAAAAUGAAAAUCAAGAAUCACUAUAUUUGAAAUUAAUUUUUUUUUUUUUUUUAAAAAGGAUCUUACUACUGAAUUAGCAACUUUCCUCGACAUGGGCCAUAAUGUAUACCAAAUUAACCUUGUACAAAUAAUGAAUUAUGUACGGUAUCAUGCUAAGUUACCAUUUUUCCAAUAAUUUAAACUUCUAUAUGUUUUAUAUAGUUUAUUAUUAUUUGUAUUUUAAGUUUUGUUUCUUCUAACCAAAUGCCUACUUUAAAUCAAAAUUUGAUUUUUAAAAAACAUACAAAAUAAAUUAAGGAGGACGGUCCAUUUAGAUUUAAAUUAUAAUAAAUGAAGUAUUAUUAAAUUUUAGAGUAGGUAAUGUGACUUACAUAAAAAUGUUUAUAUGUAUAAAUUAAAUGGAAUACUUACAUUUUGAGAGAGACAAAAUAAACAUAUACAUGUGAUACAGGGUGAAAGGACAUUGUUAUAAAGUGAAAAUCAAUUAGUAAAAUGUACCACCGCAGUAAUCCUCCUUCCUACAAUUCUUCUCUAUAAAUUUUCAGGCUAAUCUCCUCGCGAUAUUUGUAUCUCCCUUUCCACUUUCUUUUCUAUCCCAGAGAUUUCUGUCCUUGGCAAAAAUCACAAAUUCCUUCCAUAAAAAUGGAUCGAUAUCUCUGUUUGUUUUUGUUCUUGUUUCUGACCUUGUUUGUGGAGAUGAGAGGGGGCCGAGAUGAGUGCAUGACAUCGAAUGGUUGUGGCGACCAGGGUCCACUCAUCCGGUUCCCUUUCCGUCUAAAACACCAGCCACACCACUGUGGAUAUCCGGGAUUUGAGUUAUCUUGCACUGAGAAUAAUCAGACCAUGCUAGACCUGCCAGUUUCGGUAAAGCUCUUGGUGAAGAAAAUAGUUUACAAAUCCCGGGAAAUCAUUGUCCAGGACCCGGAUAAUUGCCUUGCGAGACAGCUUCGAAACCUCAAUUUAGCUGCCUCCCCCUUCUACUUCAAAUUUGGACUGGACUUCACCUUCUUCAUUAAUUGUUCCUCAUAUAAAACUCCAGAACCCGGAUCGUGGGCUUAUGAUUUUGAGCCCAUCCCUUGCCUUUCUAACCCUGGUAACCCAGUUUAUGCUGUUUAUUCCUCCGGAUCUGUCCAAUAUACGGAUCUAUCCUCUUGCCGCAGGCUUUACAACGCUUCAGCUCCAGGUAAUCGAGAUUAUGGGGAUUAUAUGUUCAAUGGAAGUGCAUUUUCUUUGAAGUGGUCGAAAUCAAUAUGUGGAAGCUGCCCAGAAGGAGGAAAAAUAUGCAGACUGAAGAAGAGUAAUAGCAGGGAACCAGAAACUGAAUGUAUUAAAGGUAAAGAGACUGCAUCUUAAUUCCCCAUUCAUCUUCUAUUCAUCUUCUUUUCAUCUUUCAUGCUCACCUCAUAUCCUCUACUAUGAUUUAAUAUACAAAUGCUCCAUUUUGGAAUUAAAAAAAAACCAUUGUAAAGGAUAUGAGCUGAUAAAUUCUGCUGAUUGAAUUUGCGUUUUAUUGGGAUUUUGAAAAUCUGAAAAAAAAAAAAAAAAAAAAAAAAAAAAGAAGAAGAAGAAAGGAGAAUAAUUUGAUUACAAGGGAUAAAAUUAAUAAUCUCUAAAUCUGAAAAAAUAAUUUAAAAUAAUUAGUGAAAAUAUUUUUUUACAUUUUAAAACUCCUGUUAGAUGAAUUUUUGGUUAAAGUAAUAUAUUGUUUUUCUUGCAUUUCACCUCAAAACAUCGAGCUAAACUAAUGGAUCCAAACUAAGGCCUUUUCUUUUCUUUCUUUGAAUUUUUAGCGCUCAAUAAAAUUAAGGGAAAUUAUUGAACAAAGAGUUAAAUGUUUAUUUGGAUUUAGUUUUUUGAAAAAUUAAAGAAAUAAAAGAAAAAUGUUAAAAGUUCUUUUAUAAUGGAUUCUUUCCUACCUACUUACAAUUAAUAUUUUUCUUUAUUUUCUUCUUAUUUUUCCAAGGACGGGAACCUAAAAAUACAAAGUAAUACAAUUGAUAUUCAUUUUCUAGUUUUAAUGGUUAUCCACAUAGAUGACUUUUCCCUUAUACCUAACAUGAGAAGUUCGAUGUUAAUGGUCAAUUGAAUCGCCAAGUGUCAUCGUACCUACCAAUUGGAUCACUGUAUAUAAUGGUAUAGAAUAAGGAUAGAGAUUUCUUCACAUUCCUUUUACAUAGAGUUUCAUUUUUAUUUUUAUUUUUAUUUUUGUCAUAAAAUUGGAUGAAUUUGUGUUUAGGGAGUCAUGAAGACAAUACGGUAUUAUGAAACAUAAAACUAUGAUACAUAAUAGGGAUUAGAAGGGUAUGUUUUAAUUUCCACUACAAGUUAGGAUAGAGUUAGUAGCAGAAUUGGUAUUACCUCAAAAAUGAACCAUAGAAUACAAGAAAGGGACCCAAAAAGAUAAGGUUGAAGCCUAGAAUAAAAUUAAUUAGAUUAAAAUCAUAUCACAUGAACAUGUAAUUUAGCAUGUUUUUAUUAAUUCCAAGAGCAUAACAAGCUAAUUCCUUUUUUUUUCUUAAUUUUUUAUAGGUGUAUCGAAGAAAUUAAUUGUGAUAGGUAAUAUUCUAUUUAUACAUAUUUUAUUAUAGAGAUAAAGAUUCUUAAUUUGGUUAUUUUACCUAUUUAUUUAAAUAAAAAGUUUAAGUUUUCUUCUUUUUAUUUAUGCAGGUGCAAUCUUUGGUUUCUUUCUUCUCAUGUUAGUAAUUGUUGUGGCUUAUCGAGUCUAUAGCUCAAAUAAAGUAGAAAGAGAUAAUAGAGUAAAGGUUAAAAAGUUUCUAGAAGACUAUGAAGCUCUCAAGCCCUCAAGAUACUCCUAUGCUGAUAUUAAAAGGAUUACGAGUCAAUUCAAAGAUAAAUUAGGGGAAGGAGGAUAUGGAACAGUGUACAAAGGAAAGCUUUCAGAUGAAGUUUUUGUUGCAGUAAAAAUCCUUAACAAUUCUCAAGGAAAUGGGGAAGAGUUCAUUAAUGAAGUAGCAACAAUGGGUACAAUCCACCAUGUUAAUAUAGUUCGUUUAGUUGGAUUUUGUGCUGAUAGAUUUAAACGAGCUCUAAUUUAUGAGUACUUACCAAAUGAGUCAUUGGAAAAGUUCAUAUUUUCAAAAGUUGUCAAGAACUAUUCACUUAGUUGGAAGAAACUUCAAGAAAUUGCUAUAGGUAUAGCAAAAGGAAUUGAGUAUCUUCAUCAAGGUUGUGACCAAAGAAUCCUUCAUUUUGAUAUCAAACCUCAUAAUAUUUUACUUGACCACAACUUUAAUCCAAAGAUUUCUGACUUUGGUUUAGCCAAAUUGUGCUCCAAGGAACAAAGUGCAGUCUCUAUGACAAUUGUAAGGGGAACAAUGGGCUAUAUCGCUCCAGAAGUGUU